CAAACCAGCUAAUAUCUCAUGGAAGUAGCCUCCUUUCCCUUGCUUCUACAGUUUUCUGCAACUCUCCCGUUGCAAUUUCUGGCAAGGUCCCAGUCGUUCAUUCAUGGUACAAAACCCGCUCGCACCCUUCUGAGCUAACAGCUGGCUUCUACAACACAGUUGACAAGGACGGCUAUGAAAGGAUUGCUGAAAUUUUUGCAAAAAAUUCAUGCAAAAUGAUCUUACCGGGAAUGGACCUGUCAGACGAUCACCAGCCGCAGGAGUCCCUCUCUAGCCCUGAAUUAUUACUCGCACAAAUCAAGUCUGCUUGCAGAAAGAGAGGAGUUCAGAUUUCUGGGCAAAACUCGUCUGUUUCAGGAGCACCUGGUGGUUUCGAACAGGUAAAGAAGAAUUUGCUGGGCGAGGAUGGAGUUGUGGACUUGUUCACUUAUCAGAGAAUGGGAGCCUAUUUCUUCUCCCCUGAGCAUUUUCCUUCAUUUACUGAGUUGGUUCGGAGCCUGAGUCAACCAGAGAUGCUCUGGGAUGACAUGCCUAACGAAGAGGAAGAAGUUGGUGAAUCAUUGCCGGUAGGAUCAAGUUCAGACAAGAAUCUCCAGAUGCAAGUGGCUUAGUAAGAAGUAGUAGUAAAACUGUAUCCAUGUGAAUAGGGCAUCAUAUUAAAUAGACCCAUUAUUAGAAGAGGUUGUAUUAGAUAUGAUAGCCAUACAAAUUCUAUGGAACCAUGUACUGAUUAUAUUUUCAAACAAAAGCUGAAUUAUAAGGAAGAAGUAUUGCUUGGCAUGUUCAGUCCCCAACACAAUCUUUAUUGCUUAAUUGCUUAAUUGCUACCCUGAAAUGACCGUCCAACCUUGAAAUUAUUUGAAUGCCCAACUCUAGAAAGUAGCUAUGCGGAAUUACCGUGAAGACAGACAAGGAAAGCCAUCAACACUAUGAAAUUGACAAUCCAACAAACUCUUUCAUCAGUGAAGUAAGCUCCAAUAGAAUUAACCUCGUAGUUCUUCUCUCGUUUCUCCAUUGCAUUCUGCAUUGGAUUUCUCGGUAUUCUUGAGUCACAAAAUUAUUUUUGCUAAAUGGAUGAAAAUAACAUUUACUGGUUUCCUGAAACUUAUCCAUUGGAGGGACCAGGCAUACGAUGACCUGAGUCCAUCGUGCAAUCGGGUAAACAUCCUCAGGCCGGCCAAUAGCUAAAUAACUUCUAAAACUUAUCCAUUGGAGGGACCAGGCAUACGAUGGCCUGAGUCCAUCGUGCAAUCGGGUAAACAUCCUCAGGCCGGCACAUAGCUAAAUAACUUCUACUGCUUUCCUGAAACUUAUCCAUUGGAGGGACCAGGCAUACGAUGGCCUGAGUCCAUCGUGCAAUCGGGUAAACAUCCUCAUCCUCAGGCCGGCACAUAGCUAAAUAACUUCUACUGCUUUCCUGAAACUUAUCCAUUGGAGGGACCAGGCAUACGAUGGCCUGAGUCCAUCGUGCAAUCGGGUAAACAUCCUCAGGCCGGCACAUAGCUAAAAAACUUCUACUGCUUUCCUGAAACUUAUCCAUUGGAGGGACCAGGCAUACGAUGACCUGAGUCCAUCGUGCAAUCGGGUAAACAUCCUGAGGCCGGCCAAUAGCUAAAUAACUUCUACUGGUUUCCUGAAACUUAUCCAUUGGAGGGACCAGGCAUACGAUGACCUGAGUCGAUCGUGCAAUCGGGUAAACAUCCUGAGGCCGGCCAAUAGCUAAAUAACUUCUACUGGUUUCCUGAAACUUAUCCAUUGGAGGGACCAGUCAUACGAUGACCUGAGUCCAUCGUGCAAUCGGGUAAACAUCCUCAGGCCGGCCAAUAGCUAAAUAACUUCUACUGGUUUCCUGAAACUUAUCCAUUGGAGGGACCAGGCAUACGAUGACCUGAGUCGAUCGGGUAAACAUCCUGAGGCCGGCCAAUAGCUAAAUAACUUCUACUGGUUUCCUGAAACUUAUCCAUUGGAGGGACCAGUCAUACGAUGACCUGAGUCCAUCGUGCAAUCGGGUAAACAUCCUCAGGCCGGCCAAUAGCUAGCAAACCCAAGUCUGUGGAACAGUGGAGAACCAACCCUAUCCACGAAGACCCCGGGUUAGAUGUGGCGGCUCACUGAUUGGCGUAUCACGCCACACAAGCCCGCUUGAGAAGACACUUGUUCCAUGAUGAAGCCGAGAUUAUGGAUUCCAUCCAUUCGGGCACAUGCCAGGAGUGUCUGGACGGAUUAGCAGGGUGCCGCUGCUAGAUGCCACCUAAACUCAGGGUGCCGCCCUCCUUCGUGGACUAAUACAAUGGGUCCGUCAAGUCUAACAUGAUAGGAUGACUCCUGGUUACCGUCCCUUCCCAACGUUUCCAAUUAUCCUUUGACCAUCGUCUGAGACAUGCCUGAGCAAUCAAUGACAAGCAAGGCAAGGUAUCCUAGGCGCCACUUGCAGAAACAAUGACAAUUAAGCUCUCUGCCCGAGAAUGUUGACCUUGCCCUUGCUACGCCAUCCAUACACAACAAAGCUAUCGAAGGUUAUGCAAGUAGACCCCAACCCGAGGGGCAAGUCCAUUCCUUUUAAGAGAAAAACCCUCCAUACUUCACCUUCUAACUCUCCUCGUUGCAGUGAUUUGUCUUUUUAUUAUGUCCCAUAAGAUAAGAUUAUUGGUCACACAAAUAGACACUCUUGGGAGUCUGGACAAACAAAAUCUUGUAUUAAAGUUGAGGAUUUACUCUGAUAUUAUUUGUGACGAUUAACUAUCUUAUAUUCUUAAAAUACGUCUACCUAGUUAAAUAAAACCUAUACAUAUAAUUUCAAAAACUUAUUCCCUUAAAUGCAUGUGUGAUUAAGAGAAAUAUCGAAAUAAAACCUAUAUAAAAUGUCAUGAAAUUAUUUCCUUAUUUGACGUGAGAUAUCGAAAUCAUCCUCCUAUAGACACAACAUCUUUACUGCAUGUGUCCUAUAGGAUUAUGGAGUUACUAAUAAACACCCUUUGAGGUUAGACGAAUAAAAUCUCAUUUUGAGGUUAAGGAUCGGUGUUGAUAGUAACAAUCCACUUCCUCCUAUGUACAAGUUAUUCACUUUAAGUAUAAAGGGCUUCCAUCGUUUUAAAAUACAUUUACUCGAUUAAAUAAAAUUUAUAUAUAUAAGGAACUUAUUCCUCUAAUCAAGUUGGUUUCAAAGCGAAUGAUGUUUACACAAAAGAGAGUGGAUCUUUAUACUAUUUUGGGUGUAAAGAAUCUCAUAUUAAGGUUGAGAAUUGAUAUUGAUAUCAUUUAUAAUAACUCACUUCCUCCCAUGUACAUAAUAUUUAUUCCAAGCCUAAAAAGUUUUGCGAACAUCAUUCCCUUAACCAGUAUGGCUUCAAAGCAAAUAAUAUUCAUACAAAUAAAUAAAUAAAAUAGCAUAUCCUUACACCUAGUAACGAAGAGUCUCAUUAACAUUUUGGAUCAAAAGACUAGUUCAAUCAACACUUUUUUUUUUCCACUUGUUUUUAAAAGAAUUGAUAUAGAUAGGCUCCAUAGUAAAUCCCAAUCUAAUCAGCCUUCGUCGACAUGGCAUCCACAUUGGUUGAGGGAUGUAAUUUUUUUGCAACAAGCAGAAAUUGCGGGUAACGUUUCUUUAAGUUAUGUUUGGUUCCUCAAAAGUACAAAGAAAAAUGAUUUUCUCAUGUUUGGUUAUCCUAUAAAAUAUUCCAAAGAAAAUUAAAUAUAAUUAAAAUUAGUUAGAAACUUAUGCAUUUUAAAAGUAUUUAAUCUUUAUAUUAAUGAAUUAAAAUAAAUAAAAUGAGUUUGAAGUAACAAAUAAAAAUAAUUUAUCAUCUUUAACUCUAUUUUUUAUUUUCCUUUACUUUUUACUUUUCCUCUCUAUUUUUUUUCCUUUGUAUUUUCACUCAAAUUUUUCAAGAACCAAACACAACCUUACCUUUUCAUUUUUUUAAAUUACAAAUUGAAAUAAAAACUUAGAAAAACUAAAAUAAAUACUAUUAUUUAUAUAUAUAUAUAUAUAUAUAUAUAUUAAAUUGAAUAAAGAUUUAAAAAAUAUACUUCUUUCAAUCUUGAAUUUUUUUCUUGAAAAUUAAUUAAUUAAAAAAAGUAAGAAACUAAUUUAUUUUUCUAUGCUUUUAUCCUUUUUUUACUAGGGAAAUAAUGUUCAAACUAGUGAAGAAAAAAGAUUAAACUUUAAGAUAAAAACCUACCUGACCCAUUUUUUGAAGUGGGGGGGGGUGGGGGGGCGGGAGAAUUUUCUUCUCCUUUUGCAUGACAUUUGUGGAAGAAGGGAGGGGGGACCUUCCCAUGCACGGGACAAACGGCAUAGGCAACUGGCCGAGGGCAGGGCUGCGGGGAAGCCAUGCUGGCUGACGGGAGGAAUAGGAGAGUGGGUAUAGCUGCAGAGAGAAAAAAGUGAGAGGGAGAGAGUUCUGGGGAGUUGGAGGGGAACGCACUCUGGAGGGGGCGGACGAGGAAAGAGGGAGCUAAGACCAUCUUCACCCUGAAAGUUCAGGUCUGGCCAUUUUCUUAAAUCCCAUUUUCAUUACGUUGUUCUUUCUUUUUUGUUGUUUUGCUUAGAUUGCACUUGAUUUCCCGGCAUGAACUGCCGAAGGGGGAAGGCAUGGAGGGACCACAAGAUGGUUUUAACCUCUAGGAAGUCAUGAGGGUGCUUUAACACACCCAUUCCUUCCCCUUGCUUGGUUAGCUGAUAUCUAGUUGGCUCUAUCCUCUUUCAAACCCCAUGCAUGGCUACCCCUGUAACCCCUCAAGCUCCUCUCCUUCUGUAAUGGCCGAAGGUUCACCUGGCGCCACCUGCAUGCCUUCUCCGCCGCCGUUGAAGCCAAAGGUUGCAUCUCCGCUCCUCUGCGUCCUCCUAGACAACCCCCGCGAUCGUCACCCUGCCCAUCAAGUCGCCCGCUGCCGGUCGUGGAGUCCCCCACCAUUCUCCUCAUCCAAGCCCAGCUUGGCCUCAUCGGACCUGUUCGCUGUGCUGUUGGCCCUGCGCCAGGCGUGACGCAACCCCGGAUCUCGUGCCCGUCGGCGCCCCAGUCACCUACACCGCCCACGGCUCAUCCGGCCGUGCUGAGAAUUCAGCCAUUGACGCCGCCCUCUCAUCAUGAUGAGAGACCCGCCACCCCCACCGCUCUGUCAUUCCCGCCUUCUACAUCGGCGGCGCUCGUGCCAGGGACCUGGCGAGCCCUGUAACCUCCCACUUCGACAGCCGCCCAGCUUUUCGUCCCGCCGGCAACAGGAAGCUCCGUCCGAGGGUGAUGCCCAGGCGAGGGGGGGGGGGAAUAAGUUUGUGAGGGGAAUGGGUGUUUUGGGCUUGCUCAUGACGGCAUUGGAUUUGGGCUUGGGUUGGAGCACCAGGCCCAAGUUUGUGAUGAAGAUGGUUGCCUUGGGCUUGCCCAUGGCAAGGAUAUUGGGCUUGAGCAGGAGCCCAGGCCCAAGGAUGUUGAUGGACUCCCCAUGCCAGCCACCCUCGUGGCCCAAGUCCAUGUUGAGCUAGCUCAUUUGGCUGCCUCAAUUCUAAAAAAAUCUCUAUACCUCUAAUCGAUAAAUUUACUACAUUCUAAACUUUACAUUUUAUUUUCAAAACUUAGGUCCUUAAGUAAUUUUUCAAAAAUCUCAUGUCUUAAUUUAAUUUUUCAAUAAUUCGUUUAAAUCUUAUUUUCAUCAAUUAGAAUUAUCAUCCCAUAUUUAUCUAGUUAUUUAAAGUCUAAUCCUUCAAAAAUCCCAUAUCUUAAUUUAUUUUUUCAACCCUAAAAAUUCUACAAUUCGUUUAAAUCUUAUUUUCAUCAAUUAGAAUUAUUAUCUCAUAUUCAUCUAUUUAUUUAAAGUCUAAUCCUUCCAAAAUUUCAUGUCUUAAUUUAAUUUUUUCCAUCCUAAAAAUUCUAAUCUUAUUUUCAUCAAUUAUAAUUAUUAUCUCAUAUUUAUCUAGUUAUUUAAAGUCUAAUCCUUCAAAAAUCCCAUAUCUUAAUUUAAUUUUUCAAUAAUUCUUUUAAAUCUUAUUUUCAUCAAUUAGAAUUAUUAUCUCAUAUUCAUCUAUUUAUUUAAAGUCUAAUCCUUCAAAAAUCUCAUGUCUUAAUUUAAUUUUUUUUCAUCCUAAAAAUUCUACAAUUCGUUUAAAUCUUAUUUUCAUCAAUUAUAAUUAUUAUCUCAUAUUUAUCUAGUUAUUUAAAGUCUAAUCCUUCAAAAAUCUCAUGUCUUAAUUUAAUUUUUUAAUAAUUCGUUUAAAUCUUAUUUUCAUCCAUUAGAAUUAUUAUCACAUAUUUAUCUAGUUAUUUAAAGUCUAAUCCUUCAAAAAAUCUCAUGUCUCAAUUUAAUUUUUCAAUAAUUCGUUCAAAUCUUAUUUUCAUCAAUUAGAAUUAUUAUCUCAUAUUUAUCUAGUUAUUUAAAGUCUAAUCCUUCAAAAAUCUCAUGUCUUAAUUUAAUUUUUCAAUAAUUUGUUCAAAUCUUAUUUUCAUUAAUAGAAUUAUUAUCCCAUAUUUAUCUAUUUAUUUAAAGUCUAAUCCUUCAAAAAUCUCAUGUCUUAAUUUAAUUUUUCAAUAAUUCGUUCAAAUCUUAUUUUCAUCAAUAGAAUUAUUAUCCCAUAUUUAUCUAGUUAUUUAAAGUCUAAUCCUUCAAAAAUCCCAUGUCUUAAUUUAACUUUUCAAUAAUUUGUUUAAAUCUUAUUUUCAUCAAUUAGAAUUAUUAUCACAUAUUUAUCUAGUUAUUUAAAGUUUAAUCCUUCAAAAAUCCUAUGUCUUAAUUUAAUUUUUCAAUCUUAAAAAUUUUACAAUUCGUUUAAAUCUUAUUUUCAUCAAUUAGAAUUAUUAUCUCAUAUUUAUCUAUUUAAUUAAAGUCUAAUCCUUCAAAAAUCUCAUCUCUUAAUUUAAUUUAUCAAUCCUAAAAAUUCUACAAUUCGUUUAAAUCUUAUUUUCAUCAAUUAAAAUUAUCAUCUCAUAUUUAUCUAUUUAUUUAAAGUCUAAUUCUUCAAAAAUCUCAUGUCUUAAUUUAAUUUUUCAAUCCUAAAAAUUCUAAAAUUCGUUUAAAUCUUAUUUUCAUCAAUUAGAAUUAUAAUCUCAUAUUUAUCUAUUUAUUUAAAGUUUAAUCCUUCAAAAAUCCAACGUCUUAAUUUAAUUUUCAAUUUCAAAAACUUCCACUACUCAUUUUCUAUUCUUUUAAAAUGUUAUUUCCAUUAAUUAGCAUUAUCAUUCCAUAUUUAUUUAUCUAUUCUAAUCGUUAAAGUUUAAUUCUCCAAAACCCAACUUCCAAAUCUAAUUUCCAAAUCUCAAAAGCUCCAUUGUUCAUAUACCGCUGUCUAAUUAUUAUUCUCGUUAUUAAUGUUAUCACAUCCAUUUAUUUAUUCAGUUAUCCAUAUACCUAAGAUCUUCUCUAAAUAAAUUUUCAAGCUUUCAAUCUCUAAAUUUAAAUCUCUCAUCCCUAAAAUUCCAUCUUUCGCAAUUAUUUACCUAAUCUUUAUUAUUUCACCAUCGUUAUUAUUCCAUUCAUUUACUUAUUCACUCAUUCACUUAUCCACUCAUUUAAAAUCCCAAACUCUCCAAUCAUUUUCAAAAUUCCAAUUUCGUUCAAAUUUAAUUUCUAAAAUUCUCGUUCUCACAUUUAAUCUCUGAAAGUCUGAUCUUCAAAUAAACUCUAAAACUCCAAUUUUCCAGUAAUCUUCGAGAUUCCAAUUUUUCAAAUAAAUUUCAAAAAUCUAAUUUUCUCUCAAAUAGUUUUAAUUCUACUCUGGUUUUCAAACGAUCUUAUGCUCCUCUUGAUUUCAAUAAACACAAAUAAAUUUUUCAUAAUUCCAGAAUAAUGGAGUCUGUAACAUUAAGUCAUGCAAAAUAAACGGGCUUUAGUGGGGGCUCAACAUGGGCAACUUUAUGAUUGAUUGAUUGAUUAUUUGAUUUGAUUAUCAUACAUGAUUGAUUUAUCCUACUCUCUAACAUGCAUGAGAUUAUUCCUAAAUUGUGCACUAACCCUCUCUAUUGAUAGCGCAUGGUGGCUCGUUGCCCAGGUAUGUACCUACUUUCCCUCUAAUCGUUGUCUAUACAUGUUCCGAUUCUUAUAUGUGCAUGAUCAUUCAAGAUAUUCAUUGAUUUACUCAUUAAUUGCCACAUCAGACUGUACAUUCCCGAUAAGUAACCUGACCCCCGAGCCCGAUCCGAUUUUUCGUAGAUCACCUUUUCCAAAAUAAGGAGUCACACUUAGGGUUUUCUUUCUUAUUUUGUUUACCCUUUUAAAAUAAAACAAAAAUAAGUGGUGACUUCAAAUCAUUUUUCUUAAUUAAUAAAUUUUUUUUUUUUUUAAAGAUAAAAAUCGAGCUCGCCAUCGAGUGGGAAACGCAUGAGCCGAAAUGCAGGGUCCACACUACCAUUUUUGUAAUCUUAAAAAAAAAAAUUACAUUGAAUGUCAAGUUAGAAACAUAGAUAAGAUUGAGAAAAAGGCAUAAGUUAAAAAAGGAAAAAAAAUCACAAAAUAAAAACCUAAUUUUAUAAAAACAAACUUAAAUUAUUUUUAAAAAUUUCUUAUUUUGUGAUUAUUUUUAUGUGAAUUUGUGGUAACACUUUUUCUUUGGUCCAAAACUGCGGGAAAAAGGUAGCAUCUACCGUGGGUCUGUAAAUUUUGCAUAAAUGAAAUGCUUCCCGAGCCUCCACAAAACACUAAACCUCCAAUGUAAAUCAUAGAAUGAAAUGUGGCCCCAAGGAAAAUUUAACUUGCAUUCCGGGGUCUGCAAAAGUAGCAACACAAUAAAGAGGUAGUUCUUUAUGAAAUAUGGUUGUUAUGUACAAAGAUGGAACACCACAUACAGCGCAUGGGCUAUCUUUCUUAAGUCCCCAACUUCUACUUCAAAUUUCAUGAAGCCUUCCCGCAUUAGGAGCACUAAAAAAUAAAAGUAAAGAUCAAAAUAGAAAAUGAAAACCUUGAAACAACCCACCAGCUUCUUCUCAUUUGAUGUGGGCAUUAGCAGGCCCAGCAAUUCAAUCAUAUCACCCAAACAGUAUUUGAGUAUUCAUUGCAUUGGCCCACUCCACUCUACAAUCACCAUACCUUCUGCUGUUCCACAAAAAAAUUGAAAGACUUAGUAAUGCCCAAAUUCAGGUGAUAGCAGACAUGUAAGCUUUUGAAAGGGAAUUUGAUUAAGGUUGGUUCUCUCAUUUCUCAGCUCUUAGUAAUAGUACGUUUGCCUAAUCACCCAUCUGAAAUUGAACUGAACCAUAUCGAUCGCUGUAGAUUGAUAUCAUUUUAGUGAAGUCCGGGUUCAUACCUUUAAUGUCAUGUGUCAUUCACAAGCAAUUUUGGUGUCAAAGCUGCUGAGGCAGAUUGCAAAUGCCUGGAAAGCAGAGAUUGGAUACCGGUAAUCCAUGGUAAAUAGAUCCUUCCCCACUUUUCCGAACUGGAGGAUGAUCUUCUCAUGUUGCUGGCCUGCAGGUCCAUCCUCUGGAGAAGCCACCAGCUGAAAGUUUUUCACUGAAGCAACUGUCACCCGUCCAUGGAAGUUCAAACACCAGCACUGGAGCUGCUCGUGCCACCUGGGAGCCUUGUUCUUCAACACCAGCGCUCCAUCCUUUUUAUCGGCUAAUGGUUCUGAUAAAGAAUUUUCCACACUGUGUGAUUUCGAGCGGAAAAAUGAGAAGGAUGGAAAGACAUCUGGGUUGCUGAGUCGAAUCUCUGUCUGUGUGGGGGUCACUCCCCCUGGUUCAAUAGCUGAGGCAGGGAUGGAAUCCAUGCUACACUGCAUUCUCCUUGGACCCCUGGUCGUUAUCCAAAGAAAAAAAAUUAUUAUUAGCUAGUUGGUUUUUGAAAGUUCUGGCACAGCUGCUGACACCACACCCACAUGGGAUGUCAGGUGGGAUAGCUACUGUAAAUAAGUGAAGCUAUUAAUGGAAUUUUUUAACAAGUGAUAUCUCUUGGAAAAUCAUCUAUAGGAAUAGGAAAGUUUCACAAAUCCCUUUGGAAAAAGGAUCUCCACAUAUAUGUAUUUAUUAACUUAUUUCAGACAUCAAACUCCAAAUUACUUGGCAUAAAUACUCACCUAGAACCCAGCACAUUCACUUCAUAUGAGAUGUGAGCUACUGGAUAGCUUCCAGCAGGGACUCUGGGUGAGACUUGUUUCAAACCCACCAGCCUAGUGGAGCGAUUUCGCAUAAUCUUGGCUCCAGAAUGAGGUGGCUGCCCAUCAUAGACUGUGAACUUGGUUCCUAGAAAAUUUGAUCUGGUCAAAGGAGAGAAAAAAAAGGGUGAACUUGGAGUCCAUGAUAGAACAAAAACUGGUCAUAUUUUAAGAAGUUAGAACACACCUCAAUUUUCCAAUAUAGGUGCUGCUCCCCUUUGACAUGUCAUCAGCAUACAGAGAAAUGAUAUAAUCUGUGCAGGUGGUACGUCUGUACUUACGCGCAGCCAAGAGGAACUUUCCAUCUUCAGUUAGUGCUGUUUCAGAGACCGGACAAAAGCAAAAGUGUCAAUAUUCAAAGCUCAGUUAAAGAGAACUUUAAAAAGGAAAGAAGGGCAUCUCUCCCCCAAAUGCUUUCCAAAAAUUUUGGAAAGCAGGAACUCUAGCAUUUAAUCAAAGCAAUUAGGCAUCCAAACUCGCCAAACACGGUCAGAUCAAUGCAAAUGUGAACAAUGAAAUUUUGGUGAACGCAUCCGAUAGGAAAAACAAAAACCCAUACUUAUACUGAGAAUGCCACUGCUCACCAUUAGUUAAACUGAGGUAAAGAUAAUACGUCUGAGCAGACCGAUUCCGUUUUAUAAAACACUUGAGUAGAGAUUCUCUUGGACCAGGCUGCAAAAUUAACCACAACUGUUACAUAGCGUACAGACAAUUCUGAAGGUUUAAGAAUUGCACACCCCAUAACUAAAUUCCUGAACCCAAAACCAGAAUUGGAAAACAAAAAUCCAAACAAAACAAUUGAAAGUGCUCUGAUCAAUCCACAACUUCUGCAUAACCCACCCUUAACUUGUAAACAUUACCAUAAAUCCUAUACAUAUCACAUCAUAUCUCAAGAACAGCUAAGCUUUCCGAACAGAGAGAGGGAGAGAGAGAGAGGGGAAGGAAGAGGGAGAGAAGGUAAAAAAAAAAAUCUUAUGAAACUAAGCCUUAAAGGCUCAUAGAAACAUUUAUCAAAGAAAUCAAACAACACUCCAGAAAAAUUAGCAAGCUGUUGAAGCCAAAGCUGUCCCCUGCACUCUACUACUAAUUUUAGCUUAAAAUUUCGAGCUAAUUUUCCGAAUUCCACAAUUGCUUGUGCCUUGAAACAAUCAAGGAUAUGCUAAAUCCGUUUGGUACAGAAACAAACUAAGAGAUUUCUGAUUUUUUCUGGGAUUUUUCCCUAAAACAUUCUCAAUAUUGAAAGAAAAAUGAAUCGGAGUUCAGCUCAAAAAAUUCACCCAUAAUUCACAAUUCCCGUAUCCAAAAAAGACAAGCCAAAACUCAUAUUCAAGUUCACAACUCGUUCUUCGAACAACCAGAAGGCAUAGAAAAAUUGAAGCAACAAUGAAUGAACAUCCAGAAACGAAUCAUAAAACACAAAAACCUGCUUGACCGAAAUCGGAAAGGUCAACGAGGCGGAGACUUCCGGCGUCUUGACGAGUUCCUGAGUGAUACGGCGCCAGCUCUUGCAGACUCCGGCGCAGGCGACCACAUUUUUCCGGGAAGGCCAGGUGGUGUCAGACGCCUCAAUUCUGAUAAGCACCUCUCUGAGCAGCUCCUCAGGCAUCUGAGACCAACAGCUCUGCUCCAACCCAUCAACCCACUCGUCUUGAACCACACGAUUCCACCUACCCCUCAUUUUCCUUCCCAAUUCUCAGACCCCAGAACCCAGCUUUAAUCCCAGAAACAAGAAAACCAUUCUUUUCUUCAAAGAUUGAGCUUAUGACACCAAAAUGUCUGUCGCAUGCUCGUAAGCACGAGAAAUUUUUUGGAGAAAGGUCUAAAGGGUUCCGGUAACCAUUAACAUCAGAUGAACAGCAAUUGCAAAUGAUAUGAGGAGAGAAAUUUCUGGGAUUGAGAAGAUAUUUGAGAGAGAGAUGUGGUGAGACUGUUAUCUUUUGAAUGCACUCGUUGAGGGAGGGUGGACCCGUUGGUUAGGUUUAAGGGUGGACCUGGUGGGUUAGGUUUAGUGCUCAACCAAAUUUAAUCUAUAUUUAAGUAUUUUCUUUUCUUUCCUUAUAUAUUUCACAAUUUUUAUCUCUUUUAAAAAAUAAAUAAAUCCAUUAAAAUUUUCAUUUUAGUGAUAUUGAGGGCAUGUUUGGUUGUUGUUUUUGAAAACUGUUUUUUGUGUUUAAAAAACAAAAUUGUGUUUGAAAACUAAAUUUUGAAAAACAAUUUUUGUUCUCAAAAAUAAAAAUAAAAAUGUAUAGUUGAGUUGAUAAAAAAGUUUUUUAUAAUAAGUAAAAUAAAAAAUAUGUUUAAAAAUUAUUUUUUUAAUUAAUAAAGUAUUUUUUUCCAUUAACUUGAUAUUAUAAAUAUAUAAAUAAAUUUCAUAUGCAUAAUCCAUUUAAAUUUAAAAAAAUUAUUCAAUUUUGAAAUUUUUACACCAAUUAUAAUUUUCUUAAACAAAUGAUGACUUUGUCACCGUGUGUAAGUAUAUUGAUUUCAAUCAUUUAAGGAAGAAGAAAUGAUUUGUGGAUGGGAAUGGUGAUUGGGUGGAGCUCAUCUUUGUGAAAACACAAAAAAAGAAAGCUAAGAAAACACAAAAAUAAGGAAAAUAAAAUACAAAAAACAAUCUAUUAUUUGAACCGUGACAAAAUAAUGAAAAUAUUUUUUUAUUUUUCUCAAAAGAAAAGGUUUUUGAAAAUAAAAAAUACAAAAAACAAAAAUACACCCUCUUCUCCAAAUAAGUUUUUGUGUUUUUUAUUUUCAAAAAUAAAAAACAAUUAUUGAAAAUAGGAACCAAACAAACCUAAGCAUUUGGGGUCGUUUUAUUACGCUUGGAAAAACACAUCAAGUAUUACAUCCAACAUCAAAAGACUCUAAAAUUUAUUUUCUUAAUUUUAAAAUUAUAUUAAUAAUAUAUGCGUCAAAUUUAUGAUUAAAUUUUUUUAAAAAAUGGAAAAUAAAAAUAAAUAGCGGAAUAGUGAUAAGACUUGUCUAACCCCAUUAAGUGAAUGAGCUGGAAAGCUACAGCACAAUAGAGGGGGCCACCUGAACCCGAGGCUUCGCAGCCCAUAUAAUUAUUAUUAGUAUUUUAUUUGUGGAUGUCCACUUCUCCACGCGGAUUGUCUGUGAAUUUUACAAAGCCAUUGAACGGGAAAUGCCAAAAAUUUAAGAAAGGAGAAGAGGGUAGUCACUGUUUGGCAUUAAGCAUAGGAUGAUGGAAGUUCUCUACUUUCUAGACACACCUCCUCUGGAAUUAACGCACGCCUUCCUAUUCUCUUGUCAAAUCUCCAUCCAUCGCUUAGCUGCGCCUUGUUCACUAUUUUAUUCUCCGUUUGGGACAAAAAAAAGGGUUUCCUUCUGUAAUUGCUAUGGGUGGUGGAAAGCUCAUAAAAUGAAUGAAGGAUAGCUUCAAUAAGAAAGAACUUAAAAAUGGGAGAUGUCGGGUUUUGUGGAGCCUAAUUUUGUUUGAUUCGAUUUGACUAUCCAACCCAAAUAAUAUUGCAUGAUUUUUUUUAAUGGAAGAUUUACUAAGACUUAGUCCAUGAAGCAAAGGUUUGGACUCGUUUAGCCCAUUAUGAAAUCGCCUUUUAUAAUUAAGGUUUUUUAAUAUGAUAUUAUUGUCAUGUUUUAUAUAAAGAGAAAAAUAUUAUAGUAAAAAAAAUUAUACUUUGUAUUCUUUCUGAUAAUAGUAAUAUCCUUAUAACUCUAUGUACAUAGAUAAAUUAUCGAAACACAUAAAUAUUAUCUCGUAUAUAUGAUUAUUUUUUUUGACAUGUGUGUGUGUUUUUUUUUUUUUUUUAUCACUUAGGAAUUCGGCUUUAUUCUUCAGGAGAGAAGAAGGGAGAGGGCGGAAGGGGGUGUGUCUAUGACUAAUUAGUAUUGUCAGACUAUCUUGUUUGUGUCAAAUCAAAGUCCCCACAGGACUUGUUGGCAUCAUCAGGACUUUACGGGUUACGGGUAGUGAGCACGUAGACCACUAAAGCCCCAUUAGACGAUUCUUUGGAAAACCUCCGUCCUGGGCUAUAAAAUAGUAUUACAUGCCAAAAGGGAUUAUUCUUGCUUAUCCCGUAGGCUUGCAGUGGGUGUGAAAAGGGACAAACGGGGGGAACAGCUAUUUUAUAAGUUCGAUAAUAUUUGGAAGCUGUUCUACCAUAACAAUAUUUUAUAUGGAGAGAGAGAACUGGCUUUCCCCCAAGUACCUACCAUACGCGGUUUUGGUCAUGACUCAUGAUUGUACUUCAUUUUUCUCUAAGGCUGAAUGCUGUUUGUUAUAAAGGUAUAAGAAACACAUGUUAAAAGAUGAGAUCAUCAAGUGGCAAUUUAACGAACAGUUAAAAUGCAGACUUAAAAUGAAAAGCGACCAAUAAAUCUUUACACUUUUUUCCUGGUUAUGAGUCGCGUCAAAAGCCUAUGAAUAGGUUUGGCUACCGAAUACGAUGACGGAUGAACCUUUCAAUCGUAAAAGCAAAAGAAAAGUGAAACAUUGUACGAGAAAAAAAUAUAUAAUUAAAUAUUUAAAAUUUUUAAAUAAAAAAUAUUAAAUUAUGUUGCUAAAUAUGUAAAAAUAUCAUGUAUGAAGUAAAUAAUGUUAUUCAUGAAAUAUAAAUAAAUAUAAAAGAAUAUACUUAAAACAUUGAAAAUACAAUAUAUAAAACAAAGAAACACUAAGGAUAUGUUUGGUUGAUAUUUUCAAGAAUUAAAAAAAAAAAAUGCUAAAAACUUGUUUGGUUGAAAAUUUUAAUUUUGUUUUUCUUAUUCUCCGUGUUCUCAAAAUUAUAUUUUUUAGAGAACAAAAAAAUGGUGUUUUGCCCAUUUUUUUAUUAUAUGCAUAACAAAUAGGCCAUAGAGAGAUCAUCAGUUCUUUGUGUGUUUUUUUUUUUUUUUUUUUUUUCCAGAUAUGUGCUUUAUUUUUAUCAUGUGUUGUUAGUUUUUUUUUUUUUUUUUUCGUUUAUAUUUUCCUGUUUGGAUGCUAAGAAAAGUGGGGAACGAUAAUGAAAACAAAAAAAAAAUUCCUGAUUUUUCCCAUUUCUCCAUUUUGAUUUUUCUUGAGUUGUUUUAUUCAAAACAAAAAAAAAACAAAAAACUUGCUUAAGGACAAAGAAAAGGAGUUGCUUUGAGAGGGUUUUGCAGGUGACUUUUUCUCAGUUUCGAAGAAAAUGAGAGAUAGCUGAAGGUGAGGGUAGUCAUUUGUAAAUAAGGUAAUAAUAUUGGGUAAACACUUUUCUUAAUAGUGGAAUGGGCAUAGAUAUUUUGAAGGGACAUGGUUGAUAAAAAAAAAAUUCAUGUGAUAAAAUCUAGGGAGAAUUACUAAAAAGGGUAGGCCGGAAAAAAUAAUUACUAUGAAGGCUCACUCUUUUAGAGGACAAUCUUACCCUUGAAUAUAUUUUCUAUAUUAUUUAUAAAUAAAUUGAGAUUGUCAAUGAUGUGGAGCCCAUAUAUGAUGAUAAGUACAAAUUGAUAGGUAAUCAACAGUACAUUUCUCGGCUUGAAAAAAUUACCUGUUCACUUUUAAACAAUCAAAUGACUAUUUAAAAAUUUGCAUUUUUUUUCAAAAAAAUUGAGAUUUUUUAAAGAACCUUGUAAAAAAAAAUAAUUUUCAAUUUCUCAUAAAUAAAAACCAUAUCCUAAAGUUAUUAUAUCGUUUUAUAUAUAAAACAUACAAUUAAAAACUUUGUUAUCAUAAUAUAAUGAAUAAUUAUUUUUUACGAGCACUCAUCAAUUGAAUAAUAUAUAAAUAUUCAAUUGACUAACACACACCUAUUAAAUGGAAUAACUCACAAUUAUUCAUGGGGUAAUAUAGCACGUGAAAAAAAUUAAAUAAAAAUAAAUAAAAUUAUGUUGUAAUAUAUUGUAAUGAUAAUGUAUUUAUAUUGUAAGUAUAAUACAUUUAUGUCGUACCUAUAUUUCAUUACAAAAGUAAUAAUUCUAAAAAUGUUUAUUCAUAUUCUAUUAGUAUUAAUACAUCGUAUCAAUCUCUUAACAACAUUUAUUUAGUGUUUUGAAAUUAUUUAAUAAUUUUUGUAUAUAUAUAUAUAUAUAUGAAAAACUACGAGUCUCGUGAACUCAAAUUAGUAUUUCAUUUGGUUUCAGAAAUUAUUUAUGAUAUAGGUAUGUUGUGAAAUAUAGUACGAUCUUUAUAAAAAAUUCAUAGAUUUCCUAAUUAGGUUUUAUUGUAAUGUAAGUGUAUUUAUAUUGUAAUUAUAACAUAUUUUUGUUGUACCUGUAUUUUAUAAUAAAAGUAAUAAUCUUGAGAAUCACCUUUUAUACCUUAUUAAUAUUCAACAUAUCAAAUAUAUUAACAUCAUAUUGUUGCAAAGGAAAAAAUAUCAUAUAAAUUUUUUUAAAAUUAUUUUAUUAUAAAAAUAGAAAAUGAUUAAACAUUCUCUAUCAUUUUCUUAUUCUUUUUAGAGAAUCUGAAUGAAAAAUUAAACAUUUUAUCUUCCUUGAAUUUAAUACAAAAACAUAAUUUAUUAAUUUAAAAUUAUAAUAUAUAUAUAUAUAUGAAAAAAUCAUCAUUUUUAUUAUAUAAUUAUAAAACUUAUUUUUUUCUUAAUAAAAUUAAAAAUUAGAAUAAAAAUUAAAAAUGUAAAAAAACAAUAAAUGAUAUUUUGAAAAUAUUUUUUAAAAGUAUUUUUGUUUUAAAUAACAAAUUACAUAUAAUUGUAAGGGUUAAACCCAAAAUUUUGAUUUAAAAUUCGAAUGUCAAUCAUUACAAUAAAUGUGGGCUUCAUGAAUCAUAUAUAUUGACAAAUUAAGUUAAGUGCUUUAAAUGCUUUGAAUUUUAAAAGUUUUAGUUAAAUGGCAGUUUUGGUAUAUUCAACCUUUCUUGCAUUUAUUUUUAUGUCCUAUUUAUUUUAUUUACAAGCUUGUUAGGUAAAAAUUAAAUUAAUUCUUUUUAAAAAAAUUUAUCUCAUCUUAAUAAAAUAUACUUUAAUUUUUAAUAAAAUUAAAGAUUAAAUCAAGAAAAAAAUAUUAAUAAAAAUGAUUUUAUAAUGUUUGAUUUAUUUUAAAAAAUAUAAAAAUAUUCUUAUUUUAAAAUUAAUAAAAUAAAUAAUUUUUUAAUUUAAAUGUUCUAUGUAUCUAAAAAUUAUUUAUAAAUUUAUAAUAUAAAACAUUUUAUUAAUUGAAAAAUAUAUAUAUAUAUUUUAAACAUGUUUUAUAUUUUACUACUUAUAAAAACUUUUAUAUUAACUCAAUCAAACAUAUAUAUUUUUUUUUUUUGAGAACAAAAACUAUUUUUCAAAAUUCAAUUUUCAAACAUAAAUUUUUUUUCUAAAAACACAAAAAACUAUUUUUAAAAACUAUUCUCAAAAAAGCAAAGAGUCCUAACCAAUUUAUGUUAUCUCAUUUUUAUCACAUGUUGGGAAAUCAGAUCUGCAAACAAUAGUAAUAUUUGAAGUUUAGAGACAGAAAUGUAAAGGUUGAUUUUAUGCGGAUGACCUCGAUUUUUACGAAAUGACAGGCGGCGGCCGUCCUUGCUAUCUUGUGAUACGACUGUGAAUAGCCUUCAAAACAGUCAAUCCCUGUAACAAACAAAUAAGUGGGCGUGGGGGGAUAAAUCAAAAUAUUUGAUGAACAUGGACAAUAUAUAUAUAUAAUAUAUCCAGUUAUGACAAUUUGCCAGCAAAUAGCAUCCUACCACAUAUCAUCAGGAAUAGCUGUUUUCCUUUUGGUUCCUGAACUAAAAAGCCGCAAUAGAACAUAAUAGAAGUGAGACAAAAAUUGUCUAAGCACAAAGACUAAGAGGUUGUCCAUUUCUGUCCUUGUCAACCCUCUGUUUUCAGCCAUGUGCAUAAUUGCUGGGGACAUCUUUCCAAGUGCUGUCCACAGCUCUCAAUUGAUUUCUCAUUGAAUUAUAGCACUAUCUCAACCCCACCAAACCUCCAGUACCUACAACCAAAAAAAGACGUUUCCCUAGCUCUUGCCUCUCACCCCUUCGCAAGUGCUGGCUUUCAUCAAUUGGAUAGAUACUAUAGAGUAACGAAACAUCAAAAUCUUCACCAAAAAGUAAAGUCCCUUUCCUGCACCUUGGGUAUAGUCUUUCUUUACAAGAAGAUGAACCUGUAGAAUGUAAGCUAUGGAAAUUAUUUUCACAAAGCAAAUAAAAAUUUAUGUCUAAUUGUGCAUUAACUUGUGAAAAUUCAUAAUCCAAGAAAUAUAUCUACUCUGGCCUACUAACAACUUAUCUACACUUUUGAGUUUCUAUGCUUUUUGUUAACAGCACAACCUGCCCCAAUGAAAGGCAUCACCAGACCCCUUAAAGAACAAUAGCAAAGGCUAAAUUAGAGGCCCAUUUGGAGGUAAUUUUUAGAGCUGGAAACACUUCUUCAUACUUGGAAUUGCUUUCUUACAAAAGUUAAAUGUUUGGCACAUUUUUAAAAAUCUAGAGAAUCACUUAAACGAUUUCAAGAUCAUCAAUUAGGGUGUGUUUGGUAAUGUUUUUAUUUGAAUUGUUUUUAGAGUAAGUGUUUUUGAAAGAACUAUGUAUCAAGUGUUUCUUCAGGAAGCACUACAAGUGAUUUUUCAACUUUUUAAAAAUAAUUUCUAAAUUUUAUCAAAUGAUUGAUUUUUCUUCAAAAAUGCUUUUAUGCUAAAAGUGUUUCCUAAAAACACUACCAAAUGGAUACUUAACAGGUGAUUCUUAAAAAAAAAAAUCUAAUUUUUGUUAUAUAAUAUAUUACUAAUAACACUAUCAAAAAACCUUUAUAGUUUAUAUCUACAUGCUAAGAGAUUGUCUCUAAAUGCAUUUAUAAUAGAAGCACUAUUAACAAAAGUACUACAAACUAAAAGCACUUUAAUCAUAAUCACUCACAUCUUUAAUCUAGGACUAAUAAAAAACAUGUAGCUUUCAAAGAGAUAAAUUUAUGCUUUGUUUGGAUAUUAGAAAGUCUUUUUUUUUUUUUUUUUUUUUUUCUGAUAAGUAAACACUUGGAUAUUAGAAAGUUUGAGAGAAAAAAUAAAAGGAAAAAAGUAGAAGGAAAUAAAAAAUAAAAGGAAAAUACUAAAAAAAAAUUAAACUUAAUAAAUUUUCCUCAUAUGGCUUUCAAAAUUUAUUUCUUUUCUUCUCCUAUAUAAAGAACAAAGAAUUUGAAAAUGUUAAAUUUAUAAUUAAUUUUACUAUAUUUGAUUUUCCUUUGCAUUUUCAUGGUAAACCAAGCGAGAGCUUUUGUAUUUCUUGUUACUUUUUCCCCUUUUCCCAGCACUUUCUGUGAUCCAAAUAGAGCCUUGACAAUUCAAAGACAAAAAUACAUCUGUCUAAUAGCAAUCUAAAUCUGCAGGCAUAGCAAUUUUACUUAUAUUUGGUUAUUUCAAUUGAAUUUGAACUAAGAGACUUCAACUUCAAUGCAAGAAAACCAAAAACUAACAUUUUUGGAAUUUUUAUUUGUUAGAGGUGUGAACCACUUGUAUUAACGUAAAAAGAGGCAACUCACCUUUACAUGAUAAAAAGUCACACCAGAACUCCUGUUAUGUAACAGAAACACUUCCAUUAGGCUGCUGGAUGGUCCCCAACGGAGUCCCUACAAAACCACAGAAUCACUGCCUAUAAUCAGAAAUUUUUACCUCAUCUUGAUAGUAGUUCGGACUAAAAUUUAUAUGCAAAAUAAAAUGGGGAAAAAAAAGAGAGAAAUAAGUGGAUUUAUGAUGGUAUAUGAGAUCAAUUUGAUGGUAAUGACAGAUGAAGUAAUGACACUAUGAUGUGUUGAAACAUUGAGAAGAAAGUGGCAUAUUGAUAUAGCCUCUUCUCUGUAACAGCAACAAAUACCCCUUUGACCCAACUCACCAAGUCAUGCACAUACAGGCAGCUCCUAGGAGGAUUGUACAGCAUGGAGAUUGUAGAUCUUCCGAUAAAAAUUAUCAACUUUCUUGCAGUAAACAUAUGUUAUCAAAAUUUAAUGGAAACAUAUCCAGGUCCAAAAAACCCAUAUUACUAAUCAAAGAAUAUCCAAUGGUGGCAACAGUGAAUGCUAAGGGCCACACUGUUCUGAUUGAAAAAGAAAGGAAAGUAUAACAUCAGGCAUCAAGGAAACACAUGCGAUACAAACUCUGUUUCCCAGAUUGCAGAGUGUUCUGAAGAUCGCAUCAAAGAAGGGAUCCCAUAUUGUUAAAGAUACACAUGGAGAAGCCACUGGUGGAAGGGAAGCAUGUUGUUCUCUUAACUAUUGUUUUGGAAGAGCAGUAGGUAUGUUAGCCCAGCACUCACAGAAGAGGAAGGUUGACCUUGCAAAAGCAAAUCUUGACGUCAAGAUAUCCAACAGUCAACAGCUGCAUCAACUGCUAAUUUAAGCAAGGUGUUGGUAAGUGGGAACCCUACAUUAAUGAUCAAGUUAAGAAAAUUUCAUGGAUUUGGAAGGACACGUUUGGAAGGUAAUGAACACCCAGAUGCAUUUCUAGCUCAAGAAUGGCUUCAUGAACUGCAUUAAACUUACUUGGUCCACUAAUACCCCUAUUCAAGCAGGGGCUCAAAACCUCAGUCCAUGGUGUCAUGCUUUUUGGGUUGGGUUUAGUUUUAUCUUAAUUUUCAUUUUUACUUUUGGGUUUAGCUUAAUUGGUAGAAGGAAACUCUAUUUAGUUAAGAGGGUGGUUUAUGAAGAAGAGGAAGAGACAAUGGAGAAUGACUUGGUCAGGCUUAGCCUGGAGUAUUUGGAGAGAAAUUAGUGAAUUUUUAAAGGAGUUGAUCAUUCAGGAUUAAAUAAAGGAAUUGCUUUCAAAUUAUUGUUUUCUUCCACUUCUUUGAUUUAUUUGGGUUCUAUACUCUAUUUUAAUAUUUAUAGAUUGUUAUUACUGUCCUAGUUGUUUAAGUGAUCAUGUGAUAUUUUAAGAGUUGAACGGCUAGGAUUGUAAGGUGUGAGUAAAUUUUCAUCAAAUUAGAAAUCUACAAUUUUUUCUUUUUUCUUUUAAUAAGUAAAAAAGGAUAAUAUAUUAAAAGCGCUUGUAAAAUGGCCCAACAAAGUACACAUGGAGUAUAGACAAAACAAGCAAGAAGAAGAGAAGGAAAAGAGAGAGCAAACACCAACUGCCCUAACUAUCCGACCAACCCCAAGAAAGCUGAUGCCCCCCUUAAUCCAAACAUAAACGAAACCUCUCGACCAUCCUCACAAAACAGGUUCUGUGUCCCCAAAGCUCCUUCCCCUGACAAUGGCUGGAGACUUCUUGUAAUUAACCAAACACUCUAGUUUAUGGAUUUUCUGCUCAAAAUGGGAAGUCAAGGGAGCACUCCUCUUUCUACCUGAAACCUUGACCCCACAACCUUUUCUUUAACUCCAAUUUCUUCAGCAGGGGACUGAUCUCCUUUUCAAACCAUUCCAUAGGUAACCCUAAGAAGCUACUGAAAUUGACAAAAUUAGUGGGGAGGCUAUCCACACCAAACCAAUCCCCCGCCUUUCUACCCCCCCACCCCCUCUUUAUUAUAUACAAGCAAUCGCUAAGGGCUUAGGGGGCUCCACCUCCUUAGCCACAGCCUCCUCCUCCUUACCUGAAGGGUCCUUCUCAGCAUUUUUGGAAUACUCUUAACAAACUGUCAUUUUGCAACAACAUACUUAGCGGCUGGCUUGCCAGGUCCACAAACCCCAAAGAAGAGAGCGGGGAAAGCCUUGGAAACCUAUUCGCCUUCACCACAAGAGCUGUGUAGGUGAACACCACACAGGAACUCGUCGAGAUUGAUGUUGGCAAAGCCUCAAGCCUCACACGCCCAUCUUCAACGCAACUGUACCACGUCGUCUCCUUGAUCUCUGCAAAGAGAGCCCUGCCUUCAAGAAGCCUUUUUUUUUUCUUUUUAUAAGUCCCUCCCUUCAAGAAGCCUUAGCGAGCCCUUCUCUCCCUCAGUCAAAACCACUAAGCAACAACCCUCUCUUUUUUCUCUUAAACCCACCAACCCCACUCUCUGAUGUACAGGAACUUCCUUGGGCUUGACCCACUCUUAAAUCCUCCCCCACUUCAUUAACAGAAACUAAAUGGGCCUUUGAAGUAGUCAGUCCACAAAGGCUAUGGGCCUGAGGAGUAGCGCGGCCAUUGGGACUUUGGGCUCUCUUUGACCACUUACGGACAACCUUUAGGCCCCUAACUCAGCCCCACUAAAGACACCCUUAGCACAGUUUACAAUAACGGGAAGAGUAAAUGUUAUGAGGGUAACGGUUAAAGGAGGAACCUAAAAUUCUUGGAAGUGGAAAAAGAGAUGGUUUGAAAUAAAGAUGAGGUGCUCAGAUAGACUAAGAUAAAGAAAGCUUGGGGGCCACUCCUUUGCGUCUGUUUUGGACGUUAUGGAUGGAAAGAAAUAGAAGGUCAUUUGAAGAUGUUGAACAGCCAAAUCAAGCAAUCAAACCUUUCUUUAUAUGUAGCUUUUUGGAAUGGCUAAAGUGUAAUGACUGUCCCUUGACCAUGAUAAGCUUUGUAAAAUGGUUAAGCUAAGUGGGGAGAGGGAGGUUGUUUUUUGGUUUUCUUUCUUCUUUUUUGAUUACCUGAUGGCGCUUCUUCUACAUAUCUCGUGUACUUUUGGUACAUUGAUUUUCAGGCACUACUAAUAUAUUUUCUCCUUUUGCAUAUCAAAAAAAAAAAGGAGGAUGGACUGAAAUUAUGUGCACACACACUAUGCUUAACCAAAUCCCCUUAUAAAAUAAAUAGAACAGAAUAAUUUGUGGCAACAAUGGAGAUUUCUAAAAUUCCAUAAACCCAAUUGCAAACACCUUGCACUCAUCUUACCAGUUUAUUAUAUUAACUUAAGCUUAGUUGCCAAAGGCAGAGUUUCAGUACAUGAAGCAACAGCUAAAAUCAAAUAGAAAUUACCUGAGUUGCUGGCAAAGGAAUAAGGUUUUGAAAGAUAUUUGCUUUUUAUCGUUCCAACUGGAGCUGCAUGAGGCCUUAAAACAUUAUUAACAUGGACCUGAUUUGAAAAAUUCAUGGCUGGUGGGCAUCCCUCAGAUUUACCCAAGAAGACUUCUGAACUUUGCACAAGAACUUUAUCAGGAUUUUGCAUAGAAGGUAAGAAGUGUGUAUCUCUCUAUUUCCAAGAAAAAAUAGCUUUGAGUCAGUGAUUGCAUAUUAGUAUUCAUGUAAAGGGAGCAGAAUGAAGGGUUUAAUUUUAAUCUGAAACAAAAAUGCCAAUAGACAGCAUGCCUGCAUGUAAUUCAUGAUAUAAGGAGACCAAAUUAUAGAAAAAAGAAGUGAAAAUAGUUAAGUUGCACGGACUCCUAAUUGAAAUAUCAGCAAAGGGCAAAUGUCAUAUUCACAUUUAGUGUGAUACUCCUAAAUUUCUUAGUACAAUAACUAAUUUCUAACACAGAGCACCUCUCUAGCAGAAAAUUAUUUCAUUAUUAAUAUGAUGUUAUUACAAAAUUUAAAGAUAACAAGCGUUUGCAUUGGAGACACUGUAUUGAUAACGAGUAUGUAGUGGGUUAAUGCUAGGUCAUCCAGGGCAUGUUUGCCCUUUUUCACUUUCACUUUCAUUUGAGGUGUGACAGAGGGUGUUGCAAAUGCAAGAACAAAUUCAUCCUUAACAAUCCUUUUACUAUUGACAGCUGAAAGCAGAAGUAAUUGGUCUAAGCUUAUGAAAGCUAGCAUAGAUGAAAGUAAAAGAAUCAAGUAUGCAUAUACAUUUUUAUUGCAGGUCAUUACUACUUGAAGGCAAGAUUAACUUCUUGAGAGUAAUCAGAUGUUCAUUUACUAGACAUUCAAGAUUAAAUAUCAAAUGAACUUCUGGAGAUGCGAAUACAACAGUCAGAUGUAUCAGAAAGUGACAAUUGCAGUUGUAUAUUAAGAUUUCAAAUGCAACCUCUUUCACUCAUUCAUUUAGAUGUUUAGAACAGGCCACAUGACAAACACAGGGAUAUUAGAUCAUUCUGAGAAAGAAGAGUGACAAACCUUCUUCUCAGGUUGGUUAUCCAUUUGUUCAUGAGAAAAGUUCUUAGGAGAUGAAGCUUGUGGAACCAUAUUUCCCUGUAACACUUUUGGACUCACCAUAUCACUGCAAUGUCCCUCAUUUGAUGCAGCAAAGUAAAGAUGACUAAUUGCAGAACGAAGGCGAUGAUUUCUUUGAGAGUAAUACAUUUUGGUUGCAAGGGGAACAGGAACACCUGAUUUAGUUACCAGAAAGUACUCAGACUUGAGAAAUGAAAACACCAACUGCAUGAUAACAUUCCUGAACUGUAAUAAAGAGCAAAAGGUGCACGAUCCCAUAAAACUGAACAUGCAUAUGAUAUUACUCUAAGCUAAAUGAAGUCCAUAUUUCCCCUCUCAAUAUGAUUCAGCAUAAGAAAUGAGCAGGUUAUGACACAACCACCAGAAAAUACCAUUGGUUGACAAGCUGCAUUCAUGGUCUUGCCCAGGCUUUUGAUGGGCAGCCAAAUGAUCAUAAGGCCUUUCACUUCCUUCAAUUGAACCUUUUGGGUAUCCUGCGCCUGAGCACACGUAUGAGGAACAAAUGUCCACAUGAGUUUACAUACAUAACAGCAGCAAUAGAAAAGUCCAGCAAUGGUGCACAAAAGAAUGACGGAUAAUCAUAAUACCGAUUUAUGAUUGAAGUCUUGUCCAUAAAUCGAAUGUGAUUAAAAGAAAAAAAAAACUAAAAAUCAAAAUUGCUUAGGAAGUUGCAAGGAAAUAUUCAGCAAAUUAAAUCUGUCCUUACAGGUAUAUGCUCUCUGACUAGUUAUACACAUGGUUUUGUUCACACCAUACGCUGUUUCUGGACCAUCUGCUGGUGAUGGACGAUCAGUUGCUAUUCUCCUGCAAGAACAGAGAAAGCCAGGCAUUAUAUUUGGAAGUUGCCCCACUGAACUUCAUGAAAAGUAAAAGAGGGGCAUAUUGGGGAACAAAACUAUAAGCAUGCACCAGAAGUCACCAGCAUAUUAUCAUCUACAUGUUAACCUUUAAAAAGAACAUCUGAAAUAGCAAUCACCAAUCAUUCUGCUUAACUCAACAAAGCCUUAGUUCAAACUACUUUGAAUUGGCCACACAUCUAGGCAAAAUUCAGCUCUAUCAAGGGCAUCAGAAUCAUUGCAACAGGGUUAUAAAAAAUUAUAAUUGCCAUGCCUCCAUGAUCUUUGAUUACUCUGCCAAUGGGUGAAUAAGGGUAAGAGGGCGCCAUAGAAAUAGGAUUCUUAACUUAGUAACAUUAUUACCAAAUCAGGCCGUGGACAUAUGGGGCAACGGAGGAUCCUCUUUGAUAGCAGCAUUCUCUGGGGUCUCCUCUACCUUCUUAAAACAUUUUCUUCUCUUUAAGCAUGUGGGCUUUUUCCUGGGAAUUCUUGUUCAGUGUUUUUUGGCAUCUAACUCUUUUGUGGACAGCUGUGUUUUAGUAUAUCCCUUUUUUGUGUCUCAUUUGAAGGAUAGCUCAUCUUUCCUUGCAUUAGAUUCCUAUAUCUAUCAAUAAAUUAUUAUUAUUAUUUUGAAAAAAAGAAAAAGUUCUUAAGCUCCAAUGGAAGAAAGACUAUCUGGUUUGGUGUAAUUGACACACAUCAAGAGCAACAAGGAGAAGGAAAAUGCAAGUAAGAAACAGGGAAAGAGAUACUUGAAUAUUUGCUUAAGUAGACAAUCUCUAAUGUAGUUGAAGCCGUGUUGAUAACCAUAAUAGAAAUUUGUAUAGCAUAAAGGAGAAGAGAGCAUACAGUUUGGAACGUUUUGGAGGAGGCAUAACACCUGCAGAGAGGUCUGUAUUUCCAUGACUAACUCCUGAACCAUCCACUACAUGUCCCACAUCUACACAAGCUGAAUUUCCUAAAGGAAAGGAAAAAUGGAAGAGGCAAGCCAAAUUCAAAAUAUAGAACAUAUGUUCCACUUAAUUACAAAGAAAUGAAGUUAGGUCUAUUAAUUAAUUAAAUAAAAACAGAUAAAAUAAAACAUUGUGUUUGUCUGUAUGAUUACAAGUUGUUCUGCGAUGAAAAAGUUGUGUUAGUUCCAGUAGGGAGAAAAUAUUCUGAUUCCAUUGCCAAUUUAUUUUUCUUGCCUCACACAUGCCUGAAGGGGCAGGACCAGAGGUGUUCAAAAGUUUUGCCACCAUAAUACUCUAAAACUGUAAACUUUUAGCUCAAGAUUCUUGCAAAAUAAACAAUGGACCUUUAUCACAGUUAUACUGUUAUAAAUGAUGUCUCCAAAAUCCACUGCCUCUUGUUCAAGCCUGGUUAAGUGGUAAAAUGGAUAGGGAUUUCUGUAAAGGAAACAACCACAGAGACAUCCAUCUUGUGGACAUUAUAUAUUUGAAGCUUGAUGUCUACAUGAAAAAGAAAUUCAUGUCAUAAUUGCAAAUCAAGCCUCCUUCAACAAAUUAUUUGUUCCCAUAAAAAAUGCAUAGAGGCAGCUUAGAAGCCAUAAAUAAUGGGUGCCUAGUGACAAAUUGCAUGUUAUAAGUUUCUGCCACAAAGCUGUAUUAAGACUGAAUGGCAAACAAUAAAACAAAAAAAAUAAAAAGUGGGGUUUUGGCCGCUGAAGUUUGCGUCUUUUGUUUUCUCACACGUACACUUCAAGUGUACUGCAUUUGCCACUUUUGAUUGGCACUUGUCAUAUAUAUAUAUAAAUCUUAUUUGCCUAUUAAAAAAAAACAAAUAAAUAAAACAAAACAAUAUGAAAAAUGGGAAGACAAAAUAACACAAUGUUUUCAAAAUCGGACCAGUCAUUAAACCGAAAAAGUUACCAGUUCACUGAUUGAAUCGGUGGUUGAACCAGCGACAUCAUAAAUAUACAAUUUAUAUUUUAUUAAAAUUAAAACUAAUUAUAAAAAAUCUAAAAUAUUUAAGUAUGUAUAAAGAGACUUAAAAUCAAUAAUAUUUAUUCAAAAUGAAUAUAAAUAUGAAGAUAUAUAUUGAAAAUGAAUUAUAUUAUUUAAUUUCAUUUACAUAUUAAAUAUCAUAUUAUUUUAUAAUUUUAAAAGAUAUUAGGUUAUUUUACUGAUAUUAUUUUGAAAUUUAUUAUUACAUAAAUAAAUAUGAUAAAAUUAUUUAAUAAUGCAUUUACUGAAAAUCAGCACUUGGUGUAGUGGUUGCAAUGUCACUUCUUGAAUUUCUGUCAAUGAUUGGAGCCUCCACAUUGUGACAUGUAAAUUUUUUGGCAUAAAAUGUCAUCCCACAUCGAAAACAUCAGGAGAAAUUGAAGCCUUUAAAUUCAAAGUUCAACCUUUCAUCAAUGCAUGACAAAUGGACGCUUGAGACCAUGACUAAAGCUUAGAGAGGCCUUUUGCCCAAGUCCAAAAUAUAUGAGGCCUGUAUUGAAGCCCAAAUGAGAAUGCGUUGAGUGGGUUCCCGGGUCAACAAGUGAACCGAACCGGACCAGAUUUCGGGUGGCGGUUUGACCAGUCAGACCGGCCAGUCUGGUCUAGUUUUCAAAACAUUGAGAUAACAUAAAAGUAGACAUGAUUGAAAGGGAUGAAACUAUAGCACAUCCAAAAUGUUUUUUUUUUUAAAAAAAAAAAAAAAUUCAUAACUUCAAAAAUAGAUUAGCAUAUGGUAGAUUCAAUGAGUCAAAAUGGAGCAUUUUUUAGUAGAAAAUAUUAUUCUUUAUUCAAAAUAGAGGAAUUAUUCGAGGACAAAGGUAAUUCAGAAAGUUUUCUGUUAGCCAGAGGCAAUGUAUUCCAAUAAGUAAAUAUCAAUAUACACUAUGCAUUGGAUUAGCAGUAAAGAAGAAGGAAAUUGAAAAAACUAACCACAUAGUUUUACUUUUCAUAUAUAAAUAUAAACAUAGUGUUUGAUAAUUUAUAUUAUCUCCACCAUGUGUCAGUUUUUCAGAAGUUUCUGUAUUAGUGUAUCCAAAUCAUGUCUAAUUUGCGACCUGUUCCAAGGUCCAUGCAACCUAGGGAUUGGAGUAUCAAGUAAGAAGAAAGCAACAUGAAGAUCACUGUCAGUGAAAGCUGCAAUUUGAAUCACAAUUUCUAAAACAUCAGAAGCCAGUUUAUCUCAUUUUAAUAAUAUAUUAACUAAUGAAUUUAUUAUAAAUUGUAUUUAUAUAGUAAGGGCAACAAUACCAAGAUGAUAUGAAAAGAUGAGUUUAACUAGAUACUUCAGUUGUGAUAAUGUUGAUCAGCAAGCAAUGAAUAAAACUUAAAUCCUCAUGACAAAAUAUUACUAAACCUUAACCUUAGCAGGGAAAGAAAUAAAAACCAAUAAACUAGAAGCAGAAAGGGUUUACUUUUUAUCUCUGUGAAGGAACAAGCCGCUCCAAUUUGCUCAUCUAAGCAGGGUUCAGAGGCAGCAGUAUCAUCUGCAUCCAUAGAUUCAAACCUUUCUUGCUCCCCAGCCAUUGUAGCUUGGUCUAAGAGAAGUUAAGAACUAUAUAAUUGUUGUCCAGAAAAUAGAUAUGAUAAGCUUCUGACCUGGAAAAAAAUUCCCUAUAAUGAAAUGGAAAAAUGAAAAAAAUUGCAAAAUUGAUUCUAAAAAUGAAAUGAUUAAUGUAGAAUCUAUGUCCAUACCAUUUGAACUAUCCUCAUUUUCUUGCCUAGGAAAUCUGAAAGAGGAAAAGGAUACUAGCAUAAGCAAUUAAUGACUUCUUCCUUUCUUUCCGUGGAGGUUUUUUUUGCCCUGCACCACCAUCAAGCUCCAAGAACGAUUCUUCUGUAGGAUUUAAUGACUUGCAGAGUUCUGGGGGGAAAAGGAAAAAGAAAAGAAAACCUCAUUUUGUGGAAGAACCAGAAGCAUAAAACUUCCAGUGAACUUGUGCCAACACCACACACAGUCCCACAGUACCAUCAUCAGGUCCUUAUCCCACUAAGAUCAAGCCCAUUUCUAGAUAUAAUAUGCAACUCAUAAAGCAAUAGAUCACAUUCUCCUCCACUGUGAGAAGGCAAGGAUUCUUUGGGCGUUGCUUUACUCUAUGUUCGGGGUGCAGUGGGUACUGCCAGCCACUGUUAAGGAGACGCUUUUGGAGUGGAAUGGGUCAUUUGUGAGAAAGAAGAGGAAGGGUGUUUGGAGAGCAAGUCCUUUGUGUCUCUUUUGGACGGUUUGGAAGGCAAUGAACAAAGUUGCUUUUGAGGAAAAAGAGCUGUCAAUUCAAAGGCUUAAGUUUUCUUUUGUUUAUUUUCUUUGGUCGGAGACGAAAUUGUCUAUAAAAGAUGGUCCCUUGACCUUAGUUGAUUUUGUUGGUCGGGUGGCAACCCGUUAAGGGUGUGGGUAGGGCUGCUCCUCUGGCCUUGGCUUUCAGCUAGGGUGUGAGGGUUGUUUUCUUUCUUGUAAUUUAAGCCACUGCUUUGGUGGUUUUUUAAUACAAUCCCUUUACUUAUCAAAAAAAAAAAAAAUGCAACUCAUAAAGCACAAGACACGUAUAAUAUCAUUGCUCUUGGCAUAAUAAUUAUUCACCCUUAGACCUCUUUAUGUUGUUAAAUUUGUUUCAGACAAUACACUUCUCUUUGAGCCAUUAAUUGACUCAUGCAAUGUUUGGUUAAGGAAAAUAAUUUUUUCAUGUUUGGUUUUAUCAUGAAAAAUAAGAAAAAAAAAAUCAAAUAUAAUUAAAUUUAAUUAGAAACUUAUGCAUUUUCAAAUUAUUUAAUCGUUAUAUAAAAGGGUUAAAAUAAGUGAAAUUAUUUAAUCUUUGGAUAUAAAAAAUUUUUUUUGUUUAAUAAGGUCUACUGGGAAAUGGAGCUGCAGGGUUGUAAUGGAUAUGUUUUGUCCUGGGCAAAUUUGGAUUUGCAUAAAGUGAAAAGGAGCGGCUGGGGGGAGUUUGAUGCAAGAACUAGCUUCGUAAUGGGUAAUAGCAGGAGAGUAAAGUUUUGGCAUGGUAUGUAGUGUGGAAUGUUAUAUGGAUUACCUCUUUCCCUUGUUGUCCCUUGCAUCUAAGAUGGAGAUUGAAGGAGGCAUGCAUUGGAACCCUGUUUUCUACAGAAUUUUUAUGAUUGGUAGCUACAAAAUGUGGGUUCUUUCCUCAAACAGAUUCAAACAGUGGAGGAACUUAUGGAUUACAAGGAUAGGAUGGUGCAGAGGUGUGCCAAGGAUAGGAAGUUCUUGGUUUAAUCUUUCUAUUACUCUUUAGGGUCAGAUCCUAGAGGACCUUUUCCAUGCCAAAGAAGUCAAGAACUUAGGCUCCCACAAGGUGGCCUUCUUUGCUUGGGAGGCUGCUUAGGAAAAUGGGGAAAGCGAUGACAACAGAUACAAUGCUUAUGAAAAUGAGGGGAUGCUAAUUUAGGCUGUCCAUGAUGAGAAAGACAAAGAUGAACAAUGAGUAAUCUUCCUGUGUAUUUGGACUGUGGGCCCUUUUGUUACUAGGUGCCUAUUAAUAUAAAUCUCUGAUUUGCCUAUAAAAGGGGGGAAAGAAAAGGAUGACCCAUGAGUGAUGAUCAGUAUUUGAUUUCUACCCUAUAUGACAUCACUUCAAUACUCAUAUAUUAUGAAACAGUUUGAACGCUAAACCAACAGGUAGCAUAUGUGGUGCACCUCUACUCAUCAUAUAUAAAAACAUUCCUCAUCUGCAUAGUGUCUGCUUCAAUACACAUUUUCCAUUUUCUCCAAAUUUUCAUUUUAUGCAUAUGGAUUUAUUUUGAAUAACACCAACUUUAUCAGGCCACAACAAUAAACACUGCCAGGAGAAAAAGGAUUUCACACCUGCAUGAGCUGCAUAUUGGCUGGCCUUGACUGGCUUCUUACAGGCAUUGCAACAUACCUUCACGUAAUAAAAUAUUAAACAAUCAGAUAAAUUAGGUCAAGAAAAAGCUGAUGAGCACACGCACACACAUAGCAAAAUAAACUGACAUCUUGCAAAAACAUCUCAUGGACAGAAUCCUAAUUAUUAGGUCACAGCUAAUGCAGUACCAAAUUUUGAUUAACUACUUUAUGUUCAGAUGAAGGGAUAGGUACACAACCAUUAAAGCAAAAGGGAUAUAGGUUAAAACAAAGAGAAAUACACAUGCAAAAGGCCUUCGUCACAUAUCCAUACACGUGCAUAUACAUAAAAUGUGUACAAAAAGGAAAGAAAAAAGAAACAAUGUAAAUAUUCUUGCAAAAUAUAUCAUGCUAAUUGAAUUCCAACAAUCUAAACAAGAUUGCAUGGUGCCACAGUUCAGAAUAUGGCGUAGAAGCAAAGGCUAACAGCUGGAACAAAAGCUCCACAUCAUCAACUUGCAAGAUUUUUAACACCAGCAUCUGCCCCAGACUUCACAAAUUAAAAAAUAUGCCAAUAGCCAUUCUACCUUGGUCAUUAUCUAAUUUUGUUUACCUGUGUACCUUGGUGAGCUUUUGCUAGGCCCUGUUAAUAUAUUUAUUUUAUUUGCCUAUAAAAAAUAAUACCAUUUUCUUAUCCUAUCAGAAGACAGAGUACAAACUUUAUAUGAUAUUUCCUUUAAGUGUGGAAUAAUUGAAAAUAAAUCCUCAAGAGAUACUUAUUGAGUUCCUUUUGCUCCUCGCUCCUUGUUGCGUCAACCUAGAAGUUGUUCUCUGCUUGCAAGAGGUUAUCAUUUGAAGUUUGAACCAGGUGUUGAUGGUCACCCCAUUUGCUUCAUUUUGGUUUAAACUCCAACAGUCCACAUCCAGGUUAUGCUGAUUUAUUUGUGAGAUAGAAAGAGACCUAGAUAGCGAGAACUGUCCUUUACACGCAUGUACAGCAGUUAUUGUACACUUGAUCAUUGCAUUUUUCAUGGGCAUAGCAUAAGUCUUAAUAUAUUUCCAAAUGUCCAGGCAACAGGCUUUGCUGCCAUUUCGCAUUUUUGCAAUUAAUGGAAACUCCACAUUCCUUACAAUUUUUUUGAGUAUCAUUGCUCACCAACAAUCAAUGGGAACAUGCCAACAUGGCUCCAGGAAGACAUGUAGCAAAAGAAAUACCACCACAACUAGAGAGGAAGGAUCUUUACAAGAUAAAAAUCAGGAUUAUGACAUCACAGACAACACAAAAUAAUUAAUUUUUAUCACACAAAAGCCUUUGUAGCAGCCAAUGAUUCUCCAAACCUUACCAAAUACAAAGGAUCAGCCAUAGGCUUCAAACCAAAUACAUUCAUAUCUGCAAAAGAAAAACACAAAAUUUGUUCUAGAUAAAAGGGAAGCCUUCACUGAAUUAAAACAACCACAUGAACCCAUAAAUGAAUUGCAAUGGAUUCUGGAUAAUUAUCAAAUCACCUUCUUCAUCAAGCAAAUUUGCUUCAUCUGCCUCACGUAAUUCUCUAUGUAUGUAUUGAGCAGCUAAUUUCUCCUGGCUGACGUCCUCUGCCGAAAGAGGGAAAGAUGAAACAAAAAGAAACUGGGCUGACCACAAUAAUUUUGCUUACAGCAUAGCAUCUCAGAUCAAGUGGAAAGGUCAAUCACGAUUUCCUCAGUAAAUCCUAUUUGCUGGCAGAGAGUACUAAAGUUCCACACACCCCAAAGUUGAAAAGUAAAUAAAUGCUAAGUUCUAUAUCAUUGAGAAUAUUCAAGCUACAUAAACUGCAAAUCUCAGAAGUUCCUAAUUAUAAAAUUUAUUCAAGAUUGCUGAAUUGAAAAUUUUAGAAACAAACAAAACACAGGAAUAAAGAGAUGCAUUGAUCAUAUAGAAAGAGGGAGAGAGGGAGAGAGGGAGAGAAACCACUAAAGAUACAUACAGAAGUCAAAUGCCAUUUGUUGAAUUAAAAACUACCAUUCUCUGUGUACGUGUCUAUGAAGGUGAAGAGUGCAGAGAAGUGGGGUCCAGCAUUUUUUUGAUGGAUGAGAAGUAGGGUCCAGCAUGUGGAGGCAUGGGGAUGGGACAGAGGUUUACAAGGAGAACAGGGGGUUGUAGAGGACUGGGCCAUGGGAUACUUUAUUCUCAGUGAGCACAAUUACAUCAUGAAAAAGAACUUGUUUACACAGUAUGCAGAUUAUUUUGAGAGACACUUGUUCUUGCCAUACUGAUACAGCAUUUGGAUCAUAAAUUAUAAUUAUAAGUAUUACAUUAUGCAUACAAGAAAAAUGAAAUAAAGAACCCUCUAAUCCCUGCUCACUUUCUGUUCACUAUAAGAAUUUUGAAACAGAAUAUGACUUCCCUCACUUUUACUUCUGCCAUUCUCCAUAAACACUGCUUCAUUCUUUUGGAAUGUUUUCUAAUCAGCUAAUUCUUGGAUGUUUUAUUUUGGUAGGUAAACUUUUUCUUUAUGAGGAGUCAAACACCGAACCUCCCAUGUUCCUGUCCAGCCCCUUGACACUUGAGCCAGCCCUUGGGCUUUGUCAACUCCUCGAUGUUCUAUUUCACCGGUUCAGUUGGACUACAUAACUUUCCCAGAGAAAGAAUAAAUGCAAAGUCAAAUUCAGCUACUACUCUUAUAUGAGCCCAUAUCAACACUCACUGCCCAGAAACAUCACACAAUAUCAUCAUACCUGUUAUAAUAGGUGAGAAACUUCCUGCUGCCAGAAGUCUGGCCAUGACUGCCAUUCUCCCACUUUCAAGUGAGCAUACCAUUGAGGCUAAGACAACUUGUAUGUCUCCACCCUAUAAUAAGAAAAGAUCACCCUAUAAUAAGCAGAGUCCACCAAAUAUAUAUAUAUAUAAACAUACACACCCACAUCCAAACUAUGCAUGCAGUAGCAUUAGCAAACAUUAAAUGAAAUAAAGUUACAGAACUCGGCCUAUAUAAAAGAUUGUUUUCUAACUUCGCAAAGGCAUUUUCCAUUUUUUUUUAUUUUUUAUUUUAUGGCAAACAGAAAAUUAGAUUAAUUUCCAAUUGUUCACUAAACUUAAUGUUGGUCAAUUUCCAAUUAAAAAUGGUAUCAACUUUUCAAAAAUCAAAAUCAAUUGAAGUAUGAAGAUGAGCCUAUUAAACAAAAUAAAAUUUGAAAUAUGAAGACAAGCCUAUCAAACAAAAGAAAAAUUGAAAUAUGAAGAAGAAUACAAAAUGAUCAAAUAAACAGACAACCUGGAACCAGUAAGUCUAAAAUACAUUACAAUGUGGCUGGCAUGCUCCUCCUGCAUUCCAAUAGAACUAAAUGACUUCAACACAUUCCAGCACAAUCAUAAACUAUUAUGCUAAACUAGAAAAUUAGGAGUUCCUAAUGUUGAGUUGCAUGGAUCAUUUUAGUCAUUCAACAAUAAAAAAUAAAGUCUCAAGAAAAUAGCUUUUUUUUUUAUAGGUAAAUAAGAAUUGUAUUAAAAGAAAGAAAGUAUACACAUCGUAUACGAAGAAAAAAGGACAAAAAGGAGUGAAAACACAAAAACCCACUACUGCACCCUAUCAUGAGCCUACCCAAUCCACAAAGUCUAACAAAGAUAAAGAUCCGCCCUCAAUGUACAAUCUAACCUAAUUCCAAAAUAGAUACAAAAAAGAAUUUUUAAUUGUUUGAUCCGUGUUUUCAAAGUUGCCAAAAGCCCUCCUAUUUCUCUCCUGCCAUAAAGCUCAAAACAUACACAAUGGAGCAGUUUUCCAAGCCUUCUUCCUCUUUUUACCCACAAAGGACCUGUGUCAACUCAGAAGGACCCCUCUAACUAAACAACUCAACACCCACUGAAUGCCAAAAAGUGCAAAGAUCAACUACCACAACAAACAAGCUUUCAAAUAAUGGAUGAGACUAUGGUCACUAGUUUCUUUUGUUUCCUUACACAAGUAACAUAUAUUAGGAAUCCACCAACCCCUCUUUUUAAGUUGAUCCAGAGUCAAAAUCUUGGCCCAAGUUACUUCCUAAGCAAAAAAGCUAAUUCUCGAGGGCACCUAAGAAUUCCAAACAAUACCAUGGGGAACGGUUCCACUCCUAUCGACCAAGGAGUAGAAGGACUUAACAAAGAAAGCACCAUCCUUCAUAGGCAACCAUACCAUGGCAUCAUUAGUCUCCACAGACAAAGGGUGUACUGACAAUCUCUCCAAGAAGGCUUGCACCUUCUCUAGUUCCCAAUCAUGCAACUACCUCAUAAACCUAGGACUCCAACCACCAUCCUCCCAAAGGUCACUUACCCAAGCAUUUUUAGAGAAUGCUAUGGAAUAAAGCUCAAGAAAGGACUCCCUCAAGGAUGAAUCCCCACACCACUUGUCCUUCCAGAACUUCACCCAGUUUCCAAACCCAACUGUAAACUCAGUUCUUGUUUUGAACAUCUCCCAUCUACCUCUGAUAGCCUUCCACACCCCCACACCAUGUCCUUCCCUAACAACUUUAGAACACAAACCCCCCUCAACUUGCCCAUACUUGCCCACAAUCACCCGUUUCCAAAGAGGGUCCCUUUAACUUGCAAAUCUCCAAAACCACUUGCCUAAGAGAGUCUCAUUGAGGAUGAUUAAAUCUCUGAUGCCCAAGCGUCCUUGUUGUUUGUCCAACCGAACAAUAGCCCAUCUCACCAAGUGUGACUUUUGCUCUAAGGCACCUCCUCCCCACAAAAAGUCUCUUUAAAUCUUUUCUAGUUUAGCGGCUACUUUCCUUCGAAUGACAAAGAGAGACAUAAAGUAAAUCAGCAAACUAGACAAAGUGUUCUUCACCAGGGUCAACCUUCCACCUUUUGAAAGAUACUGACUCUUCCACAACGUUAAUCUUUUUCGAAAUCUCUCUUCCACCCCAUCCCAUACCCUAGAGGACCUGAAAGGAGCUCCCGGCGGAAGUCCUAAAUAGGUAGCAUAUGAAUGUGUAUAAUUAAGAUUGAUGAUUCAUAAUUUCACGCCAACAAUCAUUGGUUUCUGUUCGGAUUAAGUGAUAUAAAUAAUAAACCACCACUUGUCUUUCUCUUGGAAUUAACAAGUUUUUCUCUUCUGGUGAGGCUUUUUGGAAAGAGAGCUGUUCACCAACUUUGUCAAUCAAGGACAAGGAAGUUUACACUUUAUAGAUGGUUCAUAUGGAUUGCAGAACAUAAGUUUUCUCUUAAGCAGAGGGUUCUCAUUUUUGUAGGUCAGAAUUUUCUUGGCAGCUGUCUACCUAGGCAGCAAAAUAGACUGCCCAAGUUUUGGGGAUUGCCUUCAAGAAGUUGUUAUGAAUUUGCUUCAACUAGAAGAUGUGUUCCCCAAAUUAAGAACAUUUAGCAUUUUCUUAAGCAGGUAAGGAAAUGUGCUCUUUAGUGGGGUUUUUAACUGUUCCUAUGGAAGGUAAAUUUUGACCUCCAUCAAAUUGUAAUAUUAUCACGUGCAGGCAGUCAGCAUAGAUGUGGCCUCUUCUAGGUGAACCCCAGAAAUUGUGGUGUCUUAUAUCCAUGUAUCCAAACUCUUUCUUCUUUGUUGAAGCCAUUACUUGGAUUUUGCAUGGGGUUGGUUUUCAGGAUCCCAUUCCCUUUGCAAGUAUGUUGAUUUCCAUUAGGAUUUAGGCAGUGGAAUAGGCCACUACAAAUUCAGCCUCACAAUACAUGGCCGAAUUAAUAUCACCAAAAGGUAAAGCAAUGAAAGGACACAUCCAAACUACCUUUUUAUGAGCCUUCAUAAACAAAUUCCUCAUGUAAAUUCAGACAUAAUAUACCAUUUUAAAAGCCCAUAAAUCUGAAUUUGGACACAAUAAAUGACAAUAAUAAUUAAAAAAAUAAAGGAAAACAAAAAACAAGUUCAAAAAAAAAAUCCCUCCACUUUUUUCCAAACUUUAUUCCCUUUAUAGAUAGAGAACAUGACUUGAAUAAAUUUCUCUCUGAUUUUCACUGCAAUUCAUUUUCUUUCCUAUUUUCCAUCCAACCCAAUCAAGAUAAAUUGUUUUUUUAUCCCCUAGUUCUCUUUCCUUUUAUUUGCACUUUCAAGAACCAAACAAUGCAAAAAAGAAACCAUAAAAUUUGAAUAAUUCUCAAACAGAACCACCAAAAGUUUUUUUAAAAAAACAACUCUAAACCAUAACAAUAAAACUGCAACAGGAAAAAUCAAAAUCAACACAAGAUUGACAAUUAAUCAUCAAUUUGAAGUCAUUAAACCAAAAUGAGAACUCAUUACCUCAAUUGGCAAUUAUCAUAAAAAAAAAGGAGAAGAUAUUCUUCCUCGGGAUUUGAAAGUUGAUAAGUUUCCAUUAGGAAUAGAGGACUGAGCACUCUUAAGGUAUUCUUAGGGACAAUGAUUAGUUAUGACAUAGUGUUAUUAGAAGUACAUAUAAGUGGCAUAUAAAUGGGAUGUCACGGUUGUGAUCAGGUGCUCCAUGAACAUCAUGUCCAUCCCCUUGGAAACCCAUCUGCUAAGGCUUCUUAUUUUAUAUGUAUAUAUUUUCCAUUUUUCGACGGAAGAUGGCUUAAAAAAUCAUUUUUUAGAAAACCUGAAAUUGGGGAACCAACCUUUGUGUCUUCUAUACCCUAACCUUUCUCAUAUUUGAGGGUUAUGGAUCCUACAUCUUGUCUUACCCUUUCUGAAACAUUGAUUGUCAUCCUGAUUUAUUAGAUCAGACAACUGAUUAUUUAUCCUCUCCCUUCCUCAAGUUCCAACCUGUUUACCUCUUUGUCACUUCAAGGUCAUAGGAUUUGGAUUUGGUUUACCUCAGACAUAUUUUCCUCUAGCCUUUCUUUCACACAGUGUUUUCCCAGAUGUCUUUCCAUAGGUUAAUAUCAUUUGGAAGUCUAAAGGUACUCCCAGUUAAAACUUUCACAUAAUAGUGGCCCUUUUAUUUCUUUCUUUCUUUCUUUCUUUGAUAGGCAUUUAAAGCUUUUAACCCUCAGCAUUGUGCUCUUCACUUAGACGGUGGUCCCGCUUCAUUCAUUGUAGAGAGAUGAUGCUCAUUACCUUCAGAGGUUUUAGGAGGAGCCCCAGUCUCCCCAGGGUAAAGUACUUUGAAAAGAACUAGUGCUUGCUAUUCUCAGGAUGUUUGGGCUAGAAAUUUGGAUUUGUAAAAGUAAGUAAAAUCCACAUGAGACCUUAUGAAACACUGUCUCUAUUAGCCAUUUAGCUUACUUCUUUGUGGGGCUCCCUCUUAGUAUGUUAUGUAUGAAUUUUAAGAAACAUUCAGUAGUAGUGCUAGAAACAGGAUGUAGGUUGAGGUUAGUAAAGCCUAGGAACCCCCCACCUUCAAGUUAUCUCAAAGUGAAUUUUGAUGGAUGAACACUCGUCCAAAAAAAAUGAUGGAUGUACGCUAAGGAAUUCAGGCCAGGUAGAGAUUUGUGUUCCAAGAUUACAAAGGCAGCCAGAUAAGGACCUUAUCAAAGCCAGCUGAUUCAAGAUUUUCUAUACAAAUUGAGAUUUCAGCCUUGAUAAAGGCUCAAUGGAGGCAAAAUCUAAGGGGAUUACAAAUUCCUGAGGAGGAAGGGAUUCAGAAGUUGUCAUCUCAUGGUUUGCUCAGGGGAAGAUAGGAGCAUGGGAGUAGGAUGUGAACCAGGAAGAUCUUGGACCCCUAUCAGAUCAGAUGGAAUGUUGUUUUUCUUGGAUACCGUGGUCUACUAAUGAGGUAGCAGAUCAAAUGAAAAUUUGUGCAAAUGUUUCAUCCAAUUACUGGGGUUUAGCCUAAUAUCCUUGGGUGUACUAAAUUCAUUUCGUUUGUAUUCCUUUUUUAUCUUUGUUUUGAAAGAUGAAUCAUCCUUGAUGUACCCAGUAUUUCUUUAUAUUUAGUGGAAUGGUUGCUUUUUUUUUCUAUCAUCAUAUUAUCAAAAAGAAAAAAUGGUGAAAACAAAUGAUGAAAUUGUAAAAUUUGAAUAAAUCCACAGUGAGUCUCAGCAGAAAUUCAGCAUCACGGUGCUAAUCUAAUCAAUAUCUUUCAACAAGGAAUCGAUGGAAGGACGUAGCCAAACAAUUGUUUGCCAGAUUUUUUCCCAAUAAAAUUCUUUAAAUAAAUUCAUGCAUAAUACACCAUUUAAAGCCCACGAACGCAUACUUAGGAUAAGUAAAUCAGAUAACCCAAAAUAAAACAUAAAUUAGGGUUCAGAGUUCUGGCCGCACAAACAUUUCAUAAAUACAACCAAUUCUAAGACAUGCAAUCAAAUCGAUGAACUAUUCCAUGCUUCAACCACAAAAGAAACCACACAAUCCGAAUGCCUCUCAAAUACAAACCACAAAAAACAACAAAAACAAAAACCCAACCCACAUCCACAAAUCCUAGCACCAAAAAAAAAAAUCCACACAAACACACGACAACGUAAAAAACAAGCAAUUCAAAAUCACCAUAACCACAACGAGAACUCGAUUACCUCAAUCGACAACAAUAAUGAGAAAAUGGCGAAACCAGGGAAUUCGAACCAAUCCAGAGUCGAUCUCAGCUGAAUGCGCCACGAACUUGACGUGAAUGAGAGCGCGAACAAGCACGACAAUGACGAACCCGGAAACCCUAGGAGAGAGAAAGUGCUUAGUAUGUGUUUGUAAAAAAUCCGCUGCCUUCUCUAUCUCUAUCUAUCUUCCCCACUGCGUGGAGUAGAGAAGAGAUUGGAAGCAAACACUUAGGAAUGCCUUUUAAUAUAUAUGCCUCCGCCUAUGAUCCCUGUGCCUGUUAUGUAUGUGCGCCUGCGCAGCUGCUUCGGGCCCACGCCACUGCUGUGUUACAAUUCGACUUAAUGCAACUGAUUAGGUGUCCAUGAUGUGGCUGUGGUUUUCGGCCGUUUAUUUAAUAAUAAAUAUCUCAUAUUAUUUUAAUAUUUUUAAAUAAAUUAUAACAUGUGGGACCCUCAAUGUAAUUUAAAAACUUUCAAAUUUUAAUUUUGUUAAAAAAAUUAAAAUAUGACUUUAUAAAACAUGAAAAUUAUAAAAAAAAAUCAACAUAUACUAAUAUAACUUGAUAGACUUAAGUAUUAAUUUAUUUGAUAUUCAAAUUACCCAUCAAACUUUAUAAAAAAAACAAUGACAAUGAUAAAAUAUAAGAAUUUAUCGAAACUUAUGAAUGAUCAUUCAUAUUAAUGUAAAUUUCUUCAUGACUCCUCGUAGGAUGAGAAACCUCUAAUAAAAUAUUCAUUCAAUUUUUUUUAUUAGAAUUCAAAGUAUUAGCACAAGCCGACAUUUGAAGACUUCAAUUCAGUAGAAAUGUCACAAUAAAAUACUACGAAGGCUCCUACAUCAAUUUAUGAUAAAGUACAUUAUGACAUAAUCUCAUUUUUCUAUAAUAGUUAUAAUUGUCAAUCUUUUUUAUAUUAAGAGAAUAUAAUUCAGUUUUUCACUAUUCAUAACCUAAAGUUGUGUAAAAGAAAAAAAAAAAGAAAAUUAAUAAAUAUCAAAACUUGUACAAUCAGAAACUAUGAGUAUAUGCAUAAAAUGACAUUCCAAAACCAUGUUAAUUGGGAUUCUCUGAACACUUGUAGGACAACUUAUAUAUAUAAUUAUUUUUUGACAAAUCAGUGACUUCGUAUAAAGCAUAACACUGUGUGGAGCAUCCUACCACAUACAAUUACCAUUUACAUAUAUUUAUACUAAUUCUUUUUUUAUAAGUGUAAGUUGUGGUUAUAAUUUUAUUAUGGAAAAGUGAUGUUAUGGCAACAACUGCAUGAAGAACAUAGAAAGUAAGUUUUAAAACAUUGUUUUAAAACUUUGUUAUAAUAUAUAUAUAUAUAUAUUGUUAGUUAGGGGUUCAUCUAAGAGACUUGUAAUUGAGCAAUAUAUGAGCUCAUUUGGGUGGGUUUUUUUUUUUUUGGGAAAAUCAUCUAAUCAUACACCAACUACAAAAAAUAUGAGAUUUUGGAACUUUGUUUUUUUCUUUUUAAUUUUAGUGUAAAAUGGAAAAAAUUAUUGUUUAUUCAUGCACUCCAAUAGUGCUUUCAAAUUUGUUCUAUAAUUACCCUCAAAAGUAAAUGACAAAGUACACACCAAUUUAAUGCUAUCUGUUAACAAGUACAUGAGUCAUUUAAUUUUAUUAUUUUUCUCACAUCAAUAUAUCCCCCUUACCAUUUGUUACGUUUCCACUUUUUUCUUUUUUCUUUUUUUCCUCCCUGCCAUCCUUGCCACCAUAAUCCAUUGUCACCUAUUAUAGUUUUUUUUUUUUAGUUUUCUUUUUUAUCUUUAUAUUCUUUUUAAUAUGCUCAUGCAUUUUUUAAUAAAGCUUCUUUAAUUUUAAUUUAUUUUUACUCUCUAAUUUGUCUAUAUUUAUUUAUUUUAAUUAUUUUUUUGACAUAUUAAACUUAAAAUGAUAAUAUAUAAUAAAUAAUUAAUAUAAAAAAUUAAAUAAAAAAUAUAUAUAAUGUACAAAAAUGAAAAUAUUAUCCCACAAAUAAUAAUGAUUUUAAAUAUUAAUUAUAAUAAUACAUUUUAUAAAUUAAGGUUUAAAUUUAAAAACUCCAUUUUAUUAUUUAGAAUUUUAUGAUAUAAGAUUUUUUAUAUUAAAACUAAACAAAAGAUUUAUUUAUUUUGUAAAUUCUAUCACAUGUAAAAGUAAAAAUAUCAUCGUAAUAUUAUUUUAUUAUUUACAUUAUUUUUCUUUUAAUUUUUAUUUUAAAUUUAUCAUAUCAAAAUCACAAUAAGUGACAAUGCUUUUAUCAUUUUUCUUAUGAUUUCAAAUUGAUUGUGGAUCUAACUUUUUUUUUUUUUGGUUAAAAUCUUUAAUUUUUAAUUAAAAUAAAAUAUAAAAGAAAAUAUAUUUUUCAUAAAAAAUUGUAUUUAACCUUUUAUAUUAAUUUAAUAAAAAAUAGGUACAUCCUUAAAAAUAUAGGUAAAUUAAUGCUUAAGAGAACUGAAAACACUAUCAUACUUAUCAUGAUGUAUAUAUUUCUUUAGGACCCUUGAUAAGUAAUUGAAGGUCUUUGCCUGCCCCAAAAAGAACUUUGGGAUCCUAGGUAUAUCCAUUCUAAGAGGAACCAAGACCCCUAUUUUCAUUUUCAUGGUUCAUAUAUUCAUUUGGGGACCCUUGAGAAGGAAUUAGAGGUUAUUCCCCACCUUAAAACGGAUAUUGGAACCCAAGGUACAUCCUAAAGACAAUUUGGUGCAUCAUUUAUAAAAUUUGGUACAUAUUUCAUAAAAUUUGACACAUCCUUAAAACAAUUUUGUACAUCCAAUCCAUGAGCUAUCAAGACCUCUAUAUUAUUACCCAUAGUUUGUUUAUUUCUUUAGGGAUCUUUAGGAAGUAAUUAAAGGUCGUUCCCUACUCAUAACGGACUUUGGCAACAUUAGUACAUCAUUUACAAAAUUUGGUACAUUCUUUACAAAAUUUGGCACAUCUUUCACAAAAUUUGGUACAUUAUGAAGGAUGUACCAAAUUUUGUAAAUGAUAUACCAAGGGUUUCAAAGUGCAUUUCGAGGUAGGGAUCAGCCCCCAUGUAGACCCUCAAUUUUGUCCCUCAACACUGACAUUUAUCCUUUGGGUGUCACCUGCACCCAUCGUUCUCAUAUGGCACCACUGGGGCCCCUUUUGGGCUUAGUUAGUGUCCGAGCCUCGUGUGGGCUUGUCUGUGGUCCAUUGUGGUGCAUAUGUGGUUCAUGUUGGAGGGUCAUCGUGGCCAUUUUCCUAUUCGUUCACAUCACCCUAUAGGAAGGAAGUGGGGUCAUCCCGAUGUUUUAGCUUAGUUGGAGUUUAUAGGGGCAUGUUGAGGUUCGGAGCACUUGGGCUUGUUUUGAUCAUAUCUCCCUUUUCCGAACUCGGAAUUGUGCACCGUUUUUUUUCAUGGAUUUCUCACUCUUCUAGGAACAUUCUGUCAAAUUUUCAAAAUUUUUUGCAACCAGUUCGACCAGUUGGCAUCCGGUUCAGCCUGUUCAGCCGAUUCAUCGAGUCAACUGGUGUAGAACACUGAUUUUUGGUAAUUAUUUUGAUCAUAUCUCCAUUUUUCGAACUCGGAAUUGCGCACCGUUUAUUUUCAUGGAUUCCUCACUCUUCCAGGAACAUUUUGUCAAAUUUUCAAAAUUUUUUGCAACCGGUUCGACCGGUUGGCACCCGAUUCGACUGGUUGGCACCCGAUUCAGCCGGUUCAUCGAGUCAACCAGUGUAAAAUACUGAUUUUGGUAAUUUUGGGACCCAAAUCCUACAUGGAUCAGGCCCAUAAACUCCAGAUCGGUUUUGGGCAAUGUUGUGGGCCCAUUUUGGGACUUGGUUUGGGUUUCUUGCAGCCCACCACAAAUCCAUAUGGAUUCUUGGUGGUGAAGCAAGCUGAAAACUGAAGGGAGUGAGCUGGCCUCGUAAGUGCAAGAGAAAUAAUGGGGGGUGUGUUUUCCAUGCUGAUGGAGGGGAUUUCGGUGCUGAAGGGGAAGGAACCCAGGAGGCUCAAAUGCUGAGAGGGAUAUGAGUAUAAAAUGUGAGAAAAUAGGAGAGCAGAAGAGGAAGGAGAAGGAAAACGAGGGCACUUUGGAGAGGGGAUAUUUUGCUGGUGAGAAAAAACAAAAGGUCGGGGCACCUUCUGAGUUAAGAGCAUGGGGGAAAGCUUCAGCACUGUGGUUAUUUUGAAGAGGAGAGCUACAACAUCUCAUUUUUUGGAGGUCAUCAUCGGCAUACACGGAUCAUAUCUGGUGGAGAUUCUGAGAUAAGUAGGCUGAAUUUUUUUUACCUGCAGUUUAUCUUCAUUUUCUUCAUAUACGUUUUCUCCUUCCGCAUCAUCUUUUAUUUCCUUUGAUAUGAAGAUUGUCUUGCUUGGGUGUGGGUAAUAAAGGUCACACAUGAUUGUUGUUGAUUGGUUAUGAAUGGUUUAGAAACUUUCUGACCAAAUUUAGGAUUUUUCAUCAACCGGUUCAGCGCCAUAGUUGGCUGCCUCUGUCAACCAUGAGGAACCCCUGACCUUUCUUUGUCCGGUUCUCACUCAUCUGAGCUUAGAAUUGAGAACCGUUUCUUUUGUUUAUUUUCUUAUUCAGUUAGAAACUUUCUGGCCAAAUUUGGGAUUUUUUAUCAACCGUCUUAACCGGUUGGGAACCGGUUCAACCGGUUCAGCGCCAUAGCUGGCUGCCUCUGUUAGCCAUGAGGAACCCCUGACUUUUCUUUGUCCGAUUCUUACUCAUCCGGGCUCGGAAUUGAGAACCGUUUCUUUUGUUUAUUUCCUUAUUUAGUUAGAAACUUCCUGACCAAAUUUGGGAUUUUUUAUCAACCGUCUAAACCGGUUGGGAAUCGGUUCAACCGGUUCAGCGCCAUAGCUGGCUGCCUCUGUCAGCCAUGAGGAACCCCUGACCUUUCUUUGUCCGGUUCUCACUCAUCCGGGCUUAGAAUUGAGAACCGUUUCUUUUAUUUAUUUCUUUAUUCAGUUAGAAACUUCUUGGCCAAAUUUGGGAUUUUUUAUCAACCGUCUGAACUGGUUGGGAACCGGUUCAACCGGUUCAGCGCCUUAGUUGGCUGCCUCUAUCAGCCAUGAUGAACCCCUGACUUUUCUUUGUCCGGUUCUCACUCAUCCGGACUCGAAAUUGAGAACCGUUUCUUUUGUUUAUUUCCUUAUUCAGUUAGAAACUUCCUGACUAAUUUUGGGAUUUUUUAUCAACCGUCUGAACCGGUUGGGAACCGGUUCAACCGAUUCAGCACCAUAGUUGGCUGCUUCUGUCAGCCAUGAAGAACCCUUGAUCUUUCUUUGUCUGGUUCUCACUCAUCUGGGCUCGGAAUUGAGAACCGUUUCUUUUGUUUGAAUCCCAUUUAGGAGUUUUUUAGAAAAAUUUGGGAAUUCUUCUUAAUAGGUUGUACCAGUUGAAAACUAGUUCAACCUGUUCUGCUGGAGGACUUUAGGUAGCCCUCGAUUUUGGCAUUUUUCGAGCCCUUAUCCAUUAGGGCUCAAACCCAUUUGCUAUAGGGCACUUGUGAGCCAUCUGCUAUAGGGCACUUGUGAGCCAUCUUGAAGGUUUAAGUCAGUGUUUGAUUUCAGUUAGUAUGGACAAUUUUGAAGUUAUGGGUGGUGUGGUCUAGAUGAGUCUAGUUUGAUUUGUAUGACAUUUGGGGAGUCCCUUACCUCAUUUCAACCAGUUAUCUUCCUUUUUGGCACAAGCUUUGAUGCUUGAUUUUGAAUACAUGUUGCGUCACUGACUCACCCUCUGCUGUAGCACAUGGCUGGGGACCACAGGUAUGCAUCGUUGGUUUUGAUUGUUGAAUCAUAUGCAUGCAUGGUGCUUAAUCCUGAAUGUUUGUUAUGUGUUUAUCUGUGUUUGGCUGACCUUUUAUGCAGCGCAUGGCUGGGGACCACAGGUACACACCCAUUGUUUUGGUUGGUUGAAUUCAUAUGCAUGCCAAAUACCAAUUAGGAUUGUGUGAUUCAUGACAUCUAUUUAGCCUAGGGUUUCAUCUUUGACUUAUAUGCUCCCACAUACCCAAUUCAUUAGUAGAGACCGAGUUCCGGGCCUAGAGGGGUGCUACCUCGCAUGAGGUACCUUCCCAAUGGGUAACCUGAUCCCCGGACCCAGAAUCUAGUUUUCGCAGACCGCUUUUUCCAUACUAGGAUCAUUAGGGGUUUUUGUUCUUACUUAAUUUUCCCCAUUUUAAAAAUAAAAAUAAAAAGUAAGUGGUGACUCCAUACAACACCGUUCCUUACCGGGGGCGGGUUUUUCAAAACUAGAAAACUCAACUUUUUCAUUCUUUCUUUUUAUUUAAAAGCGAGUCGCGCCGGUCCGGUGGAUCGGGUGAAGGUCUACACCCCAAUCACUUCCUUAUGGGUUCCAAAAUGAACUCAUGUGUCAUCCAUAUUUAGAUGGGGGUCCCGGAAGCGAUAGGAUUGGAUGUACCAAAUUUAAUAAAGGAUAUACUAAAAUUUGGGAAGAAUGUACCAAGGGUUCCAAAGUGCGUUCUAAGAUGGGGAUCGGCCCCCAAUCACUUUCUUAUGGGUUUCUAAAUGAAAUUAUGGAUCAUCCAUGUUUAGAUGGGAGUCCCGGAAGUGAUAGGAUCGGAUGUACCAAAUUUAAUGAAGGAUGUACCAAAUUUUGUGAAUGAUGUAUCUAGGGUUCCAAAGUGCGUUUUAAGGUGGGGAUUGACCCCCAAUCAUUUCUUUAUGGGUUUCUAAAUGAAAUUAUGGAUCAUCCAUGUUCAGAUGGGGGUCUCGGAAGUGAUAGGAUCGAAUAUACUAAAUUUAAUGAAAGAUGUACCAAAUUUUGUGACUGAUGUGCCAAGGUUGUGCUCUUUACUAGUGCACAUAGCCUACCAAUAUAAUGGUUUUAGCAAUAGGCAUGCCUCUAAAAUUAAGGGUGUGCCCCUAGUUUGCAUACUGCAUAUAGUAUACCAAAAUAAUGUUAUCAUACCCAUGGGCAUGCCUAUGCAACGAAGGGUGCACCCUUGCUUUGCAUUCUACAUGUAGCAUAGUAAUAUGAUGUCAUUCAACCAUAGGCAUGCCUUUGAAAUGGAAGGUGCGCCCUUACACAUAACAUACUAAAAUAAUGUUAUUGUAUAAAAAAAAAUUCCAUUUAUUCUAAGGAUAAGGUGUACAUGUUUGAAUGCUUUCCCAAUGUGUUAAUGGGUCAACCUCUCUUUUACCGACUCCUCACAUAACACGAAGCCAAUCCCCACCUCAAGGAUUUAGCACAUCUUUCACAAAAUUUGGUACAUCCUUUAUUAAAUUUAGUACAUCUAAUCUUAUUACUUCCGAGACCCCCAUGUAAACAUGAAUGGUCCAUAAUUUCAUUUAGAAACCCAUAAGAAAGUGAUUGGGGGCCGAUCCCCAUCUCGGAACGCACUUUGAAACCCUUGGUACAUCCUUCCCAAAAUUUGGUAAAUCCUUAACAAAAUUUGGUACAUUCGAUCCUAUUGCUUAUGGGACCCCUAUCUAAACAUGGAUGGUCCAUGAUUUCAUUUUGGAACCCAUAAGGAAGUGUUUGGGAGGCGAUCCCCACCUUGAAACACACUUUGGAACCCUUGGUACAUCAUUUACAAAAUUUGGUACAUCCGAUCCUAUCGCUUCUGGGACCCCAUCUGAACAUGGAUGGUCCAUAAUUUCAUUUAGAAACCCAUAAGUAAGUGAUUGGGGGUUGAUCCCCACCUUAAAACGUACUUUCGAACCCUUGGUACAUUCUUCACAAAAUUUGGUACAUUCUUCAUUAAAUUUGGUACAUCCGAUCCUAUCACUUUCGGGACCCCCAUCUAAACAUGGAUGGUCCAUAAUUUCAUUUAGAAACCCAUGAGAAAGUGAUUGGGGGCUGAUUCCCACAUCGGAACGCACUUUGGAACCCUUGGUACAUCAUACACAAAAUUUGGUACAUCCUUAAUUAAAUUUGGUACAUCCGAUCCUAUCGCUUCUGAGACCCUCAUCUGAACAUGGAUGGUCCAUAAUUUCAUUUAGAAACCCAUAAGAAAGUGAUUGGGGGCCGAUCCCCACCUCGGAAAACACUUUGGAACCAUUGGUACAUCAUUCUCAAAUUUUGAUAUAUCCUUCGUUAAAUUUGGUAUAUCCGAUCCUUUCACUUCCGAGACCCCCAUCUAAACAUGGAUGGUCCAUAAUUUCAUUUAGAAACCCAUAAGAAAGUGAUUAGGGGCCAAUCCCCACCUCGAAACACACUUUGGAACCCUUAGUACAUCCUUUACAAAAUUUGGUACAUUCUUCAUUAAAUUUGGUACAUCCGAUCCUAAAGCUUCCAGGACCCCCAUCUGAACAUGGAUGGUCCAUAAUUUCAUUUUGGAACCCAUAAGAAAGUGUUAAGGGGUCGAUCCCCACCUCGGAACGCACUUUAAAACCCUUGGUACAUACUUUACAAAAUUUGGUACAUCUGAUCCUAUCGCUUCCGGGACCCCCAUCUGAACAUGGAUGGUCCAUAAUUAAAUUUAGAAACCCAUAACAAAGUAAUUGGGGGCUGAUCCCCACCUCAUAACGCACUUUGAAACCCUUGGUACAUCCUUCACAAAAUUUUGUACAUCCUUCAUUAAAUUUGGUACAUCCCAUUCUAGCGCUUUCGGGACCCCCAUCUGAACAUGAAUGGUCCGUAAUUUCAUUUAGAAACCCACAAGAAAGUGAUUGGGGGCCGAUCCCCACCUCGAAACGCACUUUGGAACCCAUGGUACAUCUUUCCCAAAUUUUGGUACAUCCGAUCCUAUUAGUUAUGGGAUCUCCAUCUGAACAUGGAUGGUCCAUGAUUUCAUUUUGGAACCCAUAAGAAAUUGAUUGGGGACCGAUCCACCUCAGAAAGCACUUUGGAACCAUUGGUACAUCAUUCCCAAAUUUUGGUACAUCCUUCGUUAAAUUUGGUACAUCCAAUCCUUUCACUUCCGAGACCCCCAUCUAAACAUGGAUGGUCCAUAAUUUCAUUUAGAAACCCAUAAGAAAGUAAUUGGGGGCCGAUCCCCACCUCGAAACGCACUUUGAAACCCUUGGUACAUCAUUCACAAAAUUUGGUACAUCUUUCAUUAAAUUUGGUACAUCUUUCAUUAAAUUUGGUACAUCCCAUCUUAGCGCUUUCGGGACCCCCAUCUAAAUAUGAAUGGUCCAUAAUUUCAUUUAGAAACCCACAAGAAAGUGAUUGGGGGUCGAUCCCCACCUCGAAACACACUUUGAAACCUUUGGUAUAUCCUUCCCAAAAUUUGGUACAUCCAAUCCUAUUAGUUAUGGGAUCCCCAUCUGAACAUAGAUGGUCCAUGAUUUCAUUUUGGAACCCAUAAGAAAUUGAUCGGGGACCGAUCCUCACCUCGGAACACACUUUGGACCGAUCCUUCGUUAAAUUUGGUACAUCCGAUCCUAUCUCUUCCGGGACCCCCAUUUAAACAUGGAUGGUUCAUAAUUUUAUUUAGAAACCCAUAAGAAAGUGAUUGGGGGUCGAUCCCCACCUUAAAACGCACUUUGGAACCCUUGGUACAUCCUUCAUAAAAUUUGGUACAUCCGAUCCUAUCGCUUCUUAGACCCCCAUCUGAACAUGGAUGGUCCAUAAUUUCAUUUAAAAACCCAUAAUAAAGUGAUUGGGGGCCGAUUCCCACAUCAGAACACACUUUGGGACCCUUGGUACAUCCUUCCCAAAAUUUGGUACAUCCGAUCUUAUUGCUUAUAGGACCCCCAUUUGAACAUGGAUGGUCCAUGAUUUCAUCUGGAAUCCAUAAGAAAAUGUUUGGGGGUCGAUUCCCACCUCGAAACGCACUUUGGAACCCUUGGUACCCUCUUCACAAAAUUUGGUACAUCUUUCAUUAAAUUUGGUACAUUCUUCAUUAAAUUUGGUACAUUCUUCAUUAAAUUUUUGUACAUCUCAUCCUAUCGCUUCCGGGACCCCCAUCUGAACAUGGAUGGUCCAUAAUUUCAUUUAGAAACCCAUAAAGAAGUGUUUUGGGGCCGAUCCCCACCUUGGAACGCACUUUGGAACCCUGGGUACAUCUUUCACAAAAUUUGGUAUAUCUUUCAUUAAAUUUGGUACAUCUGAUUUUAUUGUUUCCAGGAUCCCCAUCUGAACAUGGAUGGUCCAUGAUUUCAUUUUAAAACCCAUAAGGAAGUGAUUGGGGGCCGAUCCCCACCUCGAAACGCACUUUUGAACCCUUGGUACAUCCUUUACAAAAUUUGGUACAUCCAUCAUUAAAUUUGGUACAUCCGAACCUAUUGCUUUCGGGACCCCCAUUUGAACAUGGAUGGUUCAUGAUUUCAUUUUGAAACCCAUAAGGAAGUGAUUGAGGGUCGAUCCCCAUUUUGGAACGCACUUUGGAACCCUUGGUACAUCCUUCACAAAAUUUGGUAUAUCUUUCAUUAAAUUUGGUGCAUUCUUCAUUAAAUUUGGUACAUCCCAUCCUAUCGCUUCUGGGACCCUCAUCUGAACAUGGAUGAUCCUUAAUUUCAUUUAGAAACCCAUAAGAAAGUGAUUGGGGGUCGAUCCUCGCUUCGAAACGCACUUUGGAACGCUUGGUACAUCCAUCUCAAAUUUUGGUACAUCCAAUCUUAUUGUUUUCAGGUCCCCCAUCUGAACAUGGAUGAUACAUGAUUUCAUUUUGGAACCCAUAAGGAAGUGAUUGGGGGUCGAUCUCCACCUCAGAAUGUACUUUGGAACCCUUGGUACAUCCUUCACAAAAUUUGGUAUAUCCUUCAUAAUGUACCAAAUUUUGUGAAGGAAGUACCAAAUUUUGUCAAGCAUGUAUCAAAUUUUUUAAAGGAUAUACCAAAUUUUGUAAAGGAUGUACCAAUGUUACCAAAGUCCGUUAUGAGAUGGGGAACGACCUUCAAUAACUUCCUGAGGGUCUCCAAAUGAAGAAAUGGACUAUGGAAAUGAAGAUAAGUGUUCCGUUAGCUCAAGGAUUGGAUGUAUCAAAUUUUCUCAAUGAUGUACCUAGGGUUCCAAAGUCCAUUUUUCGGAGUAGGGAACGAUCUCCAAUCACUUCCCAAAGAUCCCUAAAGGAAUAAUCGGACCAUGUGUAAUAAGAUAGAGGUUUCAAUAGCUCAAGUAUGUACCAAAUAUUUUUAAGGAUGUGCCAAAUUUUGUAAAGAAUGUACUAAGAGUGCCAAAGUUCGUUCCGAUGUGGGGAAUAACCUUCAAUCACUACCUAAAGGUUCUCAAUGGAUAAUAUGGACCAUGGGAAGAUAGAUAAGGGUCUCGAUAGCUGGAGAUUUGGAUGUACCAAAAUUUCUUAACGAUGUACCAAAUUUCCUUAAGGAUAUACCUAGGGUUCCAAAGUUCGUUUCUGAGUAGAGAACGACUUUUAAUUACUUCCUAAAGAUCCCUAAAGAAAUAAACAAACCAUGGGUAAUAAUAUAGAGGUCCUGGUAGCUCAUAGAUUGGAUGUACAAAAUUGUUUUAAGGAUGUGCCAAAUUUUAUGAAAUAUGUACCAAAUUUUAUAAAUGAUGCACCAAAUUGUCUUUAGGAUGUACCUUGGGUUCCAAUAUCCGUUUUAAGGUGGGGAAUAACCUCUAAUUCCUUCUCAAUGGUCCCCAAAGGAAUAUAUGAACCAUGAAAAUGAAAAUAGGGGUCUUGGUUCCUCUAAGAAUGGAUAUACCUAGGAUCCCAAAGUUCUUUUUGGGGUGGGCAAAGACCUCCAAUUACUUAUCAAGGGUCCUAAAGGAAUAUAUACACCAUGAUAAGUAUGAUAGUGUUUUCGAUUCUCUUAAGCAUUAAUUUACCUAUUUUUUUUAAGGAUGUACCUAUUUUUUAUUAAAUUAAUAUAAAAUGUUAAAUACAAUUUUUUAUGAAAAAUAUAUUUUCUUUUAAUUAAAAAUUAAAGAUUUUAACCAAAAAAAAAAGUUAGAUCCACAAUCAAUUUAAAAUCAUAAGAAAAAUGAUAAAAGCACCGUCAGUUAUUGUGAUUUUGAUAUGAUAAAUUUAAAAUAAAAAUUAAAAGAAAAAUAAUUUAAAUAAUAAAAUAGUAUUACGAUGAUAUUUUUACUUUUACAUGUGAUAGAAUUUACAAAAUAAAAAAAUAUUUUGUUCAGUUUUAAUAUAAAAAAUCUUAUAUCAUAAUCUUCUAAAUAAUAAAAUGGAGUUUUUAAAUUUAAACCUUAAUUUAUAAAAUGUAUUAUUAUAAUUAAUAUUUAAAAUCAUUAUUAUUUGUGGGAUAAUAUUUUCAUUUUUGUACAUUAUAUAUAUAUAUUUUUAUUUAAUUUGUUAUAUUAAUUAUUUAUUAUAUAUUAUCAUUUUAAGUUUAAUAUGUCAAAAAAAAUAAUUAAAAUCAAUAAAUAUAGACAAAUUAGAGAGUAAAAAUAAAUUAAAAUUAAAAAAGUUUUAUUAAAAAAUGCGCGAGCAUAUUAAAAAGAAUAUAAAGACAAAAAAGAAAAAUAAUAAUAAUAAUUAUAAUAGGUGACAAUGGAUUAUGGUGGCAGGAGAGGAAAAAAAAAAAAAAAAAAAAAAAAGUGGAAACGUGACAAGUGGUAAGGGAGAUAUAUUGAUAUGAGAAAAAUAAUAAAAUUAAGUGACCCAUGUACUUAUUAACAGAUAGCAUUAAAUUGGUGUUUACUCUUGUCCUUUACUUUUGAGGGUAAUUGUGAAACAAAUUUGAAAGCACUAUUGGAGUGUAUGAAUGGACAAUAUUUUUUUCCAUUUUACACCAAAAUUAAAAAGAAAAAAGUAAAGUUCCAAAAUCUCAUAUAUUUUGUAGUUGGUGUAUGGUUAAAUGAUUUUCCUUUUUUUUUUUUUGUGAUAAAGAAUAUUGAAAAACCUUGAGAUAAUGUUUCUUAAAUUUAAAGAGAGAAAAUUUAAGUGAACUUGUUAAGGAAAAUCUUUUUGGAAAAGUUGUUGUACUCGUUCUUUUAAUCAUUUUUGUUAUAAAUAUGAUUGUUGUUAGAAUUUCCAUGGAUGUAGGCUUGUUGUUGUUGAACCAAUAAAAUCUUGAUAUUCUUAGAGGACACUCUAGGAGAGGUUUUGAUUGAAGAUUGUUCGUCUUUAAUUUUUGUUAACAAUAAGGCACAUUGAUACCGAUAAAAUAAAGAUUAUGCUUAAUUAAGAAAAACACCCAAAAUGAAGGGUGAAUUGGGUUUUUUAAAAUCCUUUUAAACACAAUAAAUUCAAACACAAUAUAAACAAAAAUAAAGAGAUAGAGUUAGAAAAUUCAAACUCUGGUUUUAUAGUGGUUCGACACUUUUUUGCUUACGUCCAUUCUCCUCAAUUUCCUAACCGAAUGAGGGUUCCACUAACUUGAAGUUUCAACCAAGCUUCCAAUCUUCUUACACUUGGAUUCCAGCUCCAAUGGAAUCUUACACAAUCUCUUCAAGAUUCAAACCUCUUGAAUGCUUUAACACUCAACUUUUACAAUAAUGAAUCUCUCAACCUAGCUUAAGGAUAGCUCAAAAUACAAGACAAAGCUAGAAUGACACACAAGAGUGUACUAAAGGAUAUGCAAGUGAUGAUUUAAUGCACUAAUAAAUAAAUGAGAGCUUUUUGGUCAAUAACAGGUAAGUAGACAAUUGAUUGCAAGUGUUCUCUUGUCAAUAAAUGAAGUGGAGCUCUCAAUUUAUAAGUUUCUAAACUCGGGAGCCAAAAACAGCAAAAGGUAACCUCGAUCGGUCAAACUAAGGGUCGACCGGUUCAUUAGCCGUUGGAGCAUUUAAUGCUGACAGGUUACUGUUGCCUUGACCGAACCUCGACCAGGAAAAGAAUAACCUCAACUAGGAAGAGAAGGCUAUUGGGAGAGAGAGAGAAGAUUUUGGGCAUCUCUUGACCGGACCUUGACCGGACAAGGGCAACCGGUCGACCGGUUCCCCAACUGGUUGAGCCUUUUGGUCUCGCAAACCUAUCUUUUUUCAAUUCAUUUAUUUUCUAACACUUAGGCAAAGUCUUUAGGUGAAUUAUUAUGUCAAUUUUAAAACAUUUUGUCUAAGGUACAUUUGUUAAAACUCGGGUUUUAAUGAAAUCGAAAUUUUAAAUGAUAAACUGAGUUUUCUAAGUUGCAUGAAACGGUAUGAAAAUCCUAAGUGCACUCAUGCAUUCAUCUUACAUUCGUUUCCUAUGAUCACAAGUCUUCCAAAAGUCUUGAUCUUAUAUCAAUUUGGUCAUUUGAUGAAUUUUCAAGUUUAUGCUUGAGAUUCUUAACCAUUAAACCAAUUAGUCACUAAACCAUAAUUUGUUAUCAUCAAAACCCGAUUAGGAGAACCCUUGGGCUAACAGAUACUAAUUACUUGAAAUCUUAUCUUAUAAUUUAGUAAAUAGAGCAUAACCGAAUAAGUCGGCUUGAAUCAAACAUCACAUCUUCAUAAAAUUAAUAUGACUAUAACAUAAGGCAACUCAAAUUAGGAAAAUAAAAGCAAAUAAUAUUCUUUUUCCUCUGCUGAGGUAGACUCAUGUAAUGUUACAUACCCCGUUGAUUCUUGAUUGCAACUACAUCUUAUACACAUGGAUGAUAUAUAAUUUAUAUUAAUCAUGUUAAUCAACAAUUUUGGUCAUGGUGGGGACUUAUAGCAAAUAUCUUCCAUAUUAUCGCUAAAGGUUUUUAGAAAAUCAAACAGUUACAAAAUGAAAAGAAAUUUAAUCUCAAAGAGGUAAAAUGGUUUUAAGGAAUUCAUUAAGAAGAUUGAAUAAAAUGGCACCCUAAACUACAAUAAAAUCAUUUUAAUAAAAUGAAACCUUUGAAGAUCUAUUAGAGGUGAUAUAGAUUUCUUGAGAAGGCAAGGACAUAUCAUUUUCGCAACCUUACAUUAUGAUAGAUUAGAGGUAAUGUCAUUUUCACGGUUGGUCAAAGGUGAUGAUGAUCAAUCGUUUGGUAUUUGGUUCUUUUGAUGGGCGUUCCUCAUAGUACAAAAGGUUGAUGGCUUUUAUUUAUUUACUUUUUGGUGGGGGUUGUGAUUUAAUAUUUGGCCUUCGGCUAAGUUUUAUUGGGUUUUUGUGUUUGAGCGGGACAUGGUUUUAUUUGUAUGAUAUUAGGUUAUGUCAAGUUACAUGAUAUUAAAUUAUUAUUAAUUAAUGGGUUUAUGGUAUGAAAUUUGGGAUUGGGAUAGGCUUUCUUGGAUUAAUUACAAAAUUACUCUUUUUUUGUUUUCAAUGUUUGAACCACACAAAUGGGCCAGUGUCAGAAACAUGGUUUGGGCCCAAAUUGGGCCUAAGCCCAAGAUCGAGCAUGGGCCAGCUAGUCCCCAAGACCGACCCUCCAGUCUCGGCUUCAGCCCGUUUCUUAUUCCUGCCCCUCCACAAAAGUAAUUAUUAUUAUAUUGAAAUUUGUUGGCUUGUGAAUCAUGCAAUUUGAUCAAUUCAAUUGAUCGGAUCAACCCAAACUUCGAAAAGUAAGUUUGAAUUAGACUCUGAUUAAGCAUAUUGGGUUAGAUGUUGGAUUGAAAUGGAUUCAGACAGCCCAUUAAGUUACAACCCUAGCAGCAACAAAAUAGCUGCCACCUCCACAAACUGAGAAAGAAAUUCGAAUUUUGGUCUACGAGGAACCUCUUGAAUAGAAAAACAUCCUUAAUUGAAGUCCAGGAACUAUUGGAUGGGGUUUGCCAUGGCCCAUGGAACUGAUGACCCAACUAGCCCAAAACUUCUAAGCCCAACAAAUUUGGGUUGAGGCCAAUCCAUGGGAAUCGAGGCGGACUCUAGAUUGAUCCAUCAAUGCCAACAUUUUUGUAUUUAAUUAAUGCGGACAUCGACACGCACUACGCACGUGAAUCGUAACACACUUAGAAGAGCAAGUCUUGUAUUGUCAAGCUUGAUUUGUUCACAUACAUGUAAUAAUUUUUUGUUUUAUAAUUUUAUACAUGAAAAGGGCACGAGAGAUACGGAGAACAAAUGAAGAACAAACACGCUUAUUUUCUUUAAAAAUAAAAUUUUUAUAAACAGAAUGUCAGAUCCCUCGUGAUGACUCAUUAUUUGUUUUUUAAAUUUAACAAAUUAGCAAAUCAUGCUCAAAUAAAACGUGACAUUUAAUAUUUGGAUAUUCAAAACAAAAUACAUCAAACGUAUUUUAAUUAUUUCGAUCUGAUAAUGUCUUAUCUUGGAGGUUUUGAUUUGACUCGAUUCUAGUUAAUUGAACAAUACUAAAAUCAUAAUAUGUGAAUAUUGAUGAGUAAGCAAUCGUUAGUGACAAAUUUUUUAGUUAUCUUCGUGAUGUGAUAUUAAUAAAUGCAUAAUCCAUCAUAAAUGUAUAUAUCAAAUCUAAUAAUUACAUGAGAAGAUAUAUUAGUAGGUAAAAGAUCGGGAGUCAGCUGAAUAUAUUUACCAAAAUAACUUAAUCCAUUUUUGAUAAGACCUGUAUAUAAUUAGCAUAUUGAUAUGAGUGAAGUUAAUGCAACAAUAAUAUUUAUAUAAUUCAUGGGUGCAACUAAUUUCUCAUGAGGUAAUUAUAUGAUUACCAAUUCGAAACAAAAAUAAAUAGAAACAUAGUUUUAGUAAAAGGAACCCAAGAAUCAUAUUAUUUUCUGAUUCGAGUUUUGCUCACGUCUUAGAAUGAAUUCAAAUGACAUAUUUGGACAUUAAUAUUCAAUCGCAGCUCCCUCCAAUUUAUUUAUUUUUAUUUAAAAAAAGACAUGCAAAAAGGUGAAAAGAAAAAUACAUUAUUUUUAGAAAAGGUGGAUCUAAAGAUAAAAAGUCAUUAUUAAGAAUAUUAUUUAUAAUAAAAUCUAUUUAAAAAUUUAUACAUAUGAAAGAAAGUAUUAAAAGAAAACGCAGAUAAAACAUAACUAAACACACAUAAACAAAUCAAAUCACAGUCAAAUAAAGAAGGAACAUUAUGAUAUCCCGUCAAGGGUCCAACCAUGCGACCACCCAAGCCAACAAAAUUAGUAUGCAAGUUUGGUGCCCCCUCUUUACCAAGCCACACACAAGGGCCCCACCAUUCCAACCGCCUACGUAGCACCACAACAGUGAUUACGUGGACCAUCGGAUUCAUGAUAAGAUCAGCCACUCCCUAUUAAUUAACAAGACCAUAAUCAUCUUUGCCCACCAACACUUCCCUUUACUGCACUGCAGCUGCGAAAGAGCCAAUGCUCGUGCACUCCCAAAAUAUUUCUCUGUUUCACAAAAUCACCUUUUCUGUUGUGGGAAACAUGAUCGCCGCAGUACGGCUGUUUGCGUUUGCCGGCCACCACCACCCCCACCCCCAGUGUUGCAGUUGCUUUCAGCCUUUCACCAUGCGGCGUGCGUUGGCCUCGCAUUCCUCUCGCUGCCUCGCGCGACAGAUUCCGGAAUCACUCCGUCAAUGAUUUUGAAUUCAAAUUUUUGUUUUCCUUUUUUUAUUUUCAUUUUUUACACCUGGCAAAUUAUAGCGCAGUACACCUGGUCGUUGUUUAUGGUGACAAAAUUUUGACAUUUUUUUUGUUGUCGCUCUAAUUAUUGGAAAAGGAAAAUUAUUAUUAUCCCUUGAAAAUGUAAAAUUUGACACUUACAAAAUUGGUACAUUAGGAUUUUUACUAGGUUUCCUUUGAAUCAAAAUAAGUUUCGUUUGACUUCAGAAAUGAGAGGUUUCCCUUAUUCCAUAAUAGUAGACGGAAUUGACAGGUUAGGCUCGCUAGAAUUUCAGACGGAAAAAUCAAUAUAGUCAAGUCUUUAGAAUUUCUGGCAAGUGUGAUCAACCACGCCUAAUAUUUGAGCGUUGACCCACACACUUGACAUCUGAGCAACAAAUUAGACACUAGAUUUCUAAAUGACGGACGAAACUCCAUUUAUAUCGAAAAGUCAAUGUUAAUUAAUUGUUACACACAAUUUCAAAUAUUGGCAGAUUAAAUGAACAAUCAGCUGCACGGUCCGAGAUUUUGGCACGUCAAUAGACAACACCAAUCAAUCGCCUUUAUCUGAUAUAAUUAUCCAAUUGCCCUAAGGGCAUUCAUUAUUACAAAAAAUGUUAGAGUGCAUAGUCAGCACUACAAUGACGAUACUAUCAAUUUUAUAUAAAUCCCCCAAAAAACAUAAGGUAAGAGAUUAUCUCAAAAAAGAAUUGUUAGAGUUAUCCUUAUUUUUUACUUAAGUUUAAAAGUGACGUGCCCGAACAACCUAUUCGGACAUCCUAUGCGGAGGGAAGAAGUCCUCCUAGCUCUAGUGAAGCUAUAUCGGACUGGUUGGCUCAACCCCAACACUUGACCGUAUAUUUUUUUUUUUGGCAAAAAUAAACUCCAACAAUGACAGCUGUAAUGAUCUUGGCCAAGAAGAAAGAUGACGCAUGCCGUGAGGUGUGUGUGUGGAGUUGCUGAGUUCCGUAAGAUGUGAGUAUACAAAUAUCCCGGCCAGCCAUGAAAGCGACUACGCCAUGACUCCUGUAUGACUGGUCCAGUCACCACGCUAGCAGACACCCAAUUUUGACAACUCAGCAACCUUCCGUUUCUCCAAAUUGUACAAAAUUAUUUCAGUCAAAAUUUCAAAUUUGUUUUCAGAAACGAUCCAAAAAUCAGACAUCUUUUAUAUGCUUACAAAUACAACGUUUAAUUUAACUCCUAUUUUCGAGUUAAAGGACAUCAACGGACGGUGUUAAGCACAUGGCCGCCACGUGAUCCUGAAAUUCCUUCUAAGUAACGUUAAAAUAUUUGUCCGAUUAUCUUAAUUUUCCUUUUUCUCGAAGGGGUUUCUAGAUAUGGAAAGAGCAUUAAAGUACAUUCCAACUAAUAAUAAGAAGAAAAAAAAUCUUGUUUUAAUAACAAUUGCUUAUCUAGCAAUUUUCCUUUUUAGAUUUUUUUUUAAUUAAAAAAAACAGAAAAUAAAAAAUCAAACAAGAAAACAAGUUUGAUACAACUUCUUUCAAGUCUCAAAGGGAAACACUUUCUAUUUUAAUUUUUAGUAAAAAAAUGUAAUUAAGGGGGUGUUUGGUACUUGGGAAUGAAAAUAAAUAUUUUGUUUUCAUUCCUAUUUUUUAGUGGAUAGAAAUGAAUUUGAUAAUUUCAUUUUUAGUAUUUGAAUGAACUUAGAAAUGCAAGAUUGGAAUGAUUAUUUGUUUCCAUUUUAAUGUUUGAUAAUAAUAAGAAUGAAAAUGAAAAAUAAAUAAAUUUAUAAUAAUAUCAUUCCAUAUAAUUUAAAAUAAUUUUUUAUUUUUAUUUUUAUUUUUAAAAAACAAUUUUUGAGAGUUUUUUUUUGUUAUUAAAUAACAAGACUAAAAAAACAUAUAUACUCAAUAAAUAAAUAAAUUAACCAUAAAAAAUCAUAUAAUCUUAAUGUACAAAUAUUUAAUUGUUAUUUUUAUUAAAAAUUUGAAUAAUUUGUUAUGCUUAAGUAGUUAUAAAAUUAUAUUUUACCAAAAAAAAGAAAAAAAAUAAUAGUCUUGAAAUUUUUUUUUUUAAAUAUUGUAAAAGAUUUGAUUAAUUCAGUUUGGGAGAAUCACUUAUUGCAUAGAAGUGGAUGAUGAAUGAGUCUCUAACUUUGCAUAGAAGAUAAACAUGAGACUUGAAAAAUAAGAUAAGAUGAUAAAAUAGUAAAUUUAAUUUAUUUUAUGUUAUCAAAUAGGUUCGACUUAUAAGUUGAAUUUAAUUUCUACUUAAAUAAAUUUUUAUUCAAUUUCUACCUUAUUAACAUUUAACACGAGAAUAAUAAAGAAAACCUACCAAACACCCCCUAAAAUAAAAUGGAAUCCACGAACACACAUGGAGUCCUUAGAAGACAUAAUGAUGACGAGGUGGGACCUUCAUCUUCUUCCACAGCAUCAAAAGCCAGACAGUAGUGAUUCCAUGCAACCACAUCCACGCUUGGUCCACGCUACUCUCCAUCAUCAACCUUAAUCAAACGGUCAGAGUCUUUUCAAAGUUCAAGCUCCACCGCCUCACCAAAUGAAAUAAAAUAAAAAUAAUAAAUUAAAAACUCUUAUUUAUUACAUUUCGCGGCCAUUCAGUCUCUCGUUGUCUUCAACGGAAAUCUCUCUAUUUGAAGAUAUAUGUGUACUAUAAAAUCACUGAGUUAUUGGAGGAGAUCGCAGGACAGGACUCUGCAAAUCUGGGGUGAGUUAAUUGGAGUUGGAUCAUCUUCUACAGUGUUUUUAUUUCUUUCCUUUUUUCUUUGGUGUGCGUUUGUUCGGUUUCUGUUUUGAAAUGUUCUUCUGAGUGUUUGGUUGGCGAGAAAAUGGAGGAGAACAAAAAAAUAAAAAUGAAAAUUAGUGUUUUGAAUCUUGUGUUUUGUCUUGUGAAAACGGAAUUUUCUUCUCGACAAAAGAGGUUUAGAGAAAUUUUCUUUUACUUUCCUUCAUUUUCUCAGUAAUAUGGAAAAUUGAGCUCCCUACAAUUGCUGAUCUGAACGUUAAUGCGCACUUUUUUUGUCCUCUUUGUUUGGCAGAGUCCGGUCGAUAUUUGAAAGCUGAGAAGUUUGUAUUACGACUUCAAGCUUUGUUAGGGGAACUGAGAAACGUUUGGUAACAGUGAUCGGUUGGCUCUUCUUUGGGAUCGAAUCGAGCUGGACACCAUGGGGUUUGAAUUAGGCUCUGUUGUGAUGAAAUUGGGAAUGGUCUCUACAUCUGAUCACAGUUCUGUGGUCUCCAUGAAUCUAUUUGUGGCGCUUCUCUGCGCGUGUAUAGUGGUGGGUCACUUGUUAGAGGAGUAUCGAUGGAUGAACGAGUCAAUCACAGCCCUUGCGCUUGUGAGUUUUGUAUAUUUAUAGCAUUUGAUAGACAGUUCGGCCUGGUUUACAGGGAAUUGAUGCCAAACUUUGUGUGGAUUGAUUGCAGGGUCUGUGCACAGGAAUUAUUAUUCUACUAACCACCCGAGGAAAAAGCUCACAUAUUUUAGUAUUCAGUGAAGAUCUUUUCUUUAUUUAUCUUCUUCCACCUAUCAUUUUUAAUGCUGGGUAAGUUGGAUUUCUUAAUGCAAACUCGAUUUGAAUAUUUUGUUCGUCAUUAUCAUCAAUGGAUUCAUUUAUUUAUCCAGAGCAGUUAGAUGCUUAUUCUCAGAAACCUGCAAUUGGGUUUUUGAUCUGACAAUGAUCCAUGGCGUUGGGAUUAAGUUUUCAUACGUUAUUUAUUUAUUUACUUUUUUGGCUUCGACAUUGGAGAAAAAGUUUUAAAUCAAUAAAAUAAAAUGAUACAGUUACAAAGAUUGGAAUAGCAAUUGCCAGCAAUCUCUGAUGAUGCUGGAGUCACCAUAGUAAGAAACAGAUUUUGAAGUUCAUGAACAAUAGAGUUCUGCAAUCAGAUGGUUGUGAUUAUAUUGUUAGUGAACAAAUAUGCCAGCAUGAAAUACAAAACACAAGUUGGUACUUGAGUAUGUAAUCUACUGAAAUUGUCAGUAGGCUGCCAUCUUGAUAGAAGAUCUGUAUUAAUGCAUUAUUGAUACCCAUCAAUAGUGGCCCAGUAGGCCACUUGCAGCUACCACAUCUAGCAGCCACAAUGCAAAAUCCAUAGUGUCUGAUGAAACUCUACUGUUAUAGAGUCCAUAGGCAGUUUGAUGAUGAAGGUUGAAUGAGGACCCAUUUGGUGUCUGGGAGAAGUAGACCCCAGAACUUCCCUGCAAACAAAACAUUCUCCUUCCUGCUGUUCAAUAUAUAGUAUAGAUGAUAGCAGGUUGCACUUCUGUAAAGUGUGAAUAUCUCAACAACUUCUUUAACAGAAGAUUGCUUCCUUUUUUAUUUCUGAAAUGUGAGUUUCCUGGAAAUAUGUUGGGCACACAAAAUUCUUUCAGCCAGUGUGUAUGAAAUUCUUCAAUGACAUAACCCAGAAUCUUACAAAUUACAAUCUUAUGGAUGCACAACCUCACUGUGAACAUGAAUACAUUUGUUGUCCUGAUUUCAUUUUCCUAUAAGGCACAGCACAACUCAAAUUUCAGGAAUUUUUCAUGCUUUUACUAAUUAUAUUAAUUUUUUACAUGACAAAUUUAGAAUACUAAAUUAGCAUAAGCGGCAAAAAUAUUAGUUAAAGCAGCAUUCUGUUUUUGGUUAACUGGUAAGAGCAUGUGACCAUAAUAAUCGGUUUGAUUUGUCUCUUCUUCUUUUUCCCUGCAACAGCUUCCAGGUGAAAAAGAAGCAGUUUUUUCGUAACUUCAUGACCAUCAUGCUGUUUGGAGCUAUUGGAACUCUGAUAUCUUUUGGCAUCAUAUCAUUAGGUAAAGUCAGCAACUAAAUGUAUUUAAUUGUUUUAGUUCAUGUUUAUAAAUUCUUUGCGGAAUUUGGAAGUUUAGAACUGUAGAUGUAUAUUGCCACUAAAAUCAUUAGAUGACAAAUCAUCUAAAUUAUAGCAGGGUUGCCACAUGUGGUCAAAAUUAUUGUUCCUGAUUUAAAAAUCUUGCUCAUGCUGUAUGGCAAAACAUUGAUAUUUGUGCUGAUGCUCCUAGUUGGGGCAUUAUCUAUACUCAUGUCAUGCAUGCAAUGAGUUCACUGUCAAGGGUAUAGGCAGGUUUUUAUGUUUGCUUAGAUUACUGAAAUAUGAGGCAAUGGGAAAAAAAACCCUUGCUUGUAUGGUUAUUUCACUUCUGCUUAUUUAGUUAUUCCAUGGAAGUACACUUGGAAUUAGGACCGAGUGAUUGGAGAGAAUCAAUAUAUGGGAAUAUUAUGAUGAAAGUCAGAACCAGUGGAAACACAUCAUUUAUGGGAUCAUUAGAUGACCAAAUGUAUAUGUUACUUGAAAGAGAAAUGCUAAUUAUUUAAUCACACUAAAAAACAGAUAUGUUAGAGUAUAUCUGGACCUAUCACCAUUUUUUAACAGGACACCGUUAUUGUCAUUUCAUGUUUUUGGUGAAACUGAAAAUAAAAAUAAUGCUUCAUGCUAAUUAUUCCCAUAUCUUGUUUAUUUUGAGAUGAGGACUGCAUGUUCCUGUGAUUGCAAUAAUCGACCUUUUUGGAUCAAGCAAUCAUAUCUGAAGGACUUCUGUUGGUGUAAUUUAUACACUUGAGUAGAUGCUUUAGUUGAUAGCUAGAAUUCUCUUACCACUUGUGUUCCUCCUUUUUAUGAUGAAUGAUGGAUUCUACUUGUGUUCCCCUUUUUAAGUAUGAAUGAUGGAUUCUACUAGUGUCCCCCUUUUUAAGGCUGAAUGAUGGAUUUGAUGGUUCAUUUAAGCUGUUACUAAUGACUGAGUUUUGUGGUCAUCUUUGAUGCUACAGUUCAUUUUAUGUAUUUUUUACAUUUUCUGUAACAUAUUGAACAGGGAAAAAAGAAAAUUAAGAGAAAAACUGCUUCUUGCAUAUUUCCAGAGAUCUCAAAUGCAAAUUAAUAUCAGUAUUCAUUGUUAUUCACAAGUUAAUCAGUGAUGAAUGUGGAUUAUCGUUAUACUCUCUUCUCAACUUCUUACUCUGACACAGGUGCUAUACACUUUUUCAAGAAGAUGAAAAUUGGCUCCCUCGAUAUAGGGGAUUACCUUGGUACUCUUCAUUUCACACUUUGCUCCCCAAAAGUUCUUUGUGUCCCAAAAGUUCUUUGUGUUUUCUCUUAUUACAAUUUCAUUUCUUGUUCUCUCAUCUCACUCAAUGAUUUGCAGCACUUGGAGCAAUAUUUUCUGCAACAGAUUCCGUUUGCACAUUGCAGGUACAGAUGGCCUUACUAAGCUGUGAUCCUGUUACUAGUUCUAAGGGACAACACUUCCACAACUUAUUUAUCCAAUCCAAUUGUGCAGGUGCUUAAUCAGGAUGAGACACCCUUACUCUACAGUCUGGUUUUUGGAGAAGGUGUUGUGAAUGAUGCCACAUCUGUGGUGCUUUUCAAUGCAAUCCAGAGCUUUGACCUCUCUCACAUCGAUUCAAGCAUUGCCUUGCAGUUCAUUGGCAACUUUUUGUAUUUAUUUAUCACAAGUACCAUGCUGGGAGUUUUUGUAAGUCUUUCUUGCACUCUGCCAUGUGUGUGCAUGCUUGUGGUUACAAACGAUUCUCUUUUGAUAGACAACUUAAAUUAUGUAAAUAGGCACCUAACAAUAUGGUUGCAUUUUGUGGUUAUAUAGAACUUUCUUAACAUUUUCUUUUUGUCUUCUGCAGGCUGGACUGCUUAGCGCAUAUAUUAUUAAAAAGCUCUAUUUUGGAAGGUUUGUAAUUAAGUGUUGUACUGCUUUCACCAGACCAUGUCUUGACUUAGUUGAAUUUACAACAGAGAAAGUGUUUUUUUUUUCAGAAAAAGAAAAAAUUAUCAGUUGGAUCAUUAGGGUUCUACAUGCUGCUUCUUUCUGCAUCAUCUAUAUGACCAACAAUUCUUUUAUAUCACUUGUAUAAGUAGUAAAUGUCUAAGAAAAGACAAGGGCUAUAGUUUUGAGGAGAAUUCUCAUACUUUCUUUGUUAACAAACUCCAGGCAUUCGACUGAUCGGGAGGUUGCAAUCAUGAUACUCAUGGCUUACCUUUCGUAUAUGCUGGCUGAAGUAAGAUAUCCCACAACUUGCUGGGAAAUCCUUCCCUGACCCCUGUUUGCUCUUUAUUUAUACUCUUGAGCCCCAAAAUAAGCACAUGGACCUUAAUUUUGGAAUUGUUAUUUGUCUUACAGCUGUUCUAUUUAAGUGCCAUUCUCACUGUGUUCUUUUGCGGGAUUGUCAUGUCUCACUACACAUGGCAUAAUGUGACUGAAAGUUCAAGAGUGACUACCAAGUAUGUUAAUUAUCCAGGAAGUGAAGUAUUGAAAUUCAUUCAUCUUCAUUCCAUUUUGCCAAAAUGUUGAUUAAACUGUGAUGUUGCUGAUGUUACAGUUCUUACCAAAUGUUUGCAGGCAUGCUUUUGCGACAUUGUCAUUUGUUGCUGAAAUUUUUAUCUUUCUAUAUGUUGGCAUGGAUGCCUUGGACAUUGAGAAAUGGAGAUUUGUAAGUGAUAGGUAUGGUUACUACAUCAAAAGUACAUUAGUUCCCAUGAGCAUCUGCUUGGAAUGUAACUGGUCUGAACAUUAACUUUUACCUUGUACUAUAUGUGGGCUUAUGUUAAAUUUCUUCCUUCUCAGCCCUGGAAAAUCAAUUGGUGUGAGCUCGAUACUGUUGGGACUGGUUCUGGUUGGAAGGGCAGCAUUUGUUUUCCCUUUAUCCUUUCUGUCCAACUUGACUAAGAAAUCAUCAAGCGAGAAAAUUCACAUAAAACAGCAAGUACGAGUUCUUUCUAUUUGGGUUUUAAGGUUCUGAAGCACACCUUUUUUUCAAUCAAAUUAUUAAACAACUACACAAUUUUACUCUUCAGGUCACAAUUUGGUGGGCUGGUCUUAUGCGUGGUGCUGUUUCUAUGGCACUAGCUUAUAAUCAGGUAAGACAUUGGAUGUUGUCCUUUUUUAAGGGUUUACAGCAUUGGAUGGUUUAAAAAUCUCAUGUAGGGUGAUAUGAAUGUCAUGGAAAACACUAACCUAGCAAUAUGGGAUCAUGCUAGUAGUUCUGUUCUGUUCUCUACUGCACCAUUUGUGCAAUAGAGUUGGGCGAUUUAUGCCACUAUAUCUACAAACAAUGGAGUAAGCCAUUUGGAUAUUAAGUUGUACCAUCUAUGCUAUAUAUGUGCAUAAGUUACCAAUCUCUAUCAUGAGAUUGAUUUGCUAAAAUUAAUAGAAUUUAUGCUGUUGUACUGAACCUGCCUCAUAGAUUUUUAGCAAUAUAGGUAGACCACCUAUUAAGGGUCUAUAUGUAUCCAUUAUUAUGGUGCAUUUUGUGUAGAGAGGAAAUUGUACUUUGGCAUGGGAAAGACUUAGACAUGGACAUACAAAUGCAUUAGUUAUAUGCACACUUUUUACAUUGUGGGGCAGGGGUCAAAGGGGAGAGGAAGGGCUGCGUCUUAUUGCAAUGUGUUAGUGCUAUGCAUGAGUUUCCUUGGGAGAACAGUAAUAAUGAUAAUAUAAACAUUUAAUGAGUUCUUCGUUAUUUUUACCUUUGAUGGAUACAGUUUACUAGGGCAGGCCAUACUCAAUUGCGCGGGAAUGCAAUUAUGAUCACCAGUACUAUCUCAGUUGUUCUUUUCAGUACAGUGGUAAGACAUCUCAGCUCUUUGUGGCUACAAUCAAUUUAGAGACCCACUCUGAAACGGGGCCUAGGCUGUUUGAAUUCUCCAGUUUGCUAUAUUGAUAUUUCAUUGUCCAAAUAGCUUUGUUAAGACUCUUCUAUUUCCAGCUGGCUUGGCAUCAUAUUAUUUUGUCAAGUAAUAUAGGCCUUAUAACUAUAUUAAAUUUUGAUUUGACCUUGAUUACAGUAUAAAUAAUAAUGAAUUAAGCUGCUAUAUCACCAAUAUUUGUCUGUUGGGCUCUGAAAUAAGAACCCCAAAAGAGAAUCGCAAUAUGGUAAAUUAAGAACCCAAUCUGACCUUGUUAGAUUAAGGUUUGUUUAUGUCAUUGAAUUGUUUAUUUCUAUUUCUUUCAAGAAAAAUGACACUAAAUGCAGAUUUAAGACUCAACUCUUUUCUCAAACACAGAAGGCAGGUAUAUUUAUUUUCAUAACAUUGACUCUGUGCAGGUGUUUGGGUUGAUGACAAAGCCUUUAGUGAGGUUAUUGCUUCCUUCUCCAAAACCCUUCACCAGCAUGAUUUCUUCUGAACCAUCCAGUCCUAAAUACCUCGUUGUCCCACUUAUCGGUAAUGGGGAGGAGACAGAAACUGACCAGGCCAGCCAAAAUGUACCCCGCCCCACCAGCUUACGGAUGCUCCUAAGCACUCCCAGUCACACUGUUCACCAUUACUGGCGAAAAUUUGAUGAUUCCUUCAUGAGACCUGUUUUUGGUGGACGGGGAUUUACACCCUUCAUCCCUGGAUCACCCACUGAACCAAACCUUGGUCAAUGGCGAUGAGAAGGUAACCAACAAAUCCUGAACAAUGGUAAUGAGAAUGAAACCAAAGCAAAGAUACAUACACUAAUUACACGUCUUGUAGCUAGGGCAUGCAAUCGGCUUUCUGUGUGAAUUUUGUCAAUAUUUGAGAGAUUUCAGUCUGGGAUCGUGACAAUUUGCUUGUAAUUUGGUUUGAUUGAGGUUGUUUUGAAUAUGUAUUUCUUUAGCCACAAUGUUCUUGAGUGUGAAGAUGCAUUGUAAGUGAGAUUCUAUUCCUGGCAGUGCAUUUCAGCACAAGUCUCUAUUUUUUUGGAUUGUAAUAUAAGAGUUUAAUGUAUUCUAACAUUAUUUUUGUCCAUUUCUCCUCUAUUUUUUGAUGAAUUGGAGACUCUUUGUCACCCUUACUGACUUUAUGUGUGUACAAUGCUCUUUCUCUAAGCUCUGUUCUGCAGAAAAAAUAGAAAGAACACUGGUCACGGUGCAGGCAUUUGGUUCAGCCAUUUAACAGUACAUAGAAUUGAAUAGAUGUAGCCCAAUAUUAUUUUGCCACUCUUUUUUGCUAUGUUUGGUCCUGGAAAAUACUAAGACUAUGAUUGGUUGUUGGAAAAUUUGACCGAAAAUGCUAGGAAAAGAAAAUAGAAAGAAAAAAUAAAAGGAAAAAAAAAUUGAGGGAAAAAAAAUUGAUAUAUUUCACUUAUUUUUCAGCUUUUAUAUAAAAAUCAAAUAAUUUGAAAAUAUAUAAGUUUAUAAUUAAUUUUUAUUUUUUUCAUAUAUUUUCCCUAAUAAAAGUAAGCAUAAGAAAAUAAUUUUAUUUAGCAGGGACUAAACAUAACCUAGUAAGACAAGAAAAAAAUAUUAAAAAAAGUGUUUUUCUCAUCUUUGGUUUGGUUUUGUGAUGAAAAAUAUGAAUAAAAAUAAAAUAUAAUUAAAAUAGUUAGAAACUCUUGUAUUUUUAAAUUAUUUAAUAUUUAUAGAAAAGUAAAAACUAAAACAUGUUUAAAUCAGCAUAUAAAAAUAAUUUGUUAUUCUUAAAUCUAAUUUUUAUUUUCCUUUAUAUUUUCUCUUCUACUAUUUUUCCUUUCUGUUUUUUUUUCCUUGUGUUUUCCCCCAAAUUUUCCAAAAACCAAACAUAUACCUUUAUGAAUCCUGUCCAUAUCCUAGGGAAGAUAAAUGGAAAAAGAGAGAAAAAAUAACUGAAAAGAAUAAAAGUAAGGGAAGCUUCUUCAUUAAGUAUGCCAUCUUGUUACUAUCUGCAGGGCCAGAAACCUGAAGAUGCAAGAACUCAUUUUCCAGAAUUCAACUCAAUGAUGGAAUACCAUCCUCAAAAAAUUCGGAACAUACAGUUUUCUAAUUCUACAUUUGCUUCGAAUAUGCACUAGGCUUGAAAUCUAUAAUAUGUGGUAAUGAAAUUCAUAAUGAUUCAUAGACCUGAUAAGGAAAAAGCUCCUCAAAAUGGUCAUUCUACAAACUGACUCUUCUUUUUAUUCAAAGAGAUCAGUUCUCUUAACAAGCAACUUUUUACUAGAUUCCUAUAUAUCACACACAAUAUGUCGACAAUUCUGGCAUGGGCCGGUCAAUAAACAGACUAUAAAAUCCUGUGUCUGAUCAUUGAGGAGGAAAACUUGUUCCUUCUAAAAAUUCCAGGCAGUCAGUCACAGAGUACAAAAUAAGUCUUCUUUCUAUGAGUGCAUAAGGUAUCCAGCUGCAAUACCGAUGAGGGCAAUUAUCAGAACAAACAGGAAAGGGAAACCCACCCGGACUCUUCUCACAUCACUCUUCUUCCUCAACAUUGCCUGCAAAUAGAGGAUAACAAAUGGGUUAUAUCAGAAGCAGCCUCUGAAGUUUAUUGCACUUGGGACAAAUAAGAUGGCUAUGUACUAUAAUAAAAUAGAAAAUAAAAGUUGUAAGACUGAUAUACAUCAUGAGUUGAAAUCCUAACCGCUUAAACUUUUAAGAAAAUUGGCAACUCAAAAUGGUAUCAAAGCUCUGCUCAACUGGAGGUCUUUAGGAAAAUUGGUGACUCAAUACAAGUUAUGUCAAAUUCAAGUGGAGGAGGGACCCGGCAAUUUUCAAUCAACAAUCCUGCCGUCAUGCAAUCACAGUGUGGAACAUAGUAAAUGCUGUGUACCUCUGCAAUUAACUGGAACAAAGAUGGCAUCUAAUUCAUAAUUGUUUUUAUUCUACCCACCAUUACAUGGAUCUAGGUGAUUGUGUAAAGAUUGUGAUCAAAACAUAAAGGAGCCAAAUGUAGCUCUAUAUUAUAGCAAUGCACAAAUUAUAUUUGAGUGUUAAUAUACUUCAUUACUAAUCAUUUAUUUGACUAAACAGAACUACUGUCACACAUCUUUUACUGUCAAAGAUCUGGUCAAUGAGUAUGAUCCACUGGUUAUGCUAUAUGAGAGUUGGCUUCCCAAGCUCAACAAUGGAGUGACUGGGCAACUGAUAAUCCACUGUUCCUAUAGACCUGAUCCACUGUAAUUUGCAACCAGUUUGGGGGAGUUUAUUUGUACAGAAAAUAGUGCAUUUUCCAUAUUGUGAGAUAAUGCAUUUAUUGACAAUCGCACCAACAGUCAGUGCAAUAACUUGAGCACAUAACUUAGAAUCAUUCCCAGGUAAAGCAAUAUUGAUUUUGCAAUGAAGUAUUGCAAAAACCAUGGCAUUUAGUUUGGCCACCAUUUACAGGAACUUGGAUUUCAGAUCAAGGAUAAAAAAAUCCCAGACAGUUCAACAGAAAGAAUUCUCACUGGUUAACAAGAAAUACAGCACAAAUAGAGAAUAUCUAUUCACACUCCUACAAUCAAUUAAAUAGUUCAGAGUAUUCAGUCAGAAAACUCCAUUAGGAGCAUGACUUGUAAAAAUAAAUAAUCAACCAGACAAAUAUGUCAUCUAAGGUUUUAUUUAUUUUUAUUCUUUAAUUUUUUUUUUCCUGUUGUUGAUAUUCAAUCAAGUGAAUGUAUUCCACCAGAUUCUCUGCUUGUUACUCUAAUAAUCAUUCUAUCAGGUUACUUUGGUUACCAAAAGGUAGAGAUGGCAGGGACCAUUUUCCGGGUUCAUAACUUAAGAUAUUAACCAUGACAAAUGAUGAAAAUAAUAGAGGGCACGAGGUGAAAAUAAUUACUUACUAGUUCAUGCUUAAGUGUUUCCUUCUCCCGAGUGGCCAUGCUCCUUUCCUCUGUUAGCUUUGUGAUAAUAAGUUUAGCCUACAGAGAAUUCCACCAGUUCUUAAUCAGUUUGUCACAAUUUUCUUCAGACUUCAAGGAGAGAAUGCACUAAUAUGAGCAAAAAGAGAAGCAUGGGGAUAAUUUCCUAUUGCAUGUAUUAUAUGAACUUAAUCUUGAAAUUGGGCCAUGUAUUCAAAGAUUAGGUGCACAAUAAUACAUGGUAAGCCUGUUCACCAUUUACAGGAGUUGCUUUCUGAUGACCAACAUGAAGGAAAGAGUUUCCCUUGAUAUUAGAAAGCAAACCACAAACAACAAUAUUUGCUCCUACAAUAAUAUUUAACAUUUGCAAUAUUUCUUGAAAAGUAAUGUUCAAAAUUACCUUGGAUACCAAACAAGAUAGCAGCUAACAGCCAGAUUUGCUUUCUUUUUAUUUCUUUUUCUUUUUUUUUUUUUUUGGGGGGGGGGGGGGGGGACCAAACUCAACUUAAAAUGCAAUAUCUAACUACAUAAAGCCACAAUUGUGGCCAAAGGUUUCACUCUGAAAAGGGGGGUGAGAUAAGGAGACCUUCUCCCCCGUAUCUAUAAAUACUCACUCAACGUCAGUAGGGGCUUUUUUUUGCUCAAUUUGAUUUAGACUACCCCAAAUGGAUUUCAAAUCUGUUUUUCUUAAAGGGAGUAAAGGACAAANNNNNNNNNNNNNNNNNNNNNNNNNNNNNNNNNNNNNNNNNNNNNNNNNNNNNNNNNNNNNNNNNNNNNNNNNNNNNNNNNNNNNNNNNNNNNNNNNNNNCCCCUCUGCCGGGACCAACGUGAAGGAAGGAGUUUCCCGUGACACGGAAAGCAAACCCCAAACAACAAUAAAGGGUCCUGCAAUUAUAUUUAACCUUUGCAAUAUUUUUUGAAAAGUUAUGUUCAAAAAUACCUUGGAAACCAAACAAGAUAGCAGGUAACAGCCCGAUUUGCUUUAUUAUAAAUUUCUUAUCUUUUUUUUUUUUUUUGGGGGGGUGGGGGGGGGGGGGGGGUAUACUAAAAAAAUAUAACUCAUACAAUUUUCUAAUUAUUUUUCUCCAUGAACCCCCUUCCAAAGAUUGAGACAUAGCUCAGGAAACCAGCUAUUUUUCUCUUCAGUCAUUUGCUUAUGUGAGCAUCAUCUCACCUGAAUCCUUUCCCCAAACACAUGACCAGAAGUCUGAGUAAACACAAAAUCAAAAGUUACAGCACUACAAGCAAGAGUCUAGGAUGGAAAAGACUGACCUCACUUAGGUUUAGCUCUACUACAUUUAGCUUUGAAUUCAACUCCUCAAUGUCCUUGGCUAAGUUCUCCUUAGCAAUAUCAUUUGUUAACUUCAGUUCAUCCACAUCCUCGGCUGGUCUUGACUCCACAUCCUUAGCUGCUCUUGACUCAUCUGUAACUUUAGCAGUUUUGAACCCCUCUACAUCCUUAGCUACCUGACACAAUAGAGACAAUAAUUGUUACCAGUCCAAAAAGAGAAUCCCAUACAAAAUGGUUAUUGUUCUCAAUAUCACAUUCUUUCUGUUGUUUGAAGUAUAUAGAAUUUUUCCUAUUAAGUUAAUAACAAAUAAAUGACAGAGACAAGAAGUUAGACAAUCCCAGAAAAAAAGUGAACCCAGAAAUGGCAUACCAACUACAUGUACAUCCUUGUAUAUUUCCCAGGACUUUUGAUAAAGUCAGGGCCCAAAAUCUCAACGUAGAAAAGCUGCUUCAGUUAGGAGGGGGUGAGAUGAGAUUAAAAGACAAUAUAACUAUUUCUCUUACCACAUGAGCUGGGGGGGUGUUUUCAACUCCACUCAGCAAUUGAUCUUUUUGUGAAAAAUUUUCAUGACAUGGAUCUUGCUUCAAUAAUCCAUUAAGUGGUAGCAAUACAGGAGAAUGAGCAGGGCCAAUGAGAACCACUCUUAGUUUUUUCUCUUCAAGGUAUUUGCCACUAUCUUUUGCAAACUGCCAAAAGAACAAUAAGAAAAAUAACGAAGAACAAGCUAAAACCAAUUGCAACCUUAAAUUCUUACCAUGUCAGAUCUAAUAUCGGUUUCAGUUGUACCAUAGGGGACAACUGUGCUUUGAAUCAGGAACUUAUCUUUACACUGCAUAUCAGGUGGAGCUACACGCUGAGCUUGCAUGGUAACUGUAGCCAAAAGGUGAAGUGUGAAAAUUCUAUUAUGGAAGGUUGAUGCUGGCAUAAAUGAAAUACAGGUAAUAUUGCUGGUAAUAAUAACCAUGUCAAAUGCAUAAACUGCAUUUGACAACAUAGGAAGGAACAAAUGCACAAUGACGAAUUGCAAUCUUUCUGCUUGUAAAGGUUUUUUAAUAUAUAUUUUACUACUUAAGUUUCUAAAUUAAACUUCACAAGCAAAUUUUAAUAUACUUAUGGUAGGUUGCACAUUCUUUUUUGCCAUUCAACCCUAUUCAAGGCCAUAGUCCUCAUUGAGUCAUUUGCAAUCAUGUUUUUCCCUUGACUUCCCAACCAACGUUCCUUUUAUCCUUCUACUUGUUCUAGUGACAUGUUCAACUUUAAUCAGAUCACUCCUUGUUGAUGUAUUCAUCAGUCGUCCUUGCACAUAACUAGACUAUUGUAACCUUGUCUUUGCCUCAAGAAUUGACGUCUCCAACAUCUACCAAAUGACUCCAUUCAUUAUGCUUUCUUUUCAUGUAUUGCCACCCAUCCAUCUUAAUAUCCUUAAUCUACUAAACUUGUUCUUUUAACGCGUUGUUCUGUAACAGCCUAUCUUUUGUACCAUAAAAUCGAACUUUUAGGCGACUUAAGUUGGCCUCAUAGCUAAUAUAGGAGUUCUUACCAAAAUCAAAACCAAAGAAGUUGGGUGCAUACAUCUAAAAUGGCAGCAUAAUCUUCUUGUUGAUAAAGCAUAGUAUCUCUAACUUCUAUUCUGUAGAAUAUUCCUUUAAAUUGAUCUGUGCUUGUUGGUUAAAAAGAUCGAACAUAUGACACAGGCCACACAUUUAACACAGAGAAAAUUUAGUAGGUGUAUGAGAGAAGCAUAAGACAAUAAUUGAUUAGGUCAAGGGUAGAAACAUACCCAUGACAUCACAUUCUGCAUUUGGCUUAACAACGCCUGUGUUCGGUCGCACACAAUAUCUUUUUGGAGAUGUGGUCUUCACCUGCCAAAAUGAUUCUAAAAUCAUACCGGCAUCAAUUGAUCACCUUAAGCAAACCAGAGUUUCUUCAUGUUGGAACCCUUCUCCAUAGUCCGUAAGUAUUAUACAUUUCCUUCUAUACUUAAUUGAAUGAUGAGAAGUAGUAGAAUAUUAGGCAUGAAACCAAAUUUUCCUAACAAUAAAUUUUCCCAGGAGGAAGAGCAGGAGACUACUUGAGAAUUCUACUGAAGAAUACAAUGCAUGAUCAAAGAAAGAAAAAAUAAAAUCUGCACCUUGAAAGCGAGAUAUUGAUCGGAUUUAUUGACAAGGUGAAUUGAGCAUGAACUUUGUUUCUUCAACUCAACUGGAAAGAGAAGAUAUGUCAGAUUUUCCAGUUUACACGCAUCAGGUUCCAAUUAGUUCUCAGAAAAAUAAGGAGGGAAAGAGAAGGAAAAUUCUUACAUGUGAACUUGAGUUCGCGUGGUUGAAUCUCCAAGAGCUCCAUAGCGAUUUAUCUUUGCAGAAAAACAAAAUCGAACACUGCAGACAGCAAUCGCUAAAUUUUUGUCUCUAAGAUGGAAAAUGCGAAGGGGUACACUGUAGAAAUCAAUCCACAAAACCUCAUGCACUAAACCAAACAACGAAAGGCAAAAUACUGCCAACAGAUCAAAGUUUACAGCCAAAUAAAUAAGAGAAAGGAAAGAAAAACACACACAAUUUCAAAGAUCAACCACUGGAACAAUGCAAAGUACUCAAACGAUUGUUCCUUUCCACUAAUGCUCCGUUCGGUUGCCAAGAAAACCAGAUGAAAAUGAAAAGAAGAGAAAAAACUAAAGCGUCCAUGAUUAUAGAAAUAAAAAAGAACGCUGCUCCAAAUUCCACAUUUCUUUUCAAUUCCCAACACUCAUCCAAACCCAUACACCAAAAUCCAACGAUCAACAACAGUACUGACAACAAGGUAAACACCAAAAAUCAAAGCAACCCAAAGAAAAAGAAAAAAGAAAGAAAAACUUACUGGGCUAGAAAAUGGAGAUUGAAAGGGAGCGGAGAACAAUAGAGAAGAAUUUAAGUUAAUGAAUUUAGGGAGAGAAAAAGACAAAAAAGGAGAGCUGUCAACAGUUCGGUAGAGGGGUCUUUUCAAUUCCCAACACUCAUCCAAACCCAUACACCAAAAUCCAACGAUCAACAACAGUCCUGACAACAAGGAAAACACUCAAAAUCAAAGCAACCCAAAGAAAAAGAAAAAGAAAGAAAAACUUACUGGGCUGGAAAAUGGAGAUUGAAAGGGGGCAGAGAACAACAGUGAAGAAUUUAAGUUGAUGGAUUGAGGGAGAGAAAGAGAGAGAAAAAGAAAGCAGUUAACAGUUUGGUGGAACGGUAUGAUAAUUGUGAGUGAGUGAGUGAAGAAGAAGAUGAAGUGCAAGUCAAGUAUCAUGGGUAUAGAGAAGGCGUUGGUUCGCUUGUUUGUUUGUGUGUGGCCUUGUGGGCGGUUGUACCUGCUGGACUGUCCGUUCUCUUUUGAAAUUUUUUCCUCUCUACCAAUAGUAGUAUGCUUUCCCAGCACUCCUUCAUUUCUGGUUUGAAUUUCUUUCCCAUUUUCGGAACUUUUGGUACCCACAUUUUCAAAAUUCCUUUCCCCAUCAUAAAACGGUCGUUUUCUUUUUCAAUACACAUGCUUUUUGUAAUGCAUCUCAACAAAUACUUAGGAGAAAGGUCACCCAACGCAUUUUUCAACGUUUCAAAAUUUGAAUCUCUCGUCUUCACUGUUACUAAUCCUUUAUGAUUUAACGUUUGAGCUCGAACGCUCCCUCUGAAUUGUAUAUAGCAUGGUUUAAUGAUUUUGGACUUUGGUUGACGAUCAUUUUUGAAAAUAGUUUCAAACCCAUUUCUUAAAUACCUUUUUAGACAUUAAAAGUAAAUGAUUAUUCACCUUACUUUCCAAAGAAAUUGAAUAAUUUCUUCAAAAUCUUAUAAAAUCCAUUCCUCCUUUUUACUUUGAUAGAUCACUUCAUCCGGGUUCAAAAGAAGAAAUAAAUUUAUUUCCUUCAAAACAUUUUUCAUAACCCAACCAAACCCUAUAAUAAGAAUGUUGAUCCAAUCCAUUUGAUAGUGUUUUUGCUCGAAGUGUUUUUAAUAAAAAUAUUUUCUCUAAAUGUGUUUUUAGAAGAAUAGUCUAUGAAGUGUUUUUACUAAAAUUUACCAAACACCUAAGUUGUGUUUGAAAACUGUUUUUUAGAAUGGUUUUCUGUUCUUUAGAACAAAAAACAUAAAAAACACAUUUGACAACUAAAAACCAUUUUCUGUUUUCUAUUCUUAAAAAACAAAAAAUAAGAUUUUCAUCAGAAAAACACAUUUGACUACCAAAAAACCAUUUUCAAGAUUUUCAUAAAAUAUCUUUUAAUUGUUUUAUAUUAUGUUAACUUGUUUUCUUAAGAUUGUUUUAAGAAAUAAUUAUAUAAACAUAUAGAAUAAUUAAAAAUAAAAUACUAGAUUUAAAUUUAUUUUUAAAAAUAUUUAAAACAAAUUAAAAAUAUUUUAAAUUUUCAAAUAUACUUUUGUUUUACAAAAAUUAGAAAACACUUUUAAAAAACUAUUUUUUAGAAUUAUUUUUUAAAAUAAUUAUCAAAUAAACUCCUAAUUUUUUUCAAAAAUAUUUUUUAAAUUAAAAACACUUUUUAAAAUUACUAUCAAAUGAAUUUUUAGUUCAAUUUUAUAAUAAAAUUUGCAAUAACUUGGACUCUAAUCAAACAAAAUAUUAUUCAAAGUAGCUUUUUUUUUGUUAUUUCUUUUUUCUAAAAUUAGUUUGAAUUAGAAAUACAAUUUAUAGAAAUUAGAUACCACAAUUUUAAAUUGUAAUUUCUAAAUAUGGAAUAAAAUUGUAAUUUCAAAACAUGAUCUCUAAAUUUAUAUUAAAAUUAGCAUUUUUAAAAUAAAGUUUGAAACAGGAGAUUCCAAAUAUAUGUUUGACAAAAUUACCUAAUAGGGUAGGCUAGAUGGAAUAAUUACUAGGAAGGUUCACUCAUGUCAAGGAUUUUUAGCGGACAAUUUUAUCCUUUAAUAUGUUUUCUAUAUUAUUUAUAAAUAAAUUUGAGAUUGUCAAUUAUAUGGGUUCAUACAUGAUGAUAAGUACAUGUAAUUAAUAGUACAUUUAUCGGACCCAAAAAAAUUGUUAUUCACUUUUGAAUAAUCAAGUGACUGUUUAAAAAUUUUGCAAUUUUUUUUUUUCAAAAAAAUUGAGAUUUUUUAAAGAACCUUGUAAAAAAAAGUAAUUUUCAAGAUCUCAUAAAUAAAAACCAUAUAGUAAGAUUUAUUAUAUCGUUUUAUAUAUGAAAUAUAUAAUUAAAAACUUUGUUACUAUAAUAGAAUGAAUAAUUAUUUUUUACGAGUACUCAUCAAUUGAAUAAUAAAUAAAUAUACAAUUGACUAACACACAAUUAUUAAAUGGAAUAAUUCACAAUUAUUCAUUGGGUAAUAUAACACAUGAAAAAAUUAAAUAAAAAUAAAUUAAAUUAUGUUGUAAUAUAUUGUAAUGAUAGUGUAUUUGUAUUGUAAGUAUAAUACAUUUAUGUCGUACCUAUAUUUCAUUACAAAAGUAAUAAUUCUAAAAAUUCUUAUUGGUAUUAACACAUUGUAUCAAUAUAUUAACAACAUUCAUCUAGUACAUUGAAAUUAUUUAAUAAUUUUUGUACAUAUAUAUAUAAACUACGAGUCUCGUGAAUUCAAAUUUGUAUUUCAUUGGGUUUCAUAAAUUAUUUAUGAUAUAAGCAUGUUGUGAAAUAUGAUAUGAUCAUACAAAAUUAUCAUUUUUAUAAAAAAAAUUUCAAAAAUUUCCUAAUUAGGUUUUAUUGUAAUGUAAGUGUAUUUAUAUUGUAAUUGUAACAUAUUUUUGUUGUACCUGUAUUUUAUAAUAAAAGAAAUAAUCUUGAAGAUCACUUUUUAUACCUCGUUAAUAUUCAACAUAUCAAAUGUAUUAACAUCAUCCACUCGAUGCAUUGAGAAAACAAAUUAUAUACGAAAAUUAAGAAAAAAAACACUAUACAAAAAAAAAAAAAAGCAUAUAAAUUUUUAAAAAUUAUUUUAUUUUAAAAAAUAAAAAAUGAUUAAAUAUUCUCCAUCAUUUUCUUAUUUUUUUUAGAUAAUCUGAAUGAAAAAUUAAAUAUUUUAUCUUCCUUAAAUUUAAUACAAAAACAUAAUUUAUCAAUUUAAAAUAUAUAUAUAUAUAUAUAUAUAUAUAUAUGUGUGUGUGUGUGAAAAAAUCAUUAUUUUUAUUGUAUAAUUAUAAAACUUAUUUUUUUCUUAAUAAAAUUAAAAAAUAAAUAAAAAAUAAAAAAUGUUAAAAAAGAACAAUAAAUGAUAUUUUGAAAAAAAAAUUUAAGUAUUUUUGUUUUAAAUAGUAAAUUUAAAUAAUAAAUUAUAUAUAAUUGUAAGGGUUAAACCCAAAAUUUUGAUUUAAAAUUUUAAAUAUUAAUAAUUACAAUAAAUGUGGGUCACGCACCAUGAAUUUCUUGAUAAAUUAAAUAAAGUAUUUUAAAUGCUUUAAAUUUUAAAAAUAUUAGUUGAAGGACCAUUUUGAUAUUUAACCCUAUUAAAGUCCUCCACGAAUUAUUAAAAGAGACCUUUCCAGUAGGCAAUUCUCCCUGUAUGUUUUAAUGGCCGGGCCAAAAGGACACGCCACACACAGUAGCAUGAGCCCUUAGUCCACUUUCAAGGAGGAGAAGCAUAAAUGAACAACCAGAAACGUCCCAUGCCAUGGAUAAACCCAAAUAGAGAGGAAAGCUCAUUUGUCACGGCUCCAUUUGGCCUUGGGAAAUAAAUUAUUGUACUUGCCUCAAUUUAUUUCAUUGGAAAUGCUUCCUAAAAUAUAUUGAUAACCAGUUUUUAGAAUUAUUUUUUGUUUUCAAAAUAAAAAAAAUCAAGAAAACGUGUUUCACGAUUAAAAAUUAUUUUAUUUUUUUUAUUUUUUAAAAUAAAAAAUAAGAUAUUUUCAGAAAACACAUUUUAGUUAUUUUAUAUUGUUUUUAUUUAUUUUAUUAUUUUUAAAAAUAAUUAUAUAAAGAUAUACAGUAAUAAAAAAAUUAAACACUGAGUAUAAAAAUUAUUGUUAAAAUGUAAAAAAAUUUUAAACUGAUUUUUGUUUUAUAAAAUAUUAAAAAAUUAUUUUCAAAAAUUGAUUUUUAGAAUUGUUUUAAAAAACAAUUAGGAAACAAGUCCUAUGUUUUGGAGUAUUUUUAUUUGACAUACUUUUAAUAAAAAUAUAUUUUUUAAAAGUGUAUUUGAAAGAACCCGAGUUUUUAAAAAAACAGAAUUAUACUAUAAAUACUUUCUAAAAGUAGAAUCACACUGACUCUAGGUUAAUCAUAAUGUUUCUAACCUCUUAAUACUGGGAUUUAAUUUGGGGCCUUCCCUCCAACGUAAUGGGUGGAUUUGAGUAAUUAUUUUUUUGCAUUCAAAUUGAAUUUGGAUUAAUUUUCUCAAAUGAAAAUCAGUUCUAGAGAGAAGUCUGAAUAAUUAGAAAUAUAAUCCAAGAUUUUUAUACAUAUUUAUAAUUUAUAUAAUUGUCAUUAUAUAAUAUUCAUUUUAUAUGUUUUUCAAAUAAUAUUAAAAUGAAAGUGUCAAGUUUAAUUUUCUCACGUAAUAUUUCAUUUUACUAAAUAUAUUGAUAAAAUUUAUUUAUUUUUUAUUAUUAUCUCAAAAAAAUCAGAUUUGUUGGGUUGGGAUUGAAAACAUCCAAUAAAAUUGAGGAUUUCUUAAUUUAGAAUUAACAAAAUUUGUUGUAAAGUAAUGAAACCAUAUGAAUUAUGACUCUGUACCAAAUUUGGCCUACUUUUCGUAAUACACCGUGACACUUUUUUUAUUUGAAAAGUAACCUGUUUUUACAUAAAUAUCAUUUAUCAUUUCAAGUAUUUAUACAUAAGUUUUCAAAGAAAAUAUUAUUUUUAAAAGAAUAUAGCGAGGGAAUUUUUGAGAGUUAGUGUAAAAAAUGUCACUGUGUAGUGUGAAAACUGAAAAGUAAGUCGAUUCAUAAUUUGUAUAUUAUUUCAUCAAUUUUAACCAAAUAAUUCUUAUAAGUUUAUUUGAUUAAAAGGGUCAAUGAAAACUCAAUUUUUGAAAUUUAAUUGUAUGUUUAUUUUUUUAUCUCAUUUUGAAAAAAAUGGCCUCAUUAUUUUUUUUUAAAUAACAUUUUCUUACAUGUAAAUACUUGAAAUGGUAAAGGGUAUUUAGGUUAAAAAUUAGUUACUUUUCAAAUAAAAGUAUGAGAAAUAUUAUAUUCACGAUUCGUUACAUUUGUUACAAAGAGUUAAUAACUUUGGGUGCAAAUUAGAAGACCAUUAUAAUUUUAUCAAUACAAAGAGCUACAUUUUUAUUCCAUCAUCAAUUAAUUUACGAGAGCUUAUUAUUCUAUUAUCCUAUCAUAUGCAUAAUAUAAUCUCUUAAAACAGUUAUGAAGUGAAUGAAAAUUCAUUCACAUUGUGUCAUAAAUAAUUGAAUUGUGUCAAGAAAAAGAAUGAAACUUCUUGUUUGAGAUAAAAUUUUAAGUUUGCUUCAUUUUCAAAUUCUUACACUUGCAAGGAACUUUUUUUUUGCUCACUUCAUCAUGACAUGUCUAUGUGUAUGAUUUGGUCUUUUUUAAAAUCAAAUGUAAUAAAAAAAAAAAGUAAAUUAAAAUGAGUGAACUAAUUACCUUGUGUGUUCAAGAAAAGCAAAGGCUUAAAGCAAAAAAAUCUUGAUAUAACGUAUCUUAUCAUUAUAGGUCUAAGUAAAAAAUCUUUCAAGAAAUGUAUGGGUAAGAAAAAAAAAAAAAGACAAGGUAACAAUACAUUUCACAACGAGAAAGAAGUUAACAGUAUAAUAUGAUGUCACUUUUGUCUUGAGAAAUGGUCUAAAAGAAAAAAUGGUUUUGGUUUGAAAUCUUAGUUGGAAAAGACUACAUAAGGGAGAGCAAAAUCAUUACCUUAAGAUGGAUUAGAAGUAGACAUUAAGACUAUGAACAUUCUAUGUUUAAUUUCAGGUAUUAGUUUCACUAUGGAUUUAUUGAACACUAUCAAUGUUCCUAUUUUUACUAAAAACCUAACUUCAGUUCCAAGACUUGAUUCAUAUGAUUUUGAGUUAAAGUUUGGAAAUGGUGAAGUUUUUCGAUUCUAAAAUUUUCAUUUGGUUUGUUUUGAAAUUAUAUAAGGGAAUCUUUAUUCAUCAAAUUUAUACUGUAUACAAUCUCUUUUAUCCUAUAUAUAUAAUCUCUAAAAAAAAUUAUGAAGUGAAUGAAAUUUAAUCCAUAUUAUGUCAUAAACAAUUGAAUCGUGUAUCAAGAGAAACAAUGAAACAUCUUAUUAAAGGCAAAAUUUUAAGUUCACUUUAGUUGCAUUGAGUAUAUCAAACAAACAUAUGUUAAGAAACGGUUUAUUGUUCAAUUCAUCACAAAUAAAGAAAAAGAUGAAUGAUAUGAUACUUCAAUUGAAAGAAAUGAACAUGAUAAUCUCUAAAGGUUUUUUUGUUCACUUCAUCAUGACAUAUCUUCGUAUACAAUUUGACCUUUCUAAAAUAGAUUAUAAUACAAAAAGAAAAUGAUGAAUGAAAAAUAAGUAAAUUAAUUACCUUGUGUGUUCAAGAAAAAGAGAGGCUUAAAGCAAAAAAGUUGAUAUGACUUAUUUCACCAUUAUAGGUCUAAGUAAAAAAUCUUUCAAGAAAGAUAUGGGUAAGAAAAGAAACAAGAUAAGAGUAUGAUACAAUAUCACUUUUGCAUUGAGAAAGAGCAUAAAAGAAAAGAUGGCUUAGGUUUUAAGCCGUUAAAAAAGACUAAGUAAGGGAGAGCAAACCAUUACCUUAGGAAAAUGGAAUAGAAGUAGACAUUGAAGCUAUUGACACCCUUUGUUCAAUUUAUUAUAUUAGUCUUAUUAUGUGUUCAGUUUAGUUUCAAGACUAGAUUCAUAUGAUUUUGAUAAAAUUUUAAGUUCACUUAAUUUUUUUUAUUUUAACACUUCCAUUGAAUAUUUUAAAUAAAAAUACACUAAGAGAGGCUUUCUUGUUCACUUUUAUCAUAAAUAAAGAAAAAGAUAAGUGAUAUGACAUUGCAAUUGAAAUGAAUGAAUAAGACAUCUCUAAAGGUUUUCUUGUUUACUUCAUCAUCACAUAUCUUCAUGUAGAAAUUGGUCUUUCUAAAAUUAAUUAUAAUAAACAAAAGGAUAAAUGGAAAAUGAGUGAUCUAAUUACCAUAUGUGUUCAAGAAAAUGAGAGGCUUAAGAAACUUAAUAUGACUCAUCUCACCAUUAAUGGUCUAAGUAAAAAAUCUUUUAAGAAAGGUAUGGGUAAGAAAAAAGAAACAUGAUAAGAGUAUGAGACAAUGUUAUGUUUAUCUUGAAAAGGCAUAAAAGAAGAGUUAGUUUAGGUUUUAAGUCUUUGUUGGAAAAAACUAAGUAAGAGAGCAAAUGACUAUUUAAGGAAAAUAGAACUGAAGUAGACCUAAUUUCAGUUCCAAGACCUAAUUCAUACGUUUUUUAGUUAAAAUUUUGAAAUAGAGAAGUUCCACAAUUCUAAAAUUUUCAUUUAAUUUGGUUUGACAUUUUAUGUGUGAAUUUUAUUCAUUGAAUUUAGACCUUUAUGUACAAUCUCAUCCUAUCAUGUGCAUAUUAUAAUCUUUAAGAAAAGAGGUCAAGUUAACGAACAUUCAUCCAUUUUGUGUCAUAAACAAUUGAAUCAUGUAUCAAGAGAAAUGAUGAAACAUCUUAUGAAAGAAAAAGUGUUAAGUUCACUUCAUUUUUUUAUUUUAACACUUGCUUUGAAUAUAUAAAUAAAGAUACACUAAGAGAGGGUUUCUUAUUCACUUCAUCAUGAAUAAAGAAUAAGAUAAGUGACACGAAAGUUCAAUUAAAAGGAAUGAAUAUGAAAAUCUCUAAAGUUUUCUUGUUUAUUUUUUUAUGACAUAUCUUUGUGUACAAUUUGGUAUUUCCACUAAGUGAGGGUUUCUUAUUCAUUUUAUAACGAAUAAAGAAAAAGAUAAGUGAUAUGACAAUUCAAUUAAAAGAAAUGAACAUCACAAUCUUUAAAAGUUUUCUUCUUCACUUCAUCAUGACAUAUCUUCGUGUACAAUUUGGUCUUUCUAAAAUUAAUUGCAAUAAACAAAAUAAAAAAUGAAAAAUCUAAUCACCAUGUAUGUUCAAGAAGAUGAAAGGCUUAAGCACAAAACUUGAUAUGACUCAUCUUAUCAUUAUAAGUCUAAGGAAAGAAUUUUCUAAAGGUAUGAGUAAGAAAAAGAAACAAGAUAACGAUGCAUCUUAUAAUAACAAAAGAAAUAAGAGUAUGAUGCGAUGUCACAUUUGUCUUGAGAAAAGACACAAAAAAGGGUUUUGGUUUUAAGUCUUAGUUGAAAAAAAAAAAAAAACAAGGGGAAGCAAACCAUUAAGGUUGUUGACACUGUAUAUUUAAUUUUGAAUUUUAGUUUUAUUAUAGAUUUAGUGGACAUCAUUUAUUUUACUAUUUUUAUUAUAAACUUAAUUUCAAUUCCUAGACUUGACUCAUACAAUUUUGUGUUAAAGUUUGGAAAUAAAGAGGUUUCUCGAUUUUAAAAUUUUCAUUUGAUCUAUUUUGACAUUUUAUAUGGGAAUCUUUAUUCAUCGAAUUUAGACUACCGUUAUAUACAAUCUCUUUUAUCCUAUCAUGUUUAAUUCAUCGAAGAUUCAUUUAAUGAGGUCAAAAUCCAAGGUCCAAGAAUAUAUGAUUAAGAAAUUUGUCUUAAAGUUAUAUUUCGUUGAUUUGACAAUGAGGCCAUUGAAAAUUCAAAUCAUAAAAAUAUAUAAUGUUGUUGUUUGUUUCUUUGGAAAUAAAAAGCUACAAAAGGAUCAAAACACACUAACGAUAAGUAUUUGACCAUAAGGGAAAAAGUUCAAAAUGAAGUCAUCUUUCUUAAAAACAUGUUAAUACUAUACUCAUGUUGGAAAAUUUUCAAUUAAAUAACUUUCACUUAAGAUCUUUAGAAAUUGUGUUGCAUGCAUCUGACUUAGUGGAAAACAUAUCUUAUAUGGAUUGAUGAAAGAGAAAUGUUAUAUCAACGCAUUGUAAAUAAAAUUAAUAAUAAGGAUUUUGUCACUUUUAUACAUAAUAUUGCUAAUAUCAUCCAAUUCACACCCAUGAAAGUACUAAUACUGUAAUAUUUGAAGAAAGUUUAAUAUCUUUUUGGUAACUGUUUUUUAAAAUGAUUUUUUCUUUCUCCAAAACAGAAAAAUAGAAAAAUAUAUUUAGCAAUUAGAAAAUAGUUUUUCAUUCUUAAAACACAGGAAAUAAGGUAUUUCAGAUAACAUCUUUUAAUUAUUUUCAAUUGUUUUCACUUAUUUUUUUCGGGUUGUUUUAAAAAAUAAUUAUACAAAUAUAGAGAAUGAUUAAAAAUAAAGCACCACAUAUAAAUAUUAUUUUUGAAACAUAAUUAAAAACAUAGAAAAUAAGUUAAAAUUAUUUUAGGUUACUAUACAGACAUUUUUUUUUACAAAAAUAGUUUUUAGGAACUAUUCUCAAAAGUUGUUUUUCAAAACCGUUUUUCAAAAAAAUUAUCAAACUGAGCCUUAUACAUUGAGUGAUUCAAUGAUUCCAAUGAUUUAGUAUCAAUGGUUUCGGGGGAGAUUUUUCAUUAGGAUAGUUUUGUAUCUCAUAUCAUGUUUAUUAUCUAAUACAAAUAAACACGUGGCCAAGUGGGAAAUUAGUGAUUUUUCCUAUGAUAUGUGGUUUGAGGUCUAUGAAUAAUUAUUUUAAUUAAAUAUUUUAUUCUUCGAAUAUUUUAAGUGCAAAUUAGAAAAUAAUUACCCUUAUUAUGAACACAAAGAGUUACAAUUAUUAGGAAGAGCUAGUAUUUUUUGUGUAAAUUAGAAUAUCACCACAUUUUUAUGAGUAUAAAAAUUACAUUUUUAUUCUCAAUCAACUUACAAAUGAGAGUUUAUUAUAAUAAUUUUGUUAUAUUGAUUAAUAAAAAUCAUGUCAUAAUUGUAAAUAAUGUGAAAAUGAAGGUAAGAUCGUAACAUAUAUAUUAAUGAUCUUUGAUGAAAAGUUCAAAAAAUUAAUUAUGUUUAUAUAAAGUCAAAACCCCAAGUCACGUUUUUACUUUUAGUUGUUGAUGAACUUUCGUGACAUCUUAUACCACACUUCUCACUCGUCAAUAAUAGUGAGAGUGAUGAUUUGAAAAUCUCGAAUUAUAUCAUAAGAAAAUUAAUUCCAGUCAUAGUAUAUAUCGAUAAAAUGAUUUCAUACUAUUUAUCAAGAUAAUAUUUACUUUAAUUAUGAUUUUAUACAUCAAAGUCUAUGGUUACACAUCAUGUUGCAUCUAACAUGUUGGCAUUUGUUGUUGGAUUCAAGCCACCAAUUCAUUUUAAUUGUUGACAUAUUAAAUAAGAAAGAUGAGCCAAUUGGUUACGGCAAAGUUAGUUGGGAAUUGAAAGAACUGUCCCAUGGAGGACCAACCUAUUUUCUAGUUAACCUACCUCCACUUUCCUAUUCAAUGAAUUUCAUGCCUAUCAAAUAUGGAAGAAAGAAAAAUAAUAUAAAUAGCUUAUUCAUUUUCGUAACUUUAAUCUCUUUAUAUUGGGUAAUAGAAGGCAUAGGAAUGUUGAAUAUAUUUUCAUUGAAAAUAAGAAUAAAUUUGAUAUUUUUAAGAAUUUAAUUGAAUAAAUUUGUUUUUUAAUUUAACAGUGAAUAAAAUUCUCAAAAUUCUCUUAUAUAUUCUUGUUAGAACUUUGGGUUAAAUUGAUUCUUUCAACCAAUAAAAUAUAUGAUAUUGGUACUUCUUAAAAUAAUCAAUUUUUGCCCCAAAAAAAAAAUCAUAGAUUCAUAAAUUUGUACUAAAAUCAUAAUUUUUAGUACAAAUUAUUUGUAUUUUUAAUUUUGUAAAAUCAUAUUUUUCAAAUGCAUUUCAAACUAGGGUUUUAAAAAAAUUACAAGAUCAUUACGUGACAAAAAAGAAAAAUUAAUUCGAAAUAUUCUGAACGAUGAUAGCAAACAGACCCCAAGCCUAUAUUUUCCUCUCCAUUGGAUUUCCAAUCCGUUUUCCUCUUCGACCAAACGCAUGAUUCAUGAAAGGCCUCUGUAUCUGUAAAAGAAGCGUGAAAAAUGAAAAAACAGCAAACAACGUCCAUUUCCGUCCUCAAAACUUGUGUCCAAACAAAGGAGGGGCAAUUAGGACAUUUAAAGUUAGGCGAUACGCCCGAAACCAAACACCCAGAAGUUUCGAUACAAACAAUGCAAACAAGCAUAAGCACCUAUAAAAUGUCGUUAUAUUUAGAACACCACCUCUCACACUCUUCGUGCUCUCCGUCUCUCACAUCUUAUUCAUCUCUCUCUCAAUCUCUCGCCUCUUAGAUCUCUCCCCCCCUCAAUGGCUUCCGCCUCAGGAGUUUCCAUGUCCUUGAGCUCCAUCACUUGCUCCUUCAAGAAAAAUCAGGUAACAACACCUUGAUCAUCCAUUUUUCUAGGUUUCAAUCGCCAUUUUAAUGGUUGAUUUGGUUGUUCGUGAUAUGAUCUCAAUGUCUAUGAAAUGGUUUCUCUGUUUGAUUUUGAUGAUCGAUUUUUUGAUGAUCAUGUGUUUUUUGUGUAUUCGUUUUUCAUCUGUGUGUAAAAAUCCUCUCAUUUUCUCUGCUCUCGUGGCUCGUUAGAAUCAAGGGAAGUAAUCUGGAACCGGUGGGACUAAUUUUCAGAUGGCAGUUUUGUGGAAAUUGGUUUUAGCCGUCGUUACUUUUAAAGAUUUUUUAACUGCUGGAUUCAAAUCAGAUGGUUAAAGUUAUUCACGAAUAUAUGCUUGUUUAGAAUAGUUUUUUAAGUCGGUCUGAUCUAUAUCAUAGUAUCGAAGAGUUGCAUUGGCUCCCAAUGCGAAUGAGACCUAUAAAGAAAUUGUUUGAUAGAAAGGUAAAGGCGGCAAAGUAGAUGCUAAAAGAACCAAGAUCCAAUUCCAGGUGUAUUAAAAAGUGCUUGAGGACCCAAACAGCUUCUUCAGGCUACCCUAGUGCACAUUUUAUGGCUAAGAUGUAAUUUUGUGCAAAAUUAAGGGCAUUUUCUGAUUGUGUCCAUCUUGAGGAAGCGUUUUGAUUUUGGAAACUAUUCGCUCAUUUAAAAAUUUGAGUGAUGCCAUACACUCCAAAGAGGCCUUUUAUUUUGCUACCUCAAACCUAAAUAAGGAACAAAUGCCUUUGAUUUUGCACAAAUUUACAUGGUAUGUCACUCAAUUUGUUGUAGAAGUUAACUGAAGGGCUUUUGCAAAGCACAAAUCAUUUUCCCAAAAAAUUUAGAGAAUCUAAAAGUAUAUACAAAUUAAUUUCAAAGCAAAGUCCAAGCAUGCAUUGAUGCAUCCGCAAUGGCCUAACCAACUUAAUGGUACAAGUGUACAACUAUUUAGUCAAGAAAGGUUGUUUCUUUUCAUGGAAUUGUUUUGCAUGAAUGAAUGAUACUCUUUGUACUAUUGCAUUGUUGGUUUGGAGCUGUAUAAAUAUGUAUUUUACUUUAUCAUACUGCUAAUUGAACAGUAACUUGGCAAGGCAUGUGACUUAACAUUAUAAGCUGCAAUUUAUGAUGAAUAUUUUGUGCCUUUUCUUGCUUAAGGGGAAAAUGUUUUACUUGCCUCAUUUAGAAUUUUUUUUUUUUCCUCCCUUCUCUUAUUCAGUUAUUCUGGUUGAAUGUCUAAGCAGGUUCCCAUCUCCAGUCUCAAAUCAGUUUCUAUGCCAAUCAAAGGGAAAAGCUUCCAAUCUCUAAGGCUGCGGACAGGCCCCUCCCGCCUUCGUGUUUCCUGUGCAGUAUGUUCCUUUAAGACUGAUAUCAUACUCCUCUGUUGUGUCAUCUGUAUGAUUGACAUGAAUUGUUUUCUUCUUUCAAUGCUUCAAUUAAUUUAAAAUCUCAAACUUUUGGUUAUACAUUAAUCUGUUAAUAUAGAAACCUGGCUGCUGCAAAACAACCAAGGAAUUUCAUACCAGUUUCUGCAUUUGGCAUUUAGCAUGGUAGCAUAUGAUUCCAUGCGUUUGGUUCAUCAAGCGCAGUUGAUAUUCCUAUUCUUUUUAUAGUUUUCAUAUACAUAUUGAUUUCACUUUAUCAUAGAGGAAAUGCAGUGCUGAGCUGUGAUUUACACACCUGAUUAGAUAGUCGAAAUAAAGAAAAUCUGAUGAGUUGCUUUUGCAUGGAUAGAAGCAUCAAUUUAGGGCUUGUAAAAUCUAAAUGGUGUCGCUUCAUGUAAUAGAGCUACAGGAAAAUUGUAAUAUAGAGAUACUACAUUAACCAUCUCUUAUCACCAUAUAAUGUUAGAGAUUGUCAGAGAUUCUACAUUAUACAUUGUCAAACCUGCCACACAUUUGAUAAUUUAACCAGCAUAGAUAUUCCAAUGCUGAGCAGGCCAAACCGGAGACAGUGAAUAAGGUGUGUGACAUUGUGAGGAAACAGCUUGCACUGCCAGCUGACUCUGAGGUCACUGGAGAGUCAAAGUUUGCAACACUUGGAGCUGAUUCUCUGGAUACUGUAAGUAAUAUCCAUCCUUCGAACAUUUCUCCUUGUUUCCGUUCACUUCAUAUCUUAUUUUAGUUCAUUGCACACCUAUCUGUUGUUAUCACCACCAUCAUCAUCAUCAUCAUUUAUUUUCUUCAAAUUGUACUUCCCUUUUUUGGUUAGAGUCAUGAUGUGCAGAUCCAAGUUAAAGAAAACUUGUGAAGGCACUUGAGAUUUCUAAGAUAAACCAGAUUUCGGUUCAUUCUGCUCCAGAAAAUUAACUGAGACAUAAUCUUCAUUGUCUGGCAGCAUAUGCUUCCUUUCUCCCAAAGAAAGAAAGAAAGAAAGAAAUCCAGCAGCCAUCUGACUCUUUGACCAUGUUUGCUUGAUCAAUGUAACUAAGAGAGAUUUUCCUUUCUAUCCAUAUAGGUUGAGAUUGUGAUGGGCCUUGAAGAGGAAUUUGGGAUCAGUGUUGAAGAAGAAAGUGCCCAGGGUAUUGCCACUGUCCAAGAUGCUGCAGAUCUCAUCGAACAGCUCAUCUCAAAUAAGUGAGAUAAAAUAUGGCGGCAAAACGCCCUACAGUGUCUCAUUUGUAGGUUCCUUGUUUGGCCCAAAAUCUUUUGAAAUUUUUUUUUCCUACUCCCCUGUUGCUCACAGGGCACCUAGCCCCCUUGUGAUGUUUGUCUGUUAGUUUAUUUCUAUUUUUCUUUGUUUCUUUUAUAUUGACUCAUGUGUCACUUUUGUUGGUUAGGCUUGUCAUCAAAGUUAAUCUAGUUUAAGUUAUGUUCGUAUGCCUCUUUGCUCUGUUUGUUUUAUUAUAUAUAUAUUCCAUAAUAAAUGAGCGCCCAUCCAUAUAGACCGUUUGAAAAUAUUAGUGGGAGAAAUACUAGAUUUGAACAGGCCUGGAUUCCGAUUGAAGACGUUGUUGGGCUGGAUCUGGUUUUGUUAAAACAUUGUUGAUACAAAAAUUUGUGUUUUGUUUUUUUCCUCUCUUUUUCUGGCCGGUGAAGGGGUGGUGAACUAGCCUCUGCAGCCGGUUGGUUUGGGUUUUGAUUUUGAGGUGAUGCCAAAGGACCAAGGCUGUUCUUGGUCUUUUAUACUUGUGUAUCCCUGGACAACGGCCAGAAAAGCCUGGGAACUUGGUAGGUAUCCCUUCAACCAUUAAAGCCGGCAUCGCUGUUGAUGACUCUGAAAUUGCUGAUCCACAAAUCGAAACCCACUCAUCAAUACCAAAAAGUGCAUCAAAAUCUGUGUUUUCCCGCCCAUAUACACCUUCAAAUAAAAAUGGGAGGCUUUCCAACCCAUAUACACCAAUAAACAACGAAAAGGAACUAGAAUUUCAUGUAUUUCCGAGGAUAGGAUAAUAUCCUCUCAAGUCAAAAGUAAUAUAAAUUCAUAGUAAUAUGAAAAAAUGAGUUUCAUUCCAGUUAUACUUUUAAAUCAACACAUGAAAACACACUUCUGAAAUAAAAAAAACCUUCGGAGAAAUAUGCCAGGAUAGCCUAUAAUUCACCUUGUUAAAAUUGAAGCUGUUGUUUCUCCUUAGAACUCUUUUGUACUAAGAGUAGUGUCUGUUCUAAAUAAUGUUUAUCAUUAGUGGCCCCUCCCCUCAGCUUGUCGUAGUGCUAUGCGGAAGAAGCCUCUCUUUUUAUUACCUUCGGCUGGAGCGCAUUAUAGGAACAUGCUGCAUUGUGGACUUUUACAAUUUUUUUCUUUGGGCCUACACAAAUUACCCUUUCAAGGGAUGCAUCAUCACGGCACUCAAAUAAGAUAGCCAGUAGCGACCAUAACUGGUAGGGUAAUGGGUAUUCAAGAGAUGGCUGUACCCUAUAUAUAGAUAAAGCCCCCCUUUACCAAAAAUUGCUUUAUCUAAUCGCCAAGUCCAAUAGAGCAUAUGAGCCAACCCACAAUCACAUGCAUACAAGAAACAAAAAAGGUGGAAAAGGAGAGAGAUAAGGACAAGAUUGGUGAGACAUUUUUACCACAAGUAUCGCAUUCUUAAUGCUUGUAAAUUUGGCUAUAGGCCUAUAGCACAAAGUAGUCUCUCUUUUCUACUUUAUAUCAAAUAUUAACUCACACUUGAAGGGUACUUCAAUACUAAAAACACUAAAACGUUGAAAUUUUAACUUCCAAAUCACCAAUAAUCUCCUCACAAGAUUUGUAUGUGGUGGGAGUGUCUUAAAUAAUUCAAUGCUCACAAGAGAUGGAGAUUUACUAAGUUAACUUUAGACAAGAAUAUGUGACUGAUUUUCAACGACUUAACACCUAGUAUUCACGGAUGCGCGUAACAUGCACCUGGGACGGAAUCUUUUUUUCCCCAAAAUGGAGGCACAGAUCCACGCGCUGCCCAUAACAAUUGCAACUUGCAAUUAAUUAGCAAGAAAUACAGGGAAAUUUGCCAGUUUUUAAGGGUUGGUGUUCUGGAGAAACAUAUUGGUUUAUGUUCAUUUGAAAGACCCCAGUAUUCAUUCCCCCAUUUGUACAACCACGAAAAAGAAAAAGAAAAAAAGGAGGGGGGGGAAGCACCAUUACAUCUCCUGCACUCAAUUUCUCUACAAUAUAUAUAGAAGAAAAUACAACUGCCCACGCUUCACAAAAGGAAAAAAAACUAAAAAAAUCUAUAGAUUUAUUCUAUCGUCACAAUGCCACAGCUCAUUUGACAUACUAACUAUACUACAUAACCAUAUUUACCACGAACAAUGAAAAAUGAACAUGAACGAAGAUGGGAACCUGCAAAGAACAAUUGAAUCCUCCAGUAAGCAACACCACAACCCCAACAAAGCUACAGCAACCAAAAGGCCGGUAGACCCAGAAACACAACUAAAUAUAGAGAUUCCACUGCAUUGAGAGAACCUAGUGAGGUAGCUGGCAGAGAGGCAGAGGGAGAGAUUGCAAAAUCAGGGCCAAGUGCGACGACAUCAUCAGGAUUUGGUGGGCUUGGGUUGGAAGGAAUGGUGGGCAUGGAGGACCCAGUUGGAACAGGAAGCACACCACCAGGGGAAGGAAAAAGAGGAGAAAUGUCUGGUGACAAUGGUGGGAGAGGAGAUAGAGCUGGAUUUAGCAAGACUGCUGGAGAUGUUGAGAUAGUAGAGGUCUGCAAAUGUAGUUGCUCAGGGGAUAAAGAUAGUAAAGGUGAGAGCAUGAAAGGCAUGAUGAGUACUAAGAGAAGCCAAAAGGAGGCCAUUCUAAUGAUAAUGAAAUCAAUCUCCACUUCUUGGAGACUGUAAUUAAUGUGAAGUCCCAAGAGAGAGGAAGGGGGUGCGGGUGACACUGUUUGUGGGCUUUUCUGGUGGAAAUUAUGAUUAAAAUUUGAAACCAUUAAAAGGUAUAAACACAGCUUCUAGGUGGGGUGUGGGUGCCAGGUGGCUGGAUAUGAGUGGAUUGUGAUGAGAAGAUACAGGUUGGCAUGUGUGAGAAAACAGACAAAGAUUGUUAGGCGUAUGUUUUGAUUUGAUGCGUUUGUUAGUAGGGGAUUCCUUUCUGCACGUGAUGCACUUAUUUCCCCUUUCUAAUAAAUGUCUGAGUUUAGCAUAUUUCCUAAGUUUUAAACUAAGCUUAUACUUAUAUCAUUGAGGUAUUAAAGUUUUGUUUAAUUGUGCAAGAGAAAUUAUUAGCAAAGGAAAAUGAACAAAUUCAAGGAAAGAGAAACAAAACAAAUUUCAGGCCAUUGACUUCUGCCUCAAUCUUUCUCCUUUUCCUAGGCAAAAAUGAUGAAAAUUGCAGACAUAUAUAAAUUUUCACUAAAUUUUGAUUACCUUUUCUUCCUACUUUGUAUAUCAUAAUUAUUAUUAAAAGAAUAAAAAAAAAAGGUUCUUUUUCUUAAUUCUAUUUAGAAUCAUUUUAUGCCAAAGAAAGGGGACUAACCAGUGUCCAUUGAAUGAAAAUUAAGGUACGGCCGGGGAAUGAGACACAAGGAAAAGAGGACGGAUGGCCCCCGACAAUCAAGCAUCCACUGGACAUAACUAGCUAAUUGUCAAAAAGUCAAUACCACCCUUUGUACAAGGGCUUCUUGAGCGACAAAUUGAGGGGGCAAAAAUGUCAAAAUGUUGAGGCAAACGGCAAAGCGGAGCGCUAGCUAGCGACAAAUGACACCCCGCAAAUCACGGGGUCCACCGAAAUGACGACCCAUCAAUCGACCACAAAGGAUGUUCCAGUCAAGUGAAAAUCAAAAAUCAAAUCUAAUUUGGAUACAGUUGUCAAAUGGGCCACAUACAAUUAUGAUAUAAGGAGACUUGAGGAAAAAAUUUUAGAUUGAGGCUAUUUAUGGCUACAGUUUUAUCACCCCCAGCACUCUGCGAAUCCUAUGGCCAGCAGCAAACUUCGUGACAUUGUCUCUGCUAUCGAUGGUUGGGCAUGUUUGUAGUUUCAAGCAAAAUCCUUUCUCGUAUUAUAGGAAGUCAAAGAUAUUCUGAAGUCCUUCCCUGAACGCUCAUUCCUGACCCCCUACCUAGAAAUACUAUAUUGAUAAUCAAACACAUCAAAUUUUGGAAGAGAGUUUUGGACGAUAAUGUAGUUGCAUCAAAAGGAACCUAACUUCCUCACAAGUGAAGGCAUUUCUAGGAUUGUUUACCAACUCUUUUAAGUGAACCUAAACGAGAAAAUGUAUUAACUCAGAGCCACGAGCAGAGAGGGUUAACCUCUUCCUGGGCAUCAUGGAAGGUAGAAGGCAGUGAUGGAGGAAAAACAUACUGAAAUGGCCGAACCCUCUCCAUGCCCAUCCACGCCAUAAGCCUAGGAUGGACGGUAAAUGACAAGGAAUCUUGCCAACAAUUGUAUUGAGUGGCGACAACAUCAACCAUUAUAUUUCACUCCCCGGCCUCAUCCAGUUCCUUGCGUUCUCACGGAUAUCUCUAAAAGGGUUAGAUAUAUUAGUCCAGGGUCUUUGUGCUUUCACUCUCAAAGUUUACAUGGGACAAAUUUGUGAUUUUGAAAGAUGUCACUUGUUCUAGGGUAGUCUUCACUCAGAUCUAGAUACAGAGGGCAUGUUGGAGAGUAAAUUCUGCCAAUUUGUGAUUUUGAAAGAUGUCACUUGCUCUAGUGUAAAUAAAGUUCAUAGAACUGCUCAUGGGCAUCUUGGCUUGACCCAAAAGCUCUUUCACCAACUGAGCAAAGGAACAAAUUCUGGCCGUGUCCCCCACUUCCAAACCCUAAUUUAAAUAAGGUUAAUUUCACUCAUCUUCCCUCAGGUUUUGGAUAAAUGUACGUGACCCCUUGUUGAUUUGAAAUUUCAUCAAAUGUUUCCCUUAUUUUGAGUAGGAGGGAGGUGAGUGAAAAUAACAAAUACUUCCCCUAUCCUUUUCAUUUAUUAUUUUCACUUACCUCCCCUCUCAAUCAAAAUGAAGUAAUUGAUGAAAUUUCAAAUCAAUGUAUUUAACCAAAAUCAAGAAGGUGAAUAAAAUUAACCCUUUAAAUAAUAUGUACAUUGAAGAAGGGAGGUUAUUGAAUUAAUAUGUAAAUCAAUGAAUGAAGGUAAAAUGUUGUAAAAACAAAAUAUUUAUUAUCUGCAAUAACGGAGCUGCAUUUAGUGACUUCUACGAUGUGGAAAUUAGUCUGUUGCUCAUACCACCAUACAUAAGAAAAAAUAAAUAAUAAAAAUUGCACAGGGGCUUUUAUAUAAAUGACAUUAAUUCUCAAGAAAAAAAUAUACUGAACUGAAUAUGUCAAUGAUGUUACAUACAUGGAUUAUACAACGACAGGCCAAUCAUAUCUGGACCAAAUUGUGAUAAUUGAGUUGGAAAAAGAAAAAAUAGAACUCACCUCAAUAUAAGGACUGUUGAACCCGUGUCUGGAAUGCAGAAAAAUGGUCUUUCAUGACUUUUUGAAACUCAAUUAACCUUCGAAGUCCCUGCAAAUAAAUGUAGAUCACAACUCAGAAAUUAUGGACCCUUUUGAAACAAAAGGCAAGGAACAACAAAACAAUAGGCAACCUCCAGGACUUCAAUUGCACCGGGGAAGCCGCUGCAACUCCUUGGCCACAAGCAAAGCAGCAUCAGCUACGCCUGGGAUGCUUGAGUUUUUAAGCUCAGAAACAAUGGUUUCAAGUCUUGAAAUCUCUGGGAUAGAUAUUGAUAAUAUCAUUGCAUGUGACAAAUAUUGCCUACAGGAGUACCCAAGAGCAUGCAGCAUCCGCAGCACCAGUAAGUGAGAGACAGCCCUUCGCCAGGACUCAAGAAGUGCACUAACCUUUGAGAGAUUAGUUAGAAAACCAGUAGUGGCUUCCCUGGGAGCAGCCUUGAGCAACAAAACCACACAUUCAGAAGCUAUAUCUGCAACAUUGGCUUCAUCUGAGCCACUUAAUUCCAGAAAAACACUAACGUUGCUACCAAAGUCCAUUAUAUCCCUUAUGUAUUGCUGCUGAUCAACUGCACCUCUCACUUCAGUAGGACCAUCACAUAUGAGAGUUGGUUCUUUUGAAUAGAUGAAGCCUUUUCUACUGCCUACUGAACGUAGAAGAAAAGCCCUACACAGGCCAAGAGUAGGUUCAAGAAAAUCUUCCAUAUCUUUUGCAUUGACAAACUCAAGAAGGUUUCCAAUCUUCCUGACUACUUUUAAUUGAGAGAGCAACUUGGUUUCCAUUUCAGGAGCAGAUGCCAGAGCCAGACACAGCUUAACGCUGUUUACAUUUGCACUUGAAAGAUCACCAAGCAAAAAUUCAAAGCACUGGGAGACUGUCUCCAUAUGUAGAAUGUCUGGAAUUCUAAUGUAAUUAAACUCGAUAAACAUCACAAGAAGCUUCUGCGCAUACAUGGGAAUGGGAUCUUCAUCCUCAAUGAGAGUGGGGUAAAGGGGCAGGAAGUGAGUAUUGGAUAUGGACUUCAAGUCCUCUGAUCUUUGCUCAACUUCUGAUGGUUCAUUUAAGUAUAUGACCAUUGCAUCAAAUAGAAUUUUCAGGCACAAAAAUCUGGCAUCUCCAUCUUUGUUCCCCCUGUACAGAACAGCCAAACUUGGGAGAAUUUCACCAAUGAAAACAUUAGCGCUUUCAAGAAUUACAGAGGGCUCCUCUGUUAUAGACUCAAGCACUCGCAGAAGAGUUAUUUGGAAGUCAUCCCUACCCUGAAAUUAAAUGAAAGAGGUAAUAUAUGUCAACUGGCUAAUAUCUUUUAAUUUUUCAUGUCAGUUAGGACUGUGCCCAAUUUGUUCACACCCUAAUGGGUAGAAGCAACAAUCUGACCAAGACAACUACAGUAACACAAAGACCACCCUACCUUACUAACCCACCCACCCCCAAACCCACACACAAGUAAAACUAGGAAUCUAUUCCAAAAUCAUUUAUAGCCAUUUGAUCGAUGACCGAUUUCACAAAGCACGGGUACAUCAUGCAACCACUUGCCUAAGCAAUUUUCCAAGACCUUCAGGCCCCAAAGUUAGUUGGACAUAAUUCCAUGUUUCCUAAUAUUAGUAGUAAUGCAGUACUAUAUAUAUAUAUAUAUAUAUAUAUAUAUAUAUAUAUAUUAGCUAUCCACAUUAAACAUCAUAUCCUAUUUAGUUUGGGACAACCAGUAAAGAAAAAUGAAAGUUCAAGCUAAAAAAGCAUGGAAUGGAAAUGAAUAUCCAAAUGCAGGCUCAGUUGCAGCUACUUUACCUGAAAUGGUGACUCUGCAAGUUUGAUUAGAUUUGCCAAUUGCUGCAGCACUUGAUGAUUCACAACCCUGUGCUUAAAUGAUGAGCUCCCAAGAAGAUGAAGAACAACAGGAAACAAAUGAACUUUAAUUUUUGGGGCAGCCCGAUUGGUAAGGCCAGCAAUUUGGCCAUGCCGCCUUCCUCCCAUCAUUUGCUGAAUAUCUCCAGUUAUAGUCUCCAGCAAACCUGGAAUAGUAGAUGACACAACAUGCAAAAAUGCAUCUAAACACUGCUGGACAUAGCUAUCCUUCUCUUUUACCAGCCUGUCCACUGCUGAGAGGAACCUAGCAUUGCAAAAAAAAUGAGGCAGCCAUCUCUUACCAUUCUUACAAAGGAGGGCUACAAAAACAAGUGUCUUUCCUCUCAAAACCUCACUUCCCUGCUCGAUAAGAGACACGAGACUAGGAACCAGAUUCUUAUCCUCCACCAAGGGCAGAAGGUGCCGGCCAAUGUUUGUGAACAUAUGGCUUCCAAGCAUGGCCAUGUUUAGAAGGUUUAAGCUGAUUUGCUGCUCACGUGGACUGCCUUUGACAAGGGCAGUUACAGUGUCCCUGAAUGAAAGCUUGUCUAUGACUGAUUGAAUACUAGGAGGAUGAAAACGAACCAGUCGUACUAGACACGAUCCUGCUGUGAGUCUCAUGCUCUCUUGUUUCCCUGCAGCCCUAAAUAUAUAGCACAGGUUAUUAAUUACAUCCUGGCUGGUGAAACGAGCUGCCCAGUUCCCUCCCUGACUGCAUAUGUUUUCUAUUGUUCUCAGUGCAUACUGUUGAGUUACAUCAUCCUCUCCUUUCCGUAAAAUUGAUGACACCAAUGAUAUUAACGCAUUUGAAACCUGCUCAAAAAAGAAAAGCUAAACUUUCAUCUAGGAAAAAAUGGAAGGAGACAAACAAGGGCAGGGAAGAAUAUGGAAAGGACUAGAAACAUCCUCUAAUAAUGGUUCUAUAAGAAAAUCAUCUUUGAGACAUGAAUGGAAGUGUCUAAGAAGAAUCCCCAAAAAUAAAAAAUAAGCUACUAAUAAGAAGGGCUUUGGCAAUAAAAUAAAAGCUAACCUGCCAACCAGAUGAGGACCGGCUAUCCUUUGAUGGGGAUUCUGGUGGAUUGUUAUCUUUAGCAUGUUCAUUCUGAGUGGAUAUAUAAAAUAGCAACUCACCCAAUGCAGCCAUAGAAAACCUCCUUACUUUUUCCUGCCUAUCUCUAAGACCGUCAGUAAGAGAACCUAAAAUUCCAGAACUUGCCAAAUCAUCAUCAAUGAAAGUAGAAUGCCGAAUUAACAAACCAAUCAGUGAAGCAAGCUGAACACGCAAAGCAGAUGCCUUGGACUGUCGGAGCAUUUUGACAAUAACCAUCAUGAUUGGCCCAUUGGUUAAGAUAUUCGCAGCAUCAGCAUUAUUGCUCAACAUUUCAAGGUAUUUGAUCACAUUCUGCUUCUCUGCAAUGGUAGUGUUACCAUUAAAGAUGGUUAUAAUCCUAUUGUUGAGUGAAUCAAGCUGCUCCUUGGACAUCUUGAUGAAAUCAGAUGCUGCCAGUGCAUCAAAGGGAAGAGAAGGAAGUGUCUCUGGCAAUUUAUCAGCUUUUCUACUGGGCAUUACGGGUCUAACUGAGAGAUCGGAAGGAUGCCAAAGCACGUGCGAAAUGUUACCAGAUGAUUUUGAAGAAUCAAAAUCAACAGCAGAACCUGAACCUUCUUUAACCCUCUGGAUUCUAACCUGAGGACUAACACUGGGCGGGGUAGCAGCCACUUCAACAUGGUCUGAUUCAUGAUCAAAUGUUCUCGAGUCAUCUGAGACAGGUAUGCUGACAACAUGUGCAGUAUCUAGUUGGUUUGUGUUAUCUUCCAUCUCUUCCACUUUCCCCUGAUGCUGAGUUUGACUUGACAAUUUGUCUUCAGGAGUAAAGUUUGAAGUAUCAGACCCAUCAGGUUCAUCAUGUGGCUCAUCUUCAGUGUUUUCAUUAAAAUCAAGUUCCAUAUCUGUGUUCUCAAUUUUAACCUCAGAAUCAUUUUCAGAGUUAUUUGGCAAGGGCCUUCGGUAGUUUUCCUUCUCAUUCUCUCUCUGUAAGUUUGAUUUUGCAAUUCUUGAGAGCCUUAAAAGAUUCACACCCCCGGUAGCACUUGAAGGAUCUUUCUGCUUCUCAUCAGCUACUCUUCCAGAAGCCUUUGUUUGAGCUCUGCGUCCACCUGUUAUACCUUUAACUGGUGUUUCAUAACCUUUUAAUCCCAAAAUAGAAUUCUCAUCUUGUUUGGGAGUCCCUUUUGAAUCUCUGUCACGAUAUUUAGGAGGGGUCUUAUUUUGGAGAGGCUUGUCACCAUUCCGUUCGGAUAGACACAGUUUAGAAUAAAGGUCUAUCAAAUUAUCAAAAGCAGGCUGAGGAGGUAGAGGCACUGAUGUGAAUUUUGUUCUCCAGAAAGCAUGCCCACAAAGUUCAGGCCACUGUAUUCUUUCAGCUGGAUCUUUUACCAGGAGAGAAUUGAUUAGAUUAACAAAGGGACGGCUCGGCGUACCAGGCAGGGUUGGAGUGGGAUCUGAGAGGAUGGAUUUUACUAACUGAGUAAAUUCUCUUCCCACAAAGGGGGGUCUUCCAGCAUAGCACUCAUAUAGUACACAACCAAGGGCCCAGAAAUCGGAAGCAUAAGAAUGCACGCCUCCAUCCUGAAACAGCUCUGGAGCCAUAUAACAUGGUGUUCCACGUUUUGCUUGUGGCAACUAGACAAGUCCAUAAGAAGGAAAUUACAUAAACAAACUCUUAGUUAAAAAUUUAAAAAAAAAAAUAUUGCAUUUUCAAAUUGAAUACCCAUAUACUCCCAAGUAAAUGAAGCACAUGUGGGAAAUGUUGCAAUAAAUAGAAACGCACCAUGGAAGAAGGUGUUUUUGAUAUAUCACUCAAUUUUCUUGCUAAUCCAAAAUCACAUAGCUGAAUUGCACAAAGAUAAAAGGGAAAUUAGUUUAUAUAUAAUAGACAUUGUAUUGGCAAUGACCAAACAAAACAAGGAAGAAAUAGCACAUAGCUACCUUUGUGCACCCAUUCUCAUCCAAUAGGAUAUUUGAUGGUUUUAAGUCACAGUAUAUGAUUCCCUUAGAAUGUAAAAACCUGACAAACAAUUGCCAGAGAAUAACUCAGAAAAAAUAACAAAAUAUAGCAAAUCCACAAAGGAAAUAAUAAAUCAAUACUAAUGAGUAUUCUUACUGCAAAGCUCUGACAAGGUCACGGGCAAGAUCAUGUACUGAAUCUUCAGGAAGCUGACUAUCCUGGAACUCAUUAACUAGAAGAUUAAUAUUCCAAUUGUAUAUAGAUAGCUAAGGAAUACACUAAUAUUCAGAUUGAUGACAUAUGUCAGAAAUUCUGAGAUUCGUUUCUUAUACAAUACACAGAGCAAAGACCAGUACUUCCACUGUAUAAGUAGUUCUUUUCCAUAUUUUGUUAUCAAAUAUUUACCAAACAGGAUCUACAGAAUUAUUCAAGUUAAAUUCCAGAAAAUUAUAAUGAUAGAUAGAGACCUGUGAAAAUACUGUUGUAAAUCAUUUUCAAUUUCAAAGCCCAAAGAUCUUUUCCAGAAUUUUCAAGGGAAAUUCUUUUUUACAAGAGUCGACUAUUUUAGGUUUUCUCUGAAAACAAUGGUAAAAGUUGAUUGCUAUGUCUAUGAUGGGAACAGUACUCAGGCUAAAGCCCCAACUGCAAUCAUAUAAAACAUUUUUCGGUGAGCAAUCAUACAGAAUAUUUAAAAAUCAUAUCCAACAUGGUAAACAUAGGAAGGCCAUAAACUGAUCAAAUGCAACUAGCCCUUGUUUUCACGAUUUCGCAAUGUAAUGUCCAUACUGUUUAAAAAGGAUGCUCCUACUUGAUAAGAACACCUAUAUUCAUCCACAUGUUGCAUUUAGUUUACUGGGGUUGCUAUGUUGAACAACUCACAUAUGUAUUGGAUGCCUAAUCUAAUGCCUCCGUCCUUUCAUCGUAGUGCCUAUCUAAUCAACUUCAACCACAGAUUAUCCAUAAUAUUUAGUGUAUCAACAAAAUCCCACAAUUCUUCCUGCUUAUAACAAUUAUUGGAGGAAAAAAUUAAUUAUUAAAUCCAAAAUUUAUAUGAAUAUUAAGUAACCAUCACCUGCUGUAAUAAGGUCAUAAGAUCUCCUCCGACACAAUAUUCCAAAACUAACCACAAGUGAGCAGAAGUUUCAUACCUAAUGUGCAAAAAAUAUGAGAAAAUGUUACUCAACUGAAAUUCCAAGAGAGAAAAGAAAUGGCACUCCAGAAGUACCACAUAGUAGAUUAUUCCACAGGCAAAUGCAGUUCAAGUAAUCAUCUAACUAAAUGACUACUUCCAAACCACUCUAACAAGCAUUGCAUGAUAUUGUGUUCCCAAAUAUCUGAAAGCCUUACCAAGAAAAAAAAUUUAGUACAUUCGAGUGAUCUAGAGAGUGAAGAAUCCUAACCUGCAUUCGAAAAAACAAAGGGCACAUCAGCUAAAGCACACGCAAGAUAGAAUUCAAGAAUACUACCCAUCAUGACUGCAUAAAUUUGUGAUUUCAGAUCACCUUAGAAGCUGCAGUUCUUUUCACAACAAAUAAUUCUCUUCAUUCCUACUCGUUUACUUGGCCAGUUAAGCAAAGAGAAUGCAAAACAAGGAUAGCACAAAGGAAAACUGAGUACUUGUCUAAGCCCGAUUCUCAGGAGAGUGCAUGGCACUGUGGUAGAUCUUGCUCCACCAAUACAAGUAGCUUCACUAAACAUCCUAGGGAAAACUAUAGCAAAUCUUGCAAUUAUAGUUCCUAUGUGAAUAGUUUCACAGAACCACUACAACAGCCUGAGGGAUCAGUGUGAGACCUUCUAAUCAAUCACCAUGACCAGUAUAAAACAGCACCAUAAUUUGAGCUAUGUUUAGAGUGCUCUGUUUGGCUGGAAAAAAAUAAAUACGUACAUUCUAAUGAUAAAAAGGAGCAAAAUAGAAGAAGACAAAACUAUUUAAUUUUCAGAUUUUCCAAAAAUUGGGAUCCAAACAAAACUAAAUUCCACGAGAAAUGUCAGAAUACAAUUAUCAUACUUGGGGAAAAAUUUUCUUUUUAUGAAAAUCAUGACAACAUAAAAAUAAAAAUAAACUGGAAGCAAAACAGACCAACAGAUCCAAGGUUUCUUUUAUUUCCUUUUCCUCAGUUUUCUGGGCAACCAAAUAAAGGGAAAGUGCCAAGCAACUUUAAAAUUAUAAAAGCAUUCACUGACUCUGUUACUAAUUUUAUUUCCCGUUUCUGCAAUUGGUUCAAUCUAAUAUCCAGAUACCAAUCAUUUCAACAAAAACAGCUCAAACUUCAAACUGUUCCGAACUAGCUCAAUGUUUAGAUUCCCAUCCAUGAAACGCAGAUCAACACAUACGAUCAACAAUUAACCUACAACUUCUUCAAUAAACGCAAAAAAAAAAAAAAAAAAAAAAUUAACCAAUCAACCAGAGAUAAUAAAAUGGGAACUUACUUCUUGUAGAAGUUUGUUCUUCUGCGAUUUAUCCACACUCUUAAUCGCGAAGUACUCAAUACUCUUCUUCUUCCUCCCUUUGUACACAGUCUAUCAAAUCCAGAAAAACACGCAUGUUCGAAGAUUUGAUCCAAACGAGCUUGAGGAAAAAAAAAAUGGUGAAGAACUAAGAGAGAAAUUGCAACAUUACCGAGUAUUUGCCCCUGCCAAUGGCCUCGUAGAUAUGAUAUUGAUUCAUGGAUGCUGGAUCGAUUUGUCUAGGGUUUCGACUCUGGAGCAAGAAUGAAGAUAAUCGGACAGAUCAAAGAGGUGGUGAAGUGGAUGAGAACUCGGAAACGAGGAUUGGGAUUGUUUGGUUAUGGUUACGGCGAAAUGACUUCGGCGAUUGGCAUAAAGAGGAUGAGGAGAGAGAGAUGGAGGAUGAGAGAGAAUGAGCGGGAACAAAACAAUUGAAAAUCAAAAUGUAAGGUUAAAAAAAGCUCAUCGAGGUUAAGUAGAGUUUCGAUUUGUAUCCAAACGUAGGAAAAUUUUGUGGUGACGUGUGACGUCUACAAAAAGAAAAGGACACAUGACAUGCUUAACAACUAGCUUUCAUUGAAAACAAAAAUUAUGAAAAUAAAUACUUUUUAAAAAUGCCAUGUUUGGUUUUAUAAACUAUUAAGGAGAGAAAGAAAUUUAAGAAAAUUAAUUUUUUUAUGUUUGAUUAUUUUAUCAAAGAUAUCAAAUAAAAUAAAAUAUAAUUAACAUUAGUCAAAAAUUUAUGUAUUUUCAAAUUAUUUAAUUUUUAUAUCGAUGAGUUAAAAUAAAAAAAAAUGAAUUUGAAAUAACAAAUAAAAAUAAUUUAUUAAUUUUAAAUAUUUUUUUUCCUUUUAUUUUUCUUAUUUAUUUUCUUUUCAUUGUAUUUUCCUUCAAAUUUUUCGAAAAUCAAACAUAUCCUAAAAGUUAUAAGAAAAAUUAAAAGUAAUUGAAGUUUACAAAUCACUAGUUUACAAGUUUUAUCGUCAUGAUUUUAACUAUGCCUUUUUUAUUUGUUUCUCCUAUUUAUUACAUUAAAACUACUUGUAUUAUUAUUAAUAUUAAAUAUUAAUACUUGUAUUAAUAAUAUUAUUUAUUUUAUUAAUGUUAUCGAUGUUUGUGGCUUUUAUUAUAAAAAAAAUCAUUCAUAAUAGCAAUUGAUCGAGUUUGUAGUGUGAAUGCCCUAGUACUGUGUAUUAGUAUAAAAGUUAAAAUACAAGUACAAUAAAAAUGCAUUGAUCCAAUAACAAAAAUGCACUAAAAAUAUAAGUGGUAAUGGAUUGCGGAGGGUUUUAUGGAAGUUUCAAGGUUCAAGUCACAAUGGAGACAAAAUUUAUCUAAGAAAAAAUAAAUAAUCUUUUUUUCAAUUUACAAUGUUUUUUAUUUAAUUUCACAAGGUUUGUAUGCUUUAUUAUAAGAAUCGUUCAAUAUAGCAAUUCACUAAGCAUAUGAUACUAAUGUACUGAUAUUGUGCAUUAAUAUAAAAACUAAGAUACAAGUACAUCAAAAAUGCAUUAAUCUUACAACACGUAUACACUAAAGGCACAAUGUAUUGCAACAUGACUUAAUUUCAGUUUUUUUUAUUUAUUUUUACUUUAUGCAAACAUAUGUUUGCAAAUGAUUGUCAUCUACCUCUUGACACUUCGUCUAUUAUAAAAUAGUUCUAUAAGACUUUUCUUUAAAAAUAAAAAAAUAAAAAUUAUAGGUUUUAUUAUAAAUAUCAUUGGCAACGAAAAUGCGUCAUAUAUAUGAUGCUAAUUCAUUGGUAAUUAGACGUAUUAUUAUAAAAGCCAAUAUGAUGGAAUAUACAUUGACCUUUUAUACUUUUCGGUUUAUCAUAAGAUAUAGGUAUAACGCAUGUUUUAAACCUACGAGUACACUAAAAGUACAAUGCAUUGCACAUCAUCACUACAAGAAAAAUGAAUGUAUAAUUAUGUCAUAAAUCAUGACUAGCAAUAAAAAGUUGUGUAACUAUAUCAUAUAAUGUGAAAAAUGCAAGUCACUACAAAUUGUGGCUAUAUGCAGCACAAACAAAGCCUAUAAUCAUGCCUAAUAGUUUUCCUUCUACUAUUAUGCAAGUACAAAGCAACACGAUUGCACAACAUCUCUAAAGGUCAAUGCUCAUGGUUGUAGUAGCGUAGUACUAUAACUAACACGAACAAAGAUAUCAUGUACAAGGGAUAAGGUGGUGAUUAACAAGUUUUUAUUUUUUUUUAUUUUUUUAUCUUUAUGUAUUUGAAUGAUAAUAAAAAUAAAGUUACAAUUUUUUAUUGUCUUUGAUAACAAAAUUUGGAAUGAUUAUUUCAUAGUUAUGAAGCUCAUGGCUCCGCUUAUGCGCUUAUUGCAUAUUGUUGACUUAAUAAAAGACUUUUGAUAGGAUAUGAAAAAGUUAUUAGAGGUGUCAAAUAUGUUACUGACCGAAAAAUUAUGAAAGACAAACACUAGAUGAUGAAUGAAUUGAGGCCAUUUUGUAACCGACUGCAAAAUUUUAGAAUAUAGUUUGCUUAUUCUUCAUGUGAUGUACUUUAAUAAAGUAAUAAUCUAUUAUUGUGUUUGUUAUUUUUUAGUACUUACUAUUUUUAUAUUUCUCAAUGCACUUUAAAAUAUAGAUUAUUAUAUUUUUAAACUUACUAAUUUUUCCCCAUUUUUAAUGUGAAAAUGAUAACUAUGUGAGUGGUGGAUGCUACAUGGAUAUGGUGCACCAAAUUUGUAAAAGUUGGUAAUUCAAAUAUCGAGUUAAACUUCACCAUCUUCUAGAUAUUAGAUGAUUUGGAGUGUGCUUAAAUGUACACGUACCAAAAAGAUUGAUAGAAUGGAACAUCAAAUGCUUAAUGAUCAUUCAUACAUUCAUUACAACGUGUAAAAAUUGUUAUAAAUACUUAAUUAUUUUUUUUGAAUAUGAGUUUUUGCUUUGACAAUUACGAAUAACUACGUGUUUUUCAUUUUUAGGUUUUACUAAAAAAAAAAAAAUACUUAUGAUCCCAUUGAUUAUGCAAUAUGUAUGAAAAUGAAAUUUUUGCAGUUAAUGAAGUGAGUAAGGAAAACUAGAUCUCUAAGAAUUGGAAUUCCUUCACAUUAAAAAUGAUAAAAUUCAAUAAAUGAAACAAAGGGUUCAAGUUCAAAUAUUUACAUUGGUUAGUAUAAUAUAUAAAGUUACAAAAUUUCGAUAAUUAGUUUUUUUUUCAAAAAUGUUUUUUUUUAUAUAUAUAUUCAAUAUUUUGUAGAUGAUAAAGAUAAUAAUGACAUGACUAUAAAAAAAUGGUUGAUUUUGAAAACUUUGGUGAUCCAUGUGUUCAUUUUGAAUUUUCAUAUCUUAAUCUUCGAAAUAAACGAAGACAUGAGUUUUAUAUUUAUUAUUAUGAAAAAACUCUUCAUGAAUACUUAAAUAUUGACAUGUUAUACUUUGAAUAACUAUUUAAGUGUCGUGGUUGAUGUUUGUACAUCUAGCCAUUAUUGUUUAUACAUGAAUGUAAUAUAGUAAUGUUUUGGUAUAUAUUGUAUUCAUUUACAUCAAUGAAAGCAUGACAUCUUAUAUUAUAUUAGAUAUAUGUUGUAUAGUGACUUCUACGAACAAAUAAAUAUGUGGACAAAUUCAACAAAUUGAGGAGAUGUUGAAAUUUUCAUAUAAUGUAUCAAAUUAUUUUUUUAAAUUUUUAAUUUUAAUUAUAUAUUAAAUUUACAUUUAUUAUGUCAUCGAUUCAACAAUGACUUAACCACCAAUCUAACUAAUGAAUCGUGAAUUUAUAACUUUUUUGUUCAAUGAUUGGUCCGGUUUUGAAAAUAUUGUUUACAAAUAUUUAUUAUUAACAAAACUAAUUAUUCAUUAUUUAUUGAAUGUGCAAUACCAUGUUUUGUAACUUAAAUACAUGACUAAACUUUUUAUGGUAGAAAUACGUUAUAGUUAAGUUUGGAUUUCCCCAUUUUGCUUACAUGGUUCGUCAGCUCAAUGUCUUUUUAAGUUAAUAGAUCGAUUAUCAUCAUGAUAUAAUGAUUUACACAUGUAAAUGCAAAAUUUUAUAAUCUAUUUACAUAGUUGAUUUGUGAAAUACCUUAUAAGCCAAUUGCUUAAAAAAAGAAAGAAAAAAAAAACAAAACAUAAUAAAACUCUAUACAAAAAAAAGACAUGUGAAUGACAAUCUUAAGCUUUGUUUUUUAAGCUAUCUUGCCUCGAUUUAAGUUUUUAAAGCAAAUGUUUUAAUUAUUAAUAUUUUUACAAAAUGUUCAUGCUUCCAUUGAAGAACAUAAGACAUGUUUUGCCAUUUCGUGGUAAAGUAAAAUGUUAUUUAGAAUCACUUUUUAUUUUUUAAAAAAUACGAUAAAAACUCCUUAUAUAUGUGGAUUUUGAUGAAAUUGUUUUUUACCGUUUUAAAAAUAGCUCAAUACAAAAUUAAAAAUAAAGUUCUUAUCAUAAAAGCAUUUUUCCCUAUAUAAGAAAUUUUGCUUAUUUUUACAUUGUGUUGUGAAUAAAUUUUUUAUGGAGAAUUAUCUUUUGGGGGUAGAUGAACCCCAAAAUUAACAAAAGGUCCAUAUAACUCUUCAAAUUGAGUCGAAGGAUAUGAAAUAGUAACGGACAAAUAUACCCUUUAAGAACACAUAUAAAAUAUUUUAUAAAAUUAAGUUAAAUAAUUUUUUUUCAAUAUUUUUUUUUCAAAAAUACUAAAUUAAAUAAAAGUAGUUUUCAAAAAUAUUAAAUUAAAUAAUUUUUUUUUCAAAAAUAUUAAAUUGAAUAUUUUUUUAAAUAUUAAAUUAAAUAAAUUUAUUUUAAAAAAUAUUAAAUUAAAUAAAAGUAUUUUAAAAAAUAUUAAAUUACAUAAAAGUAUUUUAAACAAAUAUUAAAUUAAAUUAAAAAAAUCAAAUUAAAUAAAAGUAUUUUUCAAAAAUAUUAUUAUUUUUUUCUCAAAAUCAACAAAGGACAUUUUUUGAAAUACUGAAAGAUGAUAUCCUUCAACGCAAUUUCCAUACUUUCAUUGGGUCUUGGGCUCAAUUUGAAGAGUUACAUGAACCUUUUGUUAAUUUUGGGGCCCAUCUACCCCCAAAACAUAAUUCUCCCAAUUUUUUAUUCAUGAAUAUUUGCUCAUUUAAGAUCAUGACUUCACAAUUUUAGUUUUUAACUAAAAGUAUAAGCAAAUAGUUAUAUAAAACAAAGUCCGAGUUUCCUCAUUGGUUAACUAUAUUUGGCAACAAGUGAUGAUUAUGGGAAAAAUGAAAAAUAAAGAAGAAAACUUUUAAAUACUAAAGUAGAUAUUAACAAAGUUACCAUUACAUGGUAUUUUGGAAGCGUAGCUUCGUUGGCUUCACAUCUCAUUCGUCUACCAAUUUCUACUUCAUUUGGACCUCCAUUUUUUUAUCAAUAGGAUAGUAUCAUGUUUCCUAAAUCAACACCCCUUUUUCAAAGAGUCACGAGAUUACUUUUAUACUUAUCUUUUGAAUAAGAUAUAUUUUAUAACUAACUUAACAUACCUCUAAGAAUUUUUGGUCAAAUGAGCUUGUUCUUAUUCUAAAAAAGUCAUUUUGUUUCACAUUCAUAAAAGUUGUGAAUAAUAUUUAAUAGUAUAAACUUCACAAGCCUUAAUAACAAUAUCGUGCCAUUUAUCAUCUCAUAGGAUGGUUUAAGGUUUUGAUUUACUGGCUCUCGUUAAGGUUAACUUAACUAAAAUAGAAAAAUAACAAAAUGUCACUUAUACAAGACCACAAGUUGGGGUUCGAGUUUAUGGUUAAUUCAUUGUAAUAAGGGGUCAUAUUAAUGCCUAUAUACUCAUAGUAAGAAACAUACCUUUCAUUGAUUAUUUUUAUUGCAGCUUUAAAGACAAGUAGCUUAAGUUACUAUGUGGUAUGAAGUUAAACUUGAUUCAUAGUUUAUUUAUUUAUUUUUAAAGUGUUUAUUUAUCUCACAUUUAGAGUCUGUUUGGUGAUGAUUGUAGAAAUCAUUUUUAAGUGUUGGAAAUACUAAAAACGAUUCAUAUAAUCACUACUAAACACAUUCCUAUAUUGCGUUUGGUAGUGCUUUUAUAAAGUGUUUAUAAUAUUUUUAGCAUUUGAAAAUUUUUAUAUUUCAAAUAAUAUAAAUAUUAAAAAUACUUCAUAAAAUCACUAUCAAACAUAUUCUUAUACAAUGCAGGGAUAAUGCAUAACAGUAUGAAUUUUGAUGCAUCUUAAUUUUGAUACAUCCCCUUUUACUAACUAGUCAAUAGAAUUAUUUGAGGCUUUGGCUUGAUGAAACUUAUCACAAUAAAAGUAGUUAUAAAGACAUCAUUUUAAAAACAUUUAUUACCACACAAACCAAAAACAUUUAUUGUUACCCAAACUAAUUAAUUAUUUAUUAAUUGUAUAAGACCAUAGUUUGUAACUUAAAUGUUUUGUUAAUCAUUUUUACGAUAAAAAUAUGUUAUAGUCAAGUUUAGAUUUUUCCAUUUUAUUUACAUGAUUCUUUACCUUAAUGAAUUUUUUUAAGUUAAUUGAUCGAUCAUUUUUCUAAGAGCAUAAUCUAUAGACAAAUGUAAAAUUUCAUAUUUUUUAUUCACAUUGUUCAUAGACUCAAGUAUUAUAAGCCAAUUGUUUCAAACAAAGAAAAAAAUAAAAUUAUAUUUCAAAAGUUGGUGAAUGAUAACCUUGAUCUAACUUUCAUCGAUAGAAAAAAGUCUCAGUGAGUGUUUAGUUAACCAAUUUAACAACUUAAAAAUUUAACUGAAGUCGUUAAAUAAAUUAAGUAUAUUUUAUAAAAUAACUUAAUGAUAUGAUUUAAAAUAAAAAAUAUCUUUAAGUAAUAAAUAAAACGAAUUAACUUAUUUUUAAGUUUACAUUUUUACUUUUAUUUACUUUAAUUACUUUUAUGGUUGUUUUUACUAUUUUACCACCUUCGCUAUUACUCAACUUUCUUUACCAUAAUUAUAAUUUAUGGAGAUAAAUAUGUUAGUUUAAUGAUUUAAAAUAUAUUUAAGUUAAUUUUGUCAAAUAACAUUAAUACUUAAAAUAAGAAUUAAGUAAUAAGUUUUAAGUUAACAACUUAAAUAUAAUUUAACUUUAAAUAAUUAAGUAAUAAGUAUGAACUUUUAUCUAAUGCUCAAUCCAUUUAAUUAAUUGCUCGUUUUCUUAGUUUAGUUGUCCCAUUUUGGAGAUUUUAUAUUUAAGGUCAUUUUGCUAAUAACUUUUUAAAAUUUUUAAUCCUCUCUCGCGAAUAAACGUAAUUUUUUUUCUGUUUUUUUGACCACAAAAUUUAAAAUGCAACCUGUGGGACUUAAAAUAUGCUUCAUAAUCGAGAAUGAAAAAACUUAAAGAAGUAUAAAAUAUUUGUUCACAAAAAGAAAGGAUUCAGUAGAGUAUAAAGGGGCUUCUUUAGUCCAGGGUAUGAGUCAGUGAGAGACACAGGGCGAGGGGGAGGAGAGAGGACUCAACCCCGGCAGCGACCAUCGGGUAACCCUAACCCUAAUUCUCCAUCUUUCUUGUUCACAGUCAUCAUCUUCAUCUUCUCAUAAAAAAGCCGAACUCCGGAAGAUGUCAUUCCGGAGAAAACAAAGUUUCUGAAACAAAAUUCAAAGAGUUUCAUCGCAAGAGACACGAUCGGCUCAUGUAACGGAGGUAUCAACGCUUCCCAUCACGCUUGCGUUUUUGUGACUUUUCUAGCAAUGAUAUUUCGUCCUGUGUCGAUGAAUUGUAAAUCGUGACUCUAUCUAGGGUUUGCCGGUUAAUGACCUUCCUUUUCGUUUUUUGAGGCGGGGAGGUUUUUUGGAAAUAUUUAGAGAUCUUAAUUGUUUUCAUUAUGCGAAUUUGAUUAGGAGUUCGUGAUUUCAUGUCAAGUUUAGCAUAGGAAUCAUUGUUAUAGCGAUUUGAUGGUUUCUAAUGCUCUGUAAUUCAUCAAAAGAUAUGAGAAAAAUUGAAUGGUUUCAUAUAUAAUGGUCAGAAUUUGAUUUUUUGGUUGCUACUGGUUUGAAGUUCCGAAAAGAUGGCGUCUCAACAAAAUGUUGAGUUGGAGGCAGCAAAGUUUUUACACAAGCUCAUUCAAGAUUCUACUGAUGAGCCUGCAAAACUGGCGACAAAACUCUAUGUGGUGUGUGCAAUUUAAUUUCUCAGUAUUUAGGUUUUAUCAGUGGCUUUUAUUUCUGACCUUUUUAAUGCUAUAUGGACAUACUUACCAUCUGUGGGUGUUUCAGAUAUUGCAACACAUGAAAUCAAGCGGGAAGGAGCAUUCGAUGCCAUACCAAGUAAUAUCAAGGUAAAGCAUUUUCAAUGUCAUUCAUACCUGUCCAUCCAAGCGUUAACUGUUAGUUCUAUCAAAAAAGUGUUAACUAUUAGAGCCAUUUUAGGCCAAUGAACCAUGAAGAAGAUACACCAUACAUAAUAGACUGGGGACAAUGCUCUUAUAUGUCUGGAUUUAAAUGAUAAUCAUUUUACAUGGAGUUGGCAAAUCAAAUGCUUUAUUGAGAUGAUGAGCUCAAGUCCUUGAUUGAAUAGCUGCACAAUGAUAUUGCAGAUGGGUCUCUAAUCUGUACUCGAUUACAUACUGAACUGUUUAUAGUCUCUAUCUACACACACACACACACACACACACACAUAUAUAUAUAUAUAUAUAUAUAUGCAUGCUGGAUAUAUGAAAAUAAAAAUGAAACUCAAUUCAUGGUAGUUUCUUUUGUACCUCCUCUGAUCAUUCCCCAUAAUUUUAAGCUGUGAGUCGUAUUAGCAUCUCAGUUGUAGAUUGAAACAAAUUGGCCCAACCCUUUGAUUGCAGCUUUAGUCAGCCUGUCUAAGUAUUCUUCUUUUUUUUUUUUCCCUAUCGUUAAUUACAUAUUUUAAUUUUUUAUGUUAUUUUUUAAUUCUCUCUUUAAAGGGCCAUGGAGACUGUUAUCAAUCAACAUGGUCUUGAUAUUGAGGCUUUAAAGUCAUCACGCCUUCCUUCGAGUGGUGGAACUCAUGUAGGAGAUUCUUCAGCGGCAAGAUUAGCAGGUAAAUGUGUACCUAAAUAAAUGCUUAUUGUAUUCUUGGUUAAAAAUGCCUUUUUCAAAUGCAUCCAUCAGUGGAUGUCAUUUUAAGCCAUUGUUGAAAAGGGGGAAAAUUUUCUAUGUAGGAUCAUCGUCGGCGGCUGGGGUUGCAAAAGAUACCCAAGCAGGCUUGGCUGAAAACGAAAUGGCUAAAAUUGAUGCGUUUGCUUCCAGCAGGCCACCUGUUGGCCCAAGCAGUGCAGGCCAUGAUAUAUAUCAAGGAUCUGUAUCCCAUAAGAGUGGUGGGAAGUCCUUUGAUCAUGAGAGUCCAUCUAGUUUGGACACUAGAUCUGCCAACUCGCAGUCACAAGAAAGGCGUGAUUCAGCAAAUUGGGAAAAGCAGGUGAAUCAAAAGGAUAGUAAAAAAUCCAAUGCUAAGAGAAAGAGAACAGAUCCGUCACCAGCUAUGGAGCCACAUGUUGACAACCCGAACCAUCCUGACACUCGCAACAGUGUAGUUAAUCCAAGGAAGGGGAAGCUGAUGAACAAGGUGGAAUCACCUGGGAGUUUUUCUGUUAAAAGUGGUGAGAAUACUAACGUUAAUAUAGUUCAAAGUACCGGUCAAAUGGAACAGUUUCCAAUAUCAUCUGGUAGCAUGAGAUCAAUGCUUAGAGCCAAGCAGGAGGGUCAAAGUUUUAUGGGAAAGUCAAUGUAUUCAAGGCAUGUUAGCAAUCCCAUGCCUUGGGUGCCCAAUUCAAAUUCCCUGAAAAAGUGGAAGUUUCCUCUUCAAAUAAUGCUGUAGGACUGCAGCAAGGGGGCAACUUACCUUCUACACAAAGACAUCCUCUUCUCCAAAGGUGUAUGGAAUCAAAAUAAAAUAAGGUUUCCUUUUGGAAAAUCUCUAGUUUUAAGGACCUUCCUAAUGUUGUUUCUGGUAAUUUGAUGCCAGAAUUUUUAUGCAGCAGUCAACUACUCCAUCUUUAGGAUCAAGUAAGGAGUGGAGUUGAAAUGUGAAAUAAGGAUUAGGGAUUUAUCUGUCGGAAAGCCAUGCAUUUUGAGUCUGGCAAAAGCUAUCAAGGCCAUCAUCUUUUGUUAUCAAUAUAAUUCUUCUUCUUUUCUGUUUAGUGAAUUACGAGGGACGAAUUUAAUAGGUUUUAGGGGCAAAGACUCUGGUGUGAUAGACAUGUCAUUCAAAGUGAAAACAAAACUUUGACUGGAAGGUGCUUCUUGUCUAUGUUGCUUUUGGAGCUCAAAUAUGACAUGUAGGGCUUGCAUGUAGGCUAUACAUUGAUCUAGUGUGCAUUCAUUGACAUUGUGGAUAGAGAUGUAUAAAUAUAAAGAGAGAUUUCAUGGGUAGCAAAAAGUGGGUGUCUCCAUGUAAGCUUCGCCCGGAAAUUUGGAGAUGUUUCAACAGGGACCAAAGGGGUGCAGUUUCUAGAUUCAGAAUCAUGUCAGUGAAAGAAUGUCUCAAUAAUGAGAUUUUUGUAUUCUGUUUCAUGUGAGCGAAAGAAUUGCUCCCUGAUGUGACUUUCAGCUUCAUUUGUUUCAAUAAAAAUAAUUUUGGGAAAAAGUUUCUGGAUAAAGUAGAUAUUAGGCCUCUUUUUUGAUGUUUUUCCAUGAAGCUGGGGGGAAAUAUGCCAUGAAUAUUCAGUUGUAGCCAGGGAAUACGUUUCCUUAUAAUUGAAUUUCAUUUUUAGAAAAUUUCCGUAUAAAAUAUAUUGCAAACUAAAUGGAGCAGAAUCGAUCUCCAGUUCAGAUCUGACAUUGAUUGAAUUCAGCAUGCAAUAUUUUCUUUUCAAUAGGCAAUCUAUUUAUUAAUGGUAUUGAAUCUAAGACCUUCCCCAUCCCCACCCUUAUCCCUUGCCACCUAAGAGUGUGUAAUAUUAGGGAAGUAAAUUGUAAUCUUCACUGUGAUUUGAACUUUUCUUAUUAAAGUGUCUGAAUUUCUAAGUUCUGGAAUGUCUUGUUGGUUGAUGAGUAAUAAUGUUUCAAAAUGUGUUACUGCAAAUCAGGUGCUGCUGCAAAGAUUCAUGGAGGGAUGCCUAGUUCAUAUCCAGUGGUAGAACCAGGAUUCUCAAGUUCAAUGCAGUUCAGUGGUUCUUCCUAUGAUAAUCAUGCUUUGGUUGCAAAGAUGCAUAAAGAAAGAAACAUGGAGGCUUUUUCUGCUAUGAAUUCUUCUUUGCUUGAGGCCUCAUCUGGUAAAAAUGCUGUUGAUGCUGAACAGUGGAAGCAUGGAUUAAUGAGAAGUGCAGUAAUAGGUGCCCCUGAGAAAACUAUAGAAGCUCAGAUGUUAUCAGGUAAUCAUGGGGAAGAAGAAUCCAAAACACUCUCCAUUGGAAAGGUCUUGGAUCAUGAGGGAGGAACUUCAAAUACAUCAGGAAAUGCAAAUAAAAUGGCUCAGGUACCUUUCUUUUCCAUUAUUGUCUUGGUUUUUAUGAAAAUAUUGAAGUCAUGCUGAUUUCUUUGUAUGCCAGUGUAUUUGUGAUAAGGUAGCUUUUGAAGGGUGAUGAGAUUAGUUUGUAGUGCUUAUUUCUAUCUUUACUUUCAAUAUGUAGUGGCCAAAGUCAUGAAUUUUUCAUUUGACUGAUGCUUUUCAAUGUUCUAUGCCCAUUACUGUAUUUCUACGUAGUUGCAUUGCAAAUGCUGCCGUGCAUUUUUUCUUGUGGCAUUUACUUCCUUUGUGCUCUCUAAUUUCCCUCUAAUUAAGCUGCCUAUUGGAAAAUUUUUAUUCCCCUCUAAUUAAGGUGAGUUUUAAAGAGAUGUUUCUCUUGUUAUAACUCUUGGGAGAUGAUGAAAAUAUGCUUCUUCGUUUUUCUUCCCCGAGCUUUAUGUGCCUUUUAUUCAAUUGCUUAAGCUAGGGGCAAGUUGUUCCUGGUUUUCAACUUUAUAUUUUGUGCUAUAGUCAGCAUGUCUGUUAUAGCUGGGAAAUUCCGAGUCCGGUGGAUUGGGAGGUUGCUUUUACUAGAAUGAGUUGCUUUAUAAUUCUUAGGUUUUAAAUUCAAUGUUGAAUUUUGUCACUUCCUACAAUGGAGAGAUUCAUUGCAGGAUAGCAUUGAGUCACAGUAAAAGUUGGCAAGCACUGGGAAAAGCAGAGAUCCAUUGCAGGUAUCAUAGGUUUAAAUAAAAGAUGAAAAAUUCCUUAAUCAGAGGCAUUUUCUGAGGGUAGUCUUACUAGAGAGGCUGUAAUCAUGGUAUGUUUUCCUCUCCCAUAGGCUGUAGAUUUGUUAGGUAAUUUUUUUGAUAGACAACAAAAGCAUGUGUUAAGAAGUGCCAAAAAGAGAGGGCACACCCUACAUAUACAGCCAUCUCAUCUUGUAAAGUGUGUUGUGGCUUGUACCAGAGACCCAGGUUCAUGUAUCAUAGUCUUAGUUUGAAUAUCCUUAUCUCCUUACUGUAUGUAAAAGUGGAAGAUAUUGUAAUCGUGUAUCUAUAUUGGAGUGCUAAAUGCUGUAGAGUCCACUAACAAUGCUUUGUCUCUGAAUUUUUGUCAUUAUUUCUGUUUAAUCAUUUUCUUAUUUCUACUUAAAUUGGGUUUGAUGUCUCUGAACAAGUAAAUGUUCCUCAUUGCCUAUUUUGUUCUGUAUUUGGACUCUUAUUUAUAUGCUAGUUGAAAUUUUGUCUGCAUCUUGGCCAUCUCAUGAAAAAAAAAAAAGUGUGCGCAUCUUAAUUUACUUUUACCGUAUGAUGGUUGCGUUGAUAGGGCGGGGGGGCAAACAUGGUUACAGAAAUGAGCAUGCUUAGAAGUGCAACUUUUAGAGAUGCUGGAAAAUCUCCAAUUCCCCAGGCUCUUCCUUUCUCUGGUAUGCCUUUCAAGGAACAACAUUUGAAACAGCUAAGAGCACAAUGCCUUGUCUUUUUAGCAAUCAGGUCUGUGGAACCUAAGUCUUUGUAGCCUGUUGCAAGUUGAAUUUAUACUUUAAAAUCUUUGUUUCUGGCAACAUUGUCUUAACCAUUGGUUUUUACAUGUAGAAAUAAUUUGAUGCCGAAGAAGUUGCAUCUUGAAAUCGCACUUGGGAACAUCUAUCCCAAAGAAGGUAUUAACAUUUGAUAUAUGUGUGUAUGCAUGUAUGUAUAUUGUAUUAGUCUUUGCUUAUUUACUUGGAUAAAAACAGGUGGCAUUACAGAUGGGCCUCGCAAAGAGCUGAUUGACCAUAAAGGAAAAGAUUAUUCUCUGAAUGAACCGAGUAAUGUUCCUGAAGUCCCAGUGCCAUUUGGAAGACUAAGUAAUGUUAGGGAUACUGAAAGAAUUCCUCCAGGUUCCUCAUCUAGUGGAAGUCUCCUUGAGACUGACUCCAUGUCAAAAGCUGGUGAGAACACAAAAAUAAUGGAAGACAAUCUUACUGGGAUUGCAGAAGAAAGAAGACAUAUUUUAGCUAUGAGAAGAAAACCAGAGGCUGACAUGCAUACUCAGGAGGUGGCAGAAUCACAGGCAUUUCCAUCUACAGCAUCUCAGCCUGAUUCUUCAAGCAUAAUGGGUUUAACUGCUAGUCCUCAUGAGGACAAUUUGGAGAGUAGUCAUCUGCAAGUUGGGAGGGCAAACCAAGCCUCUUCUCUAAUGGGAAUAAAUAGGCAGAUUCAACCUGAGCUAAUUAACUGGACUGGAAUUGGGAAUCAUAAUGAUGCUUCUAGGGGACAACUCCCAGUUUCUGCUAUUCAGCAUGAGCCUUUGCUGGAAAGAAAAGACAAUACUCCAAGUCAGUCUCAAAGUUUUGGUGACACUAGUGUUCAAGGAAAUCAACAUUCUGAAAAUCACUUGUCUCCAUUCUUGCUGAGAGAUCAUUGGAAGCCUGUGUCAGGAAUGGACAAUGAUCACCACAAAAUAUUUCAAACAAAGGAGGCUAAUCUGUUGAUCAAGCAUGUUUCACGAGGUGAGAACUAUAAUUCUGAAUUGAACUUUAUCGUUAUUAAAAACUUUUGUGAUGUUCAAUUUUCUUUUAAUAAUUUUUGGUCCAGAUGAUUCCAAGGUUACUGAAAUUCAAACAAGAUGCAUUUCAGAUGGAUGCAAAGCAGUUGCUAUUGAUGACACAACAAAAAAUGGCUAUCCUUAUAAAAUGGUGGAAAAAUCUGCAGAACAAGGAGAUGAAGACAGGCCAAUGUUAGUUAAUUUGCCACCUUCUCCAAAGUGCACCACGUCAGAGAAAUGGAUCAUGGAUCAGCAGAAAAGAAGACUACAUGUUGAGCAAAAUUGGUUACUAAAAGAGCAAAAAACUGAGAAAAAAAUUGCUGCUUGUUUUGAGAAGUUGAAGGUAUGUUUGUAAGACUUACCAUCAUGAAUUACCAUAUCAGCAAUUCUCUUCUGCUUAUCCUUUGCUAUUUUCCUUAUUAUCAUUACCUUAUUCUUGAUGUUAAACUUUCACCAGUGGAGAUUAUUUGCCUUUUUCUUUGCCUUUUGUUUUGGGGAUUGGAGGGAGUGGUGUUGAGAGUUGGCCUUAUAGAUCAGUGUUCAACACAAGUUAUGCUUGUGGCAACUAAUUGCGGGACAUUGAAGGAAGAGUCCUGAAAACACAGAAAGGAAACCAUGCAAUGCCCUUCAGGAAUGAGAAUUGAAGGAAUUUUUAUUUUUUUUGAUAGACAAAGCUAGAUUGAAUUAAGAAGACACCAAAACAGGGGGUGCACCCUACGUAUAUAGGUAGUAUACAAAAAGAGCCAAAACUAGGCUGCAAAAAGAAAGAAAGAAAGAAACUAGAGAGAAAUAAAGCUAGCCACCAUGCCAAUCACCCAAAAAAUUCAGAAAAGAGGGGAAAUCUAAAGCUGAAAAAUAGUGAGAGACCACUCUAGAAGUGAACGGAAAAAGAGGUUCCUCAAGCUUUUUCUGACAACUCUUCCUCUUGGAACAUUAUUUGGUUUCGCUCUCUCCAAAUACACCAAAAAAGACAAAUAGGCACCAAUCUCCAAACUACUUUCUUAUUCUUCCCUAGUCCCUUAACUUUCCAUUCUAGAAGAAGAUUUCUCACUAAAGUCGGGAACACCCACACCAGUCCAAAAGAUGAUAGCAUUAGAGUCCAUAGCUCCUUUGUCUUACCACAAUGAAUUAGAACAUGGUCCGCCGAUUCAUUGCUGUCUUUACAAAGGCUGCACUAUUGACCAUGGACCAACCCCUCUUAAUCAACAUGUCUACUAUUAAAAUUUUUCCCCAAACUGCUUCCCAAGCAAAAAACGAGUUCUUAGAGGGGCAUACGAACCCCGGAUCUCUUUGGCUGGAAAUAAAAAGGUAUUCUUGGCCCUUAAAGACCUAUAAUACGAUUUGACAUUUAACUUUCUCCUCCCAUCCUUCUUCCAAAUGAAGGAAUCCUCCCCUUCUUGAACCUUUACCGCAGAAAUAUGUUCCAAAAAACGAGUCACCUCCUCCAAUUCCCAAUCUUGGAAGGAUCUUCUAAAGUGCACCUUCCAACAUCUGCCUUCACCUCCUUGCCUCUCCCAUAGAUCAACCAUUGAAGCAGAUUUAUGGGCUGCAAUUCUGAAUAACGUAGGGAAAAGAUCCUUCAACUUAGAAUCCCCAACCCAAAUGUCCCACCAAAAUCUCGUGUGUCUACCAUUUCCAAUACGGAUACUAGUUCUAAGAAGGAAAUCCUUCCAUCCUUUUCUAAUGUCUUUCCAAAGGCUCAUCCCAUAAGAAUCCCUUAGCUCUCUAGUGGUCUAGCCCCCUUCAACCUCUCCAAAUUUUUUGACAAUGACUUUCCUCCAAAAACUCUCAUUUUCUAGGGAAAAUCUCCAAAGUCAUUUUCCUAGCAAAGCUUGAUUGAAACCCUUUAAGUGCCUUAACCCCAACCCUCCAUGCUUCUUAUCUUUACAGAUAACCGACCAACUUACCAAAUGGAUCUUCCUUCUCUCCCCCAAAUGUCCCCACAAAAACUCCCUUUGAAGUCUCUCCAAUUUGAUUCUCACUUUCUUUGGGAUUACAAAAAGCGACAUAAAAUAGAUUGGGAGGUUUGAAAGAGUGCACUUAAUAAGGGUAAGUCUUCCUCCCUUUGACAAGUAAUGUUUUUUCCAAGUAGUGAAUUUCCUCUACAACAUCCCAAAUUCUACUCUAUUUAUGAGGGGCUCCAAGGGGUAAACCUAGAUAAGUAGUAGGGAGCUUUCCUAUUUUACAGCCAAAUAACGCAGCUGUUCUAUCCACAUCCUCAAUUCCCCCCACUGGUAUAAAUUUUUUUUUUGCAGGUUUAUUUUCAAUCUUGACACCACUUCAAAACAAGUAACAACCCAUUUCCAAAAUUUCAAUUGAUCACCAUUAUUUUUGCAAAAAAGAAGGGUGUCAUCUGCAAACAACAAAUGAGAGACAUUAACCCCUUCUCUACCUCUCCCCAUUACCUUAAAACCCCUAAUGAAACCUUUCUCCUCAACUCUUGCAAUUAAACCACUGAACACUUCCACAAUCAGCACAAACAAAUAAGGUGAGAGUUUUUCCCCCUGCCUUAAGUCUCUACACAUUGAGAAGAAAUCUGUAAGAGUGCCAUUGACUAUGACUGCCAUUCUCACAGUUGAAAUGCAGAAAAAAAAAUUCACUUUUGCCUUUUGGGACAAAAUCCCAUUUUCUCCAAAACUGAUAGUAGGAAAUUCCCAUUUACGUGAUCGUAAGCUUUUUCAAUGUCUAAUUUGCACACUAAACCCGCACUAGAGCUUCUUUUCCUCUAGUCAAUCGCCUCAUUGGCUACCAAAACCGUGUCCAAAAUUUGCCUACCCCCACAAGAGCAUUCCGGCUGUUCGAUACCACUUUUCCUAUCACCCUUUUCAGCCUAUUAGCUAGAAUUUUUGCAAUAAUCUUAUAAAAACUUCCCACAAGACUAAUAGGCCUGAAAUCCUGCACAUCACUUGCCCCACCUUUCUUUGAGAGGGGAGCUAAGAAGGUUGCGUUAAGGCUUUGAAAAACAACAUUUUGCGAAUAGAGUUCCUCAAACCUGCAUCACUUCCCCCAAACUAUACGUUAACAGAACUUCUAGAUAGUUAGUGAAAAACCAUCCUGCCCUGACGCCGUGUCACCCCCAAAAUUUGAGAGAGCAUUAAUUACCUCUUUCUCUGAAAACCGCCCCUUCAAGGUCUCAUUAUCCAAGGAGUCAAGAUUUCUAAAAAGCCCUAAAACCACAACAGUUCUUCUCACUUGAGUUUCUUCAAACAUGGAUUUGAAGUAGGACCCAAUCCCCUCUUUAAGCUCCUCUUCUUCUGUCAGCCGUACACUCCUGACCGUGAGGCUAUUGAUAAAAUUUCCCCUUCUCCAUGUAUUAGCCAUGUGAUGAAAGAACUUUGUAUUAUUGUCUCCUUCCUUCAACCAUAGAGCCCUUGAUUUCUGCCUCCAAGAAGUUUCUUCAAGGAUGGCGAAGUGAUUGUAUUUAUCUCUUGCUGUCUGCUAACUUCUCUUGUCUUCCUCUGAGAGAGGUCUUAGCCUUUCUAAACUAUCCCAAUGGUUUAACUGCUCCAAGGCAACAUCCUUCCUAGGUGACACAUUAGCAAGGACCUCUUUGUUCCAUUUCUUCAAGUUGCAUUUCAAAGCCUGUAACUUCUUAACUAGCACAAAGCUCGGUUUUCCCUUAAAAUUGUAAGUCUUGCCACCACUUUUUAAUUUUAUCCGUGAAACCUUUCACUCUUAGCCACAUGUUUUCAAACGUAAAAGAGCUUUUACCUUAUCUCACCCCUCCACAAUCUAACAAAAUGGGGCAGUGAUCAGAAACUGGUCUUGGCAAAAGAAUUUGCUUUGCCCCUGAAACAAGAUCCUCCCAAGUUCCUACCAACCCCCAAGCUUCUAACAAACCUAUCGGAGAUCUCUUUUAUUUUUGUCUCCUGAAAACACACCAAAUUUGGCUUAUGUUUUCUCAUCGUUGACUAAAUGACCAUCUUUUAUCUGGGUCAUGCAAUCCUCAACAUUCCAAGAUAAAAUGGAACGUUAUUGGGUGACUAAAAAGGAAAGAGGUUCAUGGCGAUUUGAUAGGUGAUUGUGCUAAAUAUUCAAUAUGUUUAUAGAGUUUGGGAUGCUUUAUUUGUUGCGUUCCUCGCUUAGCCAAUUAGGUGGCAGAUAAGCUAGCUAAAAGAGGAGCAAAGCGGUGGGUCUCUUUUGUUGGAGAUUACGUGCCUCCUUGAAACUACUCAAUGGUUGUUCAAGCAGUGCUUCAAUUGUUGUAACUUCUCUUGGUUAUUUUUCUAUAUGGUUCCUUGUUAGGGAGUUCAUUUCCUUGUCUUGUUCUAAGUUGUACAUUGUGUCUCGUUCUUCUUGACCCUUUCAAUUAAUGGAAAAGAUCUUUUUGGGUUUUGAUAAAAAAAAAAAGGGGAAAGUCACAAGAAUAUGCAGCUAGGUUUUUUUCUAACUUGUGGAAAUUUCCCUUCAUGGUUUUUUUUGGUAAAGUGAUUUUAGUGCUCUUCUUGUUGUUUGUUCCUACCUUAUCCCUCUACACCAAGUUUGUGAUCUUUGAAUUAAAAGCUUAGGUGUGUCUCAGUUCUUGGAAUGAGGUGCUACUAAUGCUAGUUGGCCUAUUGGUGGAUUCAUGAUAUUUUAGGAUUGAAUGCUGGAGUUAUUGGAGAUAAGGUGGGUGGCUUUUUUCUUUCUUUCUGUUUUAGUAAUUAUAAGAGUGACUUAAUUUUGAGUUAUGGAAGAAGAGCUUUUUGGGAGGAGUUGGGGUGUCAUUAACGGGUUGUGAGAGGAUCUUUGGUGCAGGAGAAGGGGUUUUAAUGCGGUCCAUUUUCCUCAUGAGAGAUGGACUAAUGGAGGUUGGUGAGUUUAUUGAUGAGCCAAUCUUGUGGAUAUUCCUUCGAUUGGGUGCCAGGGUUAUUAGUUUAGGACCAAAUCUUGUUCUGAUUUGGUGGAUUGGGAAGAGUACUUUUCUAAUGAAUUUAACAUUUUCCUGAGGUUAUUGAUUGAUUCUCCUCAAGUCUACUCAAUAGUGGUGGUUUGAGGAGUGGAAAGUGCAUAUUCUAGUUAUAAGAUAAUAUAUGGUGAAGGGAAGAGAGAUUUGGAGACUUGAUCUUGAGUUAAUGGAAUGGCUAUGGGGUUGGAGGACCUCCUAGGUUAUAUUUUAGGUAGUUAAUUGUAGGCACUAAAGGAGGCUUUAGGCAAAAUUCACUAGUGGCUUAAGGGUGGACAAAUUUGGCUUUUCUGUACAUCUAAAAUGAAUGGAGGGAUCCUUGCCUUUUUUUUCAUGUGUAUACUUGAAUCUUGGUAUUAGGUGUCCUAACAUAUAAAGGAUGAGGUUUAGACAUUUUGAUGUGGCAUAUAUGGUGGUGUUAGAGGGCUUUUUCAGUGAAGAGGAGUUAUUAAUACUCUUAUAUAAUCUAGAUGGGAAUGACACCUGGGUACAAAUGGGUUACCAUGGUUUUUUGAUAGGUUUUGAUGUCGGAUCAAUUGUAGAGAAGAGGAUGGCACUUGGUGAGCCACUGUUUCUUUGUAUGGAGGAGGAAGAAACAAUUAAACCACAUUCUCCUUCAUUGUGCCCGAGCUCGAGACUUAUGGAGUUUGGUAUUCUCUUUGUUUGGGGUAGAGUGAGUGAUGCCUUGGUCGGUAAAAUAGACUUUGUUAGGGUGGCAUGGUUUUUUUGUGGGUAAAAAAAGGAAGAAGGCUUUAAGGGUUAUCCCGUUGUGUAUUUUUUAGACUUUAUGAAAGGAGAGGAAUUGAAGAUCUUGAGAGAGCAAAGAAAUGUCUGUUUAUUGAUUUGUUUUCUCCUUUGUUUGUAAUCUUUUGUUAUGGGUGAGGGUGUGUGCUAAUAGAGGCUUCAUAAUCAUGGUAAUUUUAUAGACUGGUUAGGUUUGUCUUGAUGGGGUGUUUGUUAUUGGUUGUGUACUUUGGUUCACCUUCAACAAGUGCCUUUAAUAUAUUUAUUCUGUUUGUCUUUUUGUGAAUUGGGCUAGGGUGUGUGUUAACAAAUAUGUGGAAGUCAAUUCCCCUGGAAGUCCUUUGAUUUUAGUUGGAAGCUCCAUAAAGCCAUUGGUCCUAACUCCUAACUGCCUACCAUUCCUCUCUUCAUCACGGCUUUGCACUGUAGUUACAGUGGAGGUUGUUCUCAUGGGCAGGAAUUGCAUGGAUUGCUCUAAGAGACAUCCAUAUAUGUUGGUUAUCUAUUUCCUAGGGUUAGGGAGGAGAAGGGAGUUUUCUCUGUGGGGACCGGCUAUUCUUGUGAAUUAUGUCUUAAGAGGUAUGUCUUAAGAGGAAUGCCAUAGUAUUUGAGGACAAGAUGACAUCACUGAAAGACGCUUGGGGGACUUUGUAUCACCUCACAAUUCUCUUAAUGCGUGUCACUUGGAGUUUCGUCUGUGUCCUAUCAAUGGAAUGAAGAUUCAUUUUUUAGCCAUAUAUGGUUUUAUUUUGUAUAUCUUCCGUUGGAAGGCUUUCUCAUCCUCCCUAGUUUAUUCUUUUUCUUUAUUUAUAAUUUUAUAUAAUACUUCUCUUGUUUUUUAGUAGGAAAAAAAAUGAAUUGUGUGCUCAGUGCUUAAAUUUGAAGGUAGAGGCAGAAAUGGGUUGACCUCAUUUAUAUGUUUGACCCUUUGGCUGGCCAGAUUAAUAUGCCUGAUCCUUUGGCAUUUACUUUUUCACAUAAUUUUAAUUACAUGCUUUAUGACUUACACUAAUAGUUUGCCAUUCCCAGAUCUUACAGGUUUCUUGCCCUCUUUUAUGUCCUAAAUUAUUUCUACUAUUGAAAAGGAUGCAUGGUUUUGGGGGUGGUAUUUUCCAUAUAUCGUGUUACAUGUGCAUUGUUUUUGCCUCAUGGUAUGCAGGGUACUGUCAGUUCAUCUGAAGAUAUUUCUGCAAAAACCAAAAGUGUUAUUGAAUUGAAAAAGCUUCAACUGUUAGCACUUCAGCGUCGUCUCAGGCGGUAAUUCGACUCCCUGGUUUUUCUUCAGAUGGGAGCUUCCAAGUUUUGUUCUUAGAAUUAUCAGAUAAAUAUUAGCCUUUGAUUUCAUGACUUGUUGGACCUAGUCUUUUAUGUUACUUUGCUUUAGUUGUUGUUAUUAUUACUAUUUUAUUCUUAACUUCUGACACUGUUCACCUUCUUUGGGCAGUGAUUUUCUGAAUGAUUUUUUCAAACCAAUAGCAAUUGAAUUGGAUCGCUUGAAAUCUUUUAAGAAACAUAGACAUGGUAGAAGGAUAAAACAACUUGAAAAGUUUGAGCAGAAAAUGAAGGAAGAGCGACAAAAGAGAAUUCGGGAGAGACAGAAGGAGUUCUUCAGCGAAAUAGAAGUUCAUAAGUAUGUAGUGCUUUCUUUGUUCAAUUCAUAUCAUUACAUUUAACAUUUCAUCUUCAUUUUAGUAGAUCUCCAUUAUAUUUUUCUAUGGGUUUGCUUUCGAGAUUUAUUUAUUGGUUUUGUUUUCUGACUUGCUUGAUUGCUGUAACUUUAGGGAAAGACUGGACGAUGUGUUUAAAUUUAAGAGAGAAAGGUGGAAGAGUUUCAGUAAAUAUGUAAAGGAAUUUCACAAAAGAAAGGAGAGGAUACAUCGUGAGAAGAUAGAUAGAAUCCAGCGUGAGAAGAUUAAUCUAUUGAAGAUCAAUGAUGUGGAGGGCUAUCUGCGAAUGGUUCAGGUAUGGUCUGUUUUUGUAGAUUUUAUUGAUUUCAAGAUCUUGUACUUUUUUUUUUGUUUUUUCCUUUCAGUAACAGUUUUUAUGAUCGAGUAGGAUGCAAAAUCUGAUCGCGUCAAGCAACUGCUCAAAGAGACUGAAAAAUAUCUUCAAAAGCUUGGAUCCAAACUACAGGAGGCCAAGUCUAUGACAAGACACUUUGAGGUUGAUAUGGAUGAGAACCGAACUGCAAAUGUUGUUGAGAAGAAUGAAACUGCUGUUGACAAUGAAGAUGAAAGUGAUCAGGCAAAGGUGAGUUUGCCCUUUGUGCCAUAGUUUGUUUCAAUUUUCUUUGUCACUUUGGGUUCAUUUUUAUAUUCAUUUCUCAUUUUCUAUUGUGAAUCUGCUUGCAGCAUUAUCUGGAAAGCAAUGAAAAGUACUAUCUAAUGGCUCAUAGGUAUUUCUUCACUUUUAUGUUUUCUUUAGUUUUGUGUCAUAUUGUUUGUAGCUCAAGAUUGGGUAGUUUUGUGAUUAUUUUUUAGUGUUAGCUGAAGUUAGCCUUCUUUCUCCUCCUCAGUUUUCAUUUUUUUUUUUUUUUUUUGAUGAAUAAAGAGACAAUAUAUUAAUAAAAAGAGGCACUUCAAGGAAGCACCCCAACGUAUACAGGAGGUAUACAAAGAAAAAACCUUUACCCAUGGCCUAACCAAUCAACAAAAUCUACAACGGAAGUGGGACCAGAAACAAAAAAACCCCUGGACCACGCCCACAAAUUACAAAGUAAAACCGAUUUACACCCCUGAAUCGAAUGCUCUACAUUUUCAAAAGCCCUACUGUUUCUUUCCUUCCAAACAAUUCAAAAAAGGCACAAGGGUGCUGAACGUCACACUUUCCUCCUUUCCUUUCCCACACAAGGCCCUAACCACCCCAAUAACGCCUCUCUUGUUGAAGAGGGGAGCACCCACGAAACUCCAAAGAGAGAGAAAAGUAAGCUCCAUAAACUUCUGGCCAACCCACAAUGCAAGAGGAUGUGAUCAAUAGAUUCUUCCUCUACCAAACACAAAUAGCAUCUAUUAGCCAAGGAGAACCCUUUUUUCUGAAUACGAUCCAAUGUUACAGACUUUUUCCAUGUGGCCUCCCAAGCAAAAAAACUUACCCUCGGAGGCACCAAAGAAUUCCAAAUGAUGUUUGCAGGAAAUUCUUCACGUCUUUCCGGAUCCAAAUCCUUGUAAAGAGACUUAACUGAGAAUCUUCCGUCCUUUGCCUUAGUCCAAAUUACUUCAUCUUCCACAUCACUGUAAACCCUCCUCCCUUGCAACCUCAAGAGAAGGCGUUUCACCUCGAUCACCUCCCAAUCAUUAAUUCUCCUAGAGAACCUAGGAGCCCACACUCCCCCUCCAGAAUGACUCCAUACAUCCGCUACCCAAGCCUCCUUAUCCAAGGAUAUAGCAUAUAGAGAAGGAAAAAGAGAACACAACUUAUCAUCUCCACACCACUUUUCCUACCAGAAUCUAAUCCUUCUACCAUUUCCCGCAGAAUAAACCAGAUUGUUACCUACCGCUUCCCACCCUCUCCUAAUCGCUUUCCACAACCCAACCCCAUAACUUUCUCUCACAACACAAGACCUCCAACCACCCUCUUCUUCCCCGUACUUUGCACUUAUGACUUGCCUCCAUAAAGCUUCCCUUUCCACCGCAAAACGCCAACUCCACUUACAUAGGAGAGCCUUAUUUAGCAACGCCAAGCUCCUCACACCCAAACCGCCCUUUCGUUUAUCUGAGCAAAUAAUAGACCAUUCCACUAAAUGAGGCUUCCUUUCCAAUGCCCCACCACCCCAAAGAAAAUCCCUUUGGAUUCGCUCCAAUCUCAAACUCACGCUUCUUGGCAUCUGAAACAAGGACAUACAAUAGAUAGGCAUGCUGGACAGAGUGCUCCUGAUCAAGGUCAUUCUGCCCCCCUUGGAGAUAUAUUGCCUUUUCCAAAUAGAAAGCCUCUUCCUCAACCUUUCCUCAACUCCGUCCCAAGUAGCCACCUCCUUGAAGCGAGCCCCCAAAGGAAGACCCAAAUAAGUAGAAGGAAGCUUGCUGACCUUGCAUCCAAACUCAAGGGCCACCUCCUCUACAUUCUCCACUCUUCCCACCGCGAUGAUCUCACUUUUGUCUAAAUUCACCUUCAACCCUGACAUUGCUUCAAACCACAUAAGUCGCCAACUCAAAUAGGACACCUGAUUAGUGAAAGGCUCACAAAAAACUAAGGUGUCAUCCGCAAACAACAAGUGAGUGAUCUCCACUCCCCCCCUCCUCCACCACUAAGUUGCCACCCCGACAAAACCCCCCUCCUCCUUUGCUCUCUUCAACAAGCAACUAAAAGCCUCCAUGACAAUCAUGAACAAGUAGGGGGAAAGGGGAUCCCCCUGUCUCAAACCCCUAGAACUUUUGAAAAAACCUGAGGAAGUUCCAUUAAUCAGGACAGAGAAACUGACAGUCCCAAUACACCACUGAAUCCAGCUGAUCCACUUAGCUCCAAAGCCCAUCAUUUCCAUCAACCAAAAGAGAAAACUCCAAUUCACAUGGUCGUAUGCUUUUUCAAUAUCUAGCUUGCAAAGGAUGCCCCCUCCCCCACUUUUCUGCAUUGAAUGAAUCGCCUCAUUCGCAAUCAACGAGGCAUCCAAGAUAUGCCUUCCCUCCACAAAAGCAUUUUAGGACUUGGACACUAACUUACCCAUCACCUUUUUAAGCCUAUUAGCUAACACCUUUGCUAACAACUUAUAAAGACUUCCCACCAAGCUUAUAGGUCUAAAGUCCUUGAGGUCUUCGGCUCCUCCUUUCUUAGGAAUUAAAACCAGAAAAGAUGCAUUUAUGCUCUUGAUGAACUUGCCCUGAUCAUGAAAGUCCUUGAAAAACCCCAUCACUUUCUCCUUCAAAAAGCUCCAACUAAAUUGCCAAAACGCCAUUGUGAAACCAUCAGGACCAGGAGCUUUAUCCCCAUUGAGAUCCGAUAGAGCACCAAAAACCUCUUCCUCAGAAAAAGGAGCUUCUAACAUAGUUGCAGUUUCCCCUUCCAAGACCCCAACCUGCAGCCCAUUGCACCUAGGCCUCCACUCAACUGUUUCUGACAAUAGAGAGUGGAAAGCCUGAACCACACCCUCCUUGAUGUCAUUCUCUUCAGAAACCCACAUCCCAUUUAUCUUGAUCUUCACCAUGGAAUUGACCCUCUUGUGAGCAUUGGCCAUUUUAUGAAAGUAUCCAGUGUUUUUGUCUCCCUCCCUCAGCCAUAACUCUCUCGACUUUUGCCUCUAAGCUGUCUCUUCCAUUAACACCCACUUCUCAUACUCCUCCAAAGCCUGCUUUCUGGAAUUUUGCUCUUCAGUAUUCAACACCCUAUCUCCUUCUAUUGAAUCCUAAAACAUCAUCUGCUUCAAAGCUGAUUCUUUUCUGGCAUUCACGUUCCCAAACACUUCUCUAUUCCACACCUUCAAGCAGGCCUUAAGCGCUUUCAGCUUUUCAGACAGCGUGAAACUAAAGGAACCUCUGAAUUUGAAUCCCACCCACCAAUUCCUAAGUAAAUCCUUAAAACCUUCUUCCUUCAGCCACAUAUUCUCAAACCUAAAAGGGGAAGACCCCUUCCUCGUUCCUCCACAGUCCAGCAGAAUUGGGCAGUGGUCAGAAACAAUUCUAGGUAAAAGACUUUGAAUUGCCCCACUGAAAUAACAUUCCCAAUCCUCUGAAACUAUAAAUCUGUCCAGCCUUGACUGAGACUGAUUGUUCAACCCACCCCUCCACGUGAAAGACCCCCCUUGCAAAGGGAAAUCCCUUAAUUCCAAGUCGUCAAUGAUCUCCAAAAAUCUUCUCAUUGCUGACGACAGUCUUGAGAUCCUGUUCCUUUCUCCCAAAAAUCUAAUAACAUUAAAAUCACCCCCUAAACACCACGGGUCCUGCCACAAUCCCCUGAUUGUCCCCAAUUCCUCCCAGAAAUCCUCCCUCAACCUCCCAAUAGCAGGGCCAUACACCCCUGUAAAGACCCAAUAGAAACCAUCCUCCACAUUUUUAAAUCGGCAAGAAACCGAAAAAUUGCCAAUUUCCAUUUCCAAUAGCUCUAGAACUCUAGUAUCCCAAAAAACUAACACCCCCCCUUUUCUUAAUAUUUUUAAGAUCUAUAUCCAAAUGAUAUUUACACAAUUUUGUUUUCUGCAGUAUAAAGGAGAGCAUUGCUGAGCAGCCAACCUGCCUUCAGGGUGGAAAAUUAAGGGAGUAAGUGGGAUGUGCAUUUUCCUAACAAUUUAUGGAUUCCUUUCCUGCAGAUUUCUCAUGAUCCUUUUUAAGCAUUCUCUAAGCAGUUGGAAUUAAUGCUUUGUUCAUGUAUUUUCUGUUCUUAGUGAUGGUGUUAUUAUUAUUUUUUAAGAAUUGAUUGAUAUUUGCCUUUUUAAUUUGUUUAUUGAUAAUAUUCCUUUAAAUCUUGUGAGGUGUAUUAAUAAGAAAGCCUUUAGCUGUCAGGGGUUGGUUUGAGUUUGUUUGUAAUCAACUUUAUUGAUAUUCAGGUAUCAAAUGAAUGGCCUACGGUGGUUGGUUUCGCUAUACAAUAAUCAUCUGAAUGGGAUUCUUGCUGAUGAAAUGGGCCUUGGUAAAACUGUUCAGGUAUUUUUUUUGGUUUGAGUAUGCUAUACUACUCUUCAUGAUGGAAACUUCUAAUUUUGUUGUUGCAAAGGUUGGAAUAUGAAUUUGUGAAAACCUGAUAACAUGUGCUUGUGUAGGUUAUUGCGCUAAUUUGUUACCUAAUGGAAACGAAAAAUGACAGAGGACCUUUUCUGGUGGUGGUACCAUCUUCAGUUCUAUCUGGAUGGGAGUCAGAAAUCAACUUUUGGGCCCCUAGUGUAAACAAAAUUGUCUAUUCUGGGCCUCCGGAGGAGCGACGCAAGCUGUUCAAGUAAUGGCAUUUGAAUGUAAAUUUAUCUUUAUUAUAUUUCCUUGUCAUGGGAUGCAUAACUGUACUUGUUCUUUUGUCAUGGCAGGGAAAGAAUUGUUCAUCAAAAAUUUAAUGUCCUCCUGACCACAUAUGAGUAUUUGAUGAACAAGCAUGAUAGGCCAAAAUUAAGCAAAAUACAUUGGCAUUAUAUUGUAAUUGAUGAAGGACAUCGGAUAAAGAAUGCUUCUUGCAAGUUGAAUGCUGAUUUGAAGCAUUAUCAGAGCUCUCAUAGAUUGUUGUUAACUGGAACACCACUUCAGGUUGUUGAUUUUCCUUUUCUCAUUCCUUUAGUUAUCGAUUUUUUUUAAUAGGUAAAGAUCAAAUAUAUUAACAGUGGCUAAUGAAAGGGUGCACAAAGGCAUGCGUGAUUCCUUUGGUUUAUCAAUUUUUUUUUUUUUCUAUCAAUCUAUUAGAUAUCAACUUUCUUGCUCCUUAUGUGGGGUUGUACCUUCCUGCUUGUUUACUGCCUUCCUUUUUGCUUCUUGAUUUUGAUGUGAUUCACUGACUCAAUUCUGUUAUUCUCUUUUGUCUAGAACAAUCUUGAGGAACUGUGGGCACUGCUUAACUUCUUGUUGCCAAAUAUCUUUAACUCAUCAGAGGAUUUUUCUCAAUGGUUCAACAAACCGUUUGAAAGUAAUGGUGACAAUUCACCUGAUGAAGUAAGCCUUGAAAUUGUUGAGCUUUUUAGAUAUUAAUAUUUUCACCCCUUUUUCUUAUUUGAAUCAUAUCAGAUUAUGAAACUUUCACAUUAUUGGUUCUGCUUGUCAUGAGCAGGCCUUGCUGUCCGAGGAGGAGAAUCUUUUGAUCAUCAACCGCCUUCACCAAGUUCUUCGACCAUUUGUACUUCGGAGGCUGAAACACAAGGUCAUUAACAUGAUAGUUCAAGCAUAUUACAGAAAUGUUUCUUUUUACAAGUAUUUACAGACUCCAUUAACAUAUUCGGUAUAUAUUGAUACUGCAUAAUAAUCUUGUUUCCCAUCUCUUGUAACUGUUAUUCUUGAAAGAUUUACUGCAAAAAUUGAUUGGUAAACAUUUUUUCUAGUUUGAUUAAUGUUUGUCCCUGGGGCCUGGCUCAGGUGGAAGGUUCAGGGAUAGACAUGAGGUCUCAGGUUUUAAUUCAUCCAUAAAAAAAAAAUAUUACUUAUAAAAAAAAUUGGGCAUAAUUUAAAUUCAGGAAUUUACUGAAUGUUGAUCGGUAAAUAUGUUUGGUUUUUAACUAGAUAGUUAAACUUCUGGCAUAAAUUCCCAAUUGCUGGAUCAUAUCAUAGAAUCUUCACAAUGGAAUUGAUGCUGUUGCUCUAUUUCUGGUUUUGCAUGCUCAUUUUAGAAUUCUAUAUUUUAUAAUUGCAUAUUUGAUUAAUAAAAUUCCCAUUAAAAAAAAAUGCCGACUUAUUUGUUAAGCUGGUCUCAUUUGAGGGGAUCGGGGGAGAGUGGAUCUGAAUUAUUAUGAUUUAUUCUGUCUGAACUGUUUGCCUUUCUGAUAGUUGUGUAAUCUCAUUGUGAACACCUUUAAUACAUAAGCAGAUGGUUAGAUUGGUGAUUGAUGGUCAAUCUUUUACAGUUAAUCCCAAGGAAUUUGGGUUGGGGCUUUUUGGUGUUGUUUUGUUCUUUACCUACUUUUCUGGAUACCAAAAUUGUGCGCUUCAACCACUCUUGGGAAAUUUUUUUUCAGUUCAUUUUUGUUCCGAGAGAGCCCAGUGAAAUUCUGAAAGCUUUUUUAUUAUCGUUUUUUCUUUAUCCUUGUUACAUUUAUGAGAAGUUGGAAUUUUGAUUAUGUGAAUUUAUAAUUUUUGCCAAAAAAAGAAUGUUGUGUAAGGUCGGUAUCUUAGUUGAUUUAAAUUGGUCUCUAGAGUUAUCUUUUUGGAUGGGACUGAGCUUCUGAUAUGUAUUGCAUUCAUUUUCCCUUUUUCUUUUAAUCUUUAAAAAAUGAUUCAUUGAUAUGAAUUUUAAGUAGAAGCGAAUGAUGAAAAGUCCUCCCAAAAUACAAAGAAUAACUAGGAAAAAAAAGAAGGAAAAACCUAACAAGAGCAGCCAAAUAGCUAUACUAAACAAGUAUGAAACAAGAACAUCUGCAAAAUCUGCAAUAAUGUACAACUCAAGAGGGUAAAAAAACCCCCCCACAAAUGAAGCCAUUUACUUGCUCCACAUUUACCUAUAUGAUCGACAAUCUUGUUGGCUGAACGAGGGGACCAAGAGAAGGAACAAUCCAAGUUGCUAGCUUGAUCUAGGAUUUGAAGGAUGCCAUAUGUUGUACUUCCAAGGACUUCUGCCCAACUUAGACACCCAUUAGAUCACUACAACAGAAUCUCCUUCCACCAAAAAACUGGAAAGAUCCAAAGCCUUGGCUUGGAAUAAGCCCUCCAAAAGAGCUAAGAUCUCUGCCUUAAACUGAACUCUCUGUAGCCGAUUUUAGAGAAGGCUUUCAAUAUUGCACCAUGUGAUUCCUAAUCACAUCUCCAAUUCCCAGCUGGCGAGUGUUACCUAGAGCACUCCCAUCGAAGUUUAACUCAACCAAAUCCAAUGGAGGUGGACUAUGUGAAUUUUUUUAUCCCUUAUCCACUGCAUGAGGCCACAUAAUAUUUAUCACAUACUGAUGGCUUUACAUGAUUUUUUAUUCCAUGUUUUAUGUGAUAAAUAAAAUUUUGUGAGUUGUUUUAUAUUGAUAUUUUUGCUUUUGUAAUUACUGUUUUUUGUAGGUUGAAAAUGAAUUACCUGAAAAGAUUGAAAGACUUGUAAGGUGCGAAGCUUCUGCAUAUCAGAAGCUUUUGAUGAAGAGGGUAGAAGAAAACCUGGGCUCAAUUGGAAGUACAAAGGUUUCCUUGUGCAUUCAUUCUCAGUUUAUCAUUUGGAUUUCAAUGGAAGAACUGUCUUGAAUUAAUAUUUGAUGAGUGUGUUUAUAAUCUGCAAAAUUUACCUUCAUGUGCUCUAACCAUAACCUCACUAUCUCAUCAGGCUCGGUCGGUGCACAACUCUGUUAUGGAGCUACGUAAUAUAUGCAAUCACCCUUACCUUAGCCAGCUUCAUGCAGAUGAGGCAUGCACUUUCCAUGUUCCUUUAUGCUAUGUUUGAUUCUUGGAUGGAAAGAGAAAGAAAAGAAAUCUUCCUGUCCCUUGAAUUUUUUCCCUUUCCUUCAUUGUUUAUGAGAACCAAGAAGAGGGUUACAGAGUUUCUGUUUCCAUCUGUAAGGGUAACUGAUACUUCCCUGUCUCUUGGAAUGUUAACAUCAUGAUUCUCCUUUUGUAGGUUGACAAUUUAAUCCCUAAACAUUUUCUGCCACCUGUUGUGAGACUUUGUGGGAAGCUUGAGAUGUUAGAUCGAUUACUUCCCAAACUAAAAGCAACCGAUCAUCGGGUAUGGUAACACUUGUAUGCAUUUCCACUGUGUCUAAUUUUCAUGGAGCCUAAGGAAUUGAUAUUAUACUCAUUCAUAAUGGUGUUUGUUUCCAUACACUAAUGCUGGAAAGAAUUAUUUGUUCCUUACACAUCUGCAUCUGGCAUCUAGAUGAAAUUACAGAUAUAUAUUAUAGUAACUGAGUUUCUCUUUCUCCCUUUGCUGGAGGCUUGGUGUUGGAUCUUUUUUUUUUUUUUUGGGUUGGGGGGUGCGGGUUGGGAUUUGAGCAUAAAAAAAAUGCUAAUUUAAAAGGAAAGAAAAAGAAGUAUUAAUGGUCUUGCUAUUUUCCUUAUCCUCUCAACGUCAUGCAGUUUGAGAUUUGUGAUGCCAUAGAAGAUGAUAUGCUAGUUUGUCAUUUCACCUUUCCUUUUAACAAGUCAUUUUGCACAAAAAGCAUGAAUAAUAACUUUUCAUGUUCAGAGCUUUUGUCUUUAUUUGUCUGUUCAAGUACCUUAUUGGUCAUGCUUCUCGUUGAACUAUUCCCAUAAAUAUGAAAUCUUAAUACCAUGAAUUGAUAUUUUAAUUACCGCUUAUAUGUGGAACUUGGCAGGUUCUUUUCUUUUCCACAAUGACUAGGCUGCUUGACGUCAUGGAGGAAUAUCUGCACUGGAAACAGUAUCGAUACCUUCGAUUGGACGGACAUACAUCUGGGGGUGAUCGUGGAGCCCUCAUUGAGCAGUUCAACCAACCAGAUUCUCCAUAUUUUAUUUUUUUGCUCAGGUAAUUCAUCGCGUAAUGUAUAGUGAUAAACUCAAUACUUUCUAGUGCUGGAUGAUUAAUGAGUUCUCAACUUCUUUAUCUGUGGUCUAUUGGUGGAGGUAGACUGUAGUGAAUGUGGUUAUCCAUAUGAGAGUGCAGUAGAAUCAGUGUCUUGACAGGUUGAUGUUUUGGGGCAAUAUAGCCAUUUGCUUUGUUGGCAUCUGUAUAAGACAGAAGAGGUAGUUGCAUGCUUUUAGGCAUGACACCGUGUUGCCAGUGCUUCAACAUGAAUCAUGUAUUGUAGUACAGCUGUCUUAAGGUGAAAUGGCCUGGACAGUGGGCUACCAUGUGAAUCAUGUAUUGCACUAUAGCAAUACUCCUUUCCUAGUAGGUUGAACUGGGCUAGGCACUGGCCUCUGUAGCUUACAGGCGUGCCAUUACUGCCAUAAUGAGCCUAUAUUGUUGUAACCUAGUCAAGAUAAUCAAAUAAUCCCAUGAGUGGGCACAGCAUUCUUAGGAUCGUCAUUGGCUGAAUGUAUGCAAGUUAUCUGUCAAUAGAUGCUUUGUUUGGUUUAUCUCUCUAAACUUUCGCCAAAACAUAUAUGUUCUUGGGGCCUCAUGUUGACAAACUGUUAAAUGACCAACAAACUUUUAUAUAUGCUUGCCUUCACAAUUAGCACUAGGCAUAGGAUAAAUUGCCAAAGAGUUGAACACAAUGUUUCAUCUCUGUGCCUUGGUCAGCUCACUUCUGGGGAGUGAUGGCCUUCCUUAAAUUUUCUGUACAGAAUGCAGGGCAUGUGGGAGAUAAUCCCUGAUCCCCCUUGGUCCCUUAGAUUAAGCCAUCUGUACAUUUAGUCUUAUAAGAAUAAGAAUUGACCUCUGUGGCUUCUCUUUUGUUUUUCUUGGUCAGACAUUAUGGUUUGUUUGCUAGUGUGGGUAUGAAUUCUUUGGUGUUUUGGACUGCAUGUUUCUGGACACUAUUUGGGUGAUCUGGAAUGAUAGGAAUCAUGAUUUUUAGGAAAGAUACAGAUCUCCUGGGAGUGAGGGUAACGUUUUCCUUUAUGAGAUCUGUUUGGAAAGAAUUUGAUGGUACUUCUCGCAGUUAAUUUCACUGAUGGGCUGUCUGUUCGCUUGAACUCCUUGAGAUGAAUCCAUAUCUGGGCUCUUACACAUUGUGCUCUUAUCUGUUGUUGCAUUAAGGCAAUCUCCUCCUUUUUAUUGGGUUUUCCUCAUUAAAAUUUCUCUGUUUUUAAUCUGGGGAAAAAAAAAAUAAGAAUUAGAAGAAAUAAGAGUAUGCACACACAUGUAUUUAUGAUCGAUCAGUUUCAAAAGUACUGACAUUUGUACAUAUUGUGUUAGCAUCCGUGCUGGAGGCGUUGGAGUGAAUCUUCAGGCUGCUGAUACAGUGAUCAUAUUUGACACUGACUGGAAUCCUCAGGCAAAUACAGAAACUAGAUGCCCUUGAAGAAUUGUCUGUGAAGUUGAAAUUAUAUUUUUGUUGUUCCUAAGUGUGAUUUUCAUUUUGGUUCUCUCUCAGGUUGAUCUGCAAGCUCAGGCAAGGGCCCAUAGAAUUGGCCAAAAGAGGGAUGUUCUUGUCCUUCGAUUAGAAACAGUGAGUACAUUUCUAGGGUUUAUGUUGUAGGAUAAGUAUCUUCUUGAUUUAGGAAUGAUUAUGCAUGGGGUAUUUGUAAAAAAUAUUAUUUUGUUUUUUCACUUCUUUUGACAGUUUGGGCUGUAUUUUUCUAAUUGCUGGCUGGGUAUCUGUUUUCAUGUGAUAUGCUUGGAUUAGUAUUUAGUAGUAAACAUUUUUCUUCCAAAAUUGGCAGCUGAGGGGUUCAGAGAGAUCCUUGUGGGACACAAUGUUGGUUCCUCUUUGCAUAUUUCAUAGAGAUUAAUGUGUAGAUUCCAGCUUUCUUUCUUUUCCAUUUGUCAUGUUCCUAUAGAAAAACGAAAAUAGAUUAAAUUGCUGUCAUCUUUUUGGCUUGUAAAUCAACUGACAAAUGUAUUGUGGGACCAUUGAAGUGGCAGAACAUCCUCUGGUCUUCCAGGAAAUAGAUAUGUGGGUGUCUUACAUUGUGCUUUUGUGUGUAAUAUUUAGGUUGUUUUCAUGCUUUAUGAGUGCAAAUGCUUUCUUAUUGUAGGGAUAUUAUGAUUGAUCUUUUUUGUUGUCAUUUUCUUUAACUGUUGUAAAUAUAAUAUCUCCUGAACUCAUGAUUGUGGAAAAUCUCCUAGAAUGAAGUUUUUAUUCAGUUAUGUUGAUUUCAUAUAUUGCCUACCUCAUAGUUCUUUCACUACUGAGCUCUUGUUCAGCUUGUAAUAUUAUUUUUUGAAUAAUUCAUCCUUAAUUUCUAAUUUCCAUUCUCUCUGCUGAUUCUUGUAUUGUAUUCAUAGGCCAUUCCUGUACUUAUUUCCCAAAUCUUGUCAGCCCCUUUCUUGUAUUCUAAUUUAUCUUUCAACUUCCAUUUUCUUCCCUUCACUGAGAAGGGAAACAAAAAACCCAAUUGGAUGCAUUCCCAGCCAUAGCAAUUCACAGGAAAUAGAAAUAUAAUGUUUUGAUGCUAUACUGGUACAUACAUUACAUGGGAUGUUUGUAAACCUUCUCACUGGUUUUAUUGUUAAAUAAAUCACUGAAUUUGAAAGUUUUUGGUAUGAUGUGAUAUAUUGUUCUUCAUCUAUGUUCAUUGAAUUAUAUUGAACUACUUUUAUUGCAAUAAGGUCCAAACCGUGGAAGAACAAGUCAGGGCUUCAGCUGAACAUAAACUGGGAGUUGCUAAUCAGAGUAUCACUGCUGGUUUCUUUGAUAACAAUACAAGGUACAUCAGUAUUCUUGUUAAAUUAAUGUUUCCUGCUAAAAUUUCCAAAAUUUUCUGAUACACCCUUUAGUUCUACUGAAGGAUUUUUCUGUAAUAAAACCUCAGUGCAGAAGAUAGAAGGGAAUACUUGGAGUCGUUGCUGCGGGAGUCUAAGAAAGAGGAAGCUAUGCCUGUUUUAGAUGAUGAUGCUCUGAAUGAUCUCUUAGCCCGCAGGUAGGUUCCAUCUCCAGCUUCAUGUUUAUUCCUCCAUCUGAAUGUUAUUUAUAUAACUGCUUUCUCACACUGAGACAUUAUGAAACAGCAGAAGCUGUACCACUUUUUCUUUCCCCCCCUAUUUAUGUGUUACUUGCCUUGUGUGUCUGGGAAGGCUUAUUCAUUAGUGGGUUUGUUUGUUUGUUUUUCCCCCUCCUUUCCAUAUUUAUGUGAUACUGUGAGUAUGGGAAUGAUCGUUCACUAGUGCCAAGAAUUCUUUUAUAUCUGGAUUCUCAAAAAGACAAAUACUAGCCUUUGAAUGUUAUUUUUUCCGCUACUUAGACCAAGAAAAUUGAAAAUCCUUACCCAGUUACUUGGAUUCAAGUAGAGAAAUGAUACUUCACCAUUCUGCUGUUUGCAUAAGGCUAUACUUACCUCUAAGUUUAAGUCACCCUUUAUUAUUUGUAAGUUAAGAUGUAGUGGAUCAUAGGGAUUAGAGGUUUCUAUCACUGCUAGCCUAUGUAUUUGCAGAUUUAUUUAUUUGUUUAUUUUUCCCUUUUUUGACUCUGAAAUUAUGUGUGCUAUUUAAUAUCGUAACCUGUCGCUCUUCAUGUUCUGCCUUUGAUUUGUUGUUUUCCUUAGUUUAAUAUUGUGAUUUCCAUAUACUUUAGCUAUUUUCCUUUUGGCAUUUUUAUUGUCAAGCUGAAUGUUCAUAUUCUGGCAGUGAGUCGGAGAUUGAUAUAUUUGAAUCCAUUGACAAAAAAAGACAGGAAGCAGAGAUGGUAUGCUUCAUUUUCACUUUGGGUGGCAUAAAUGUCUUUGGAUUUAUAGAUGACUGCUGUCUGAUCUAGUGCAUUACUAAAAUAAACUAAAUUCUGCAGGCAACAUGGAAAAAGCUAGUUGGACAGGGAAUGGAGCUUGCACCUCCCCUUCCUUCUCGCCUUGUAACAGAUGAUGACUUGAAAGUAUUCUAUCAAGCAAUGAAAAUAUAUGAAGAAUCAAAUGCUGGGGUAAUAUCUAAUGUUGGUGUAAAACGGAAGGGUGAGUAUCUUGG
This 133795-nucleotide long non-coding RNA is filed under the name Vitis vinifera (wine grape). Its description in RNAcentral is "long non-coding RNA (VVIN_LNC001308)". Lineage: Eukaryota; Viridiplantae; Streptophyta; Magnoliopsida; Vitales; Vitaceae. The record is from RNAcentral.